RNAcentral lists this long non-coding RNA (121012 nucleotides) under Malus domestica (apple). Its description in RNAcentral is "long non-coding RNA (MDOM_LNC007116)". The stretch from base 56337 to 56430 matches the Rfam family "Small nucleolar RNA SNORD34". Lineage: Eukaryota; Viridiplantae; Streptophyta; Magnoliopsida; Rosales; Rosaceae. The record is from RNAcentral.
UAAAUUAAGCUCUUCUAACUCCUCCAUACCUUCUGAAAUCUCUGGAAACAUCUCAAGACUGGAGCAAUCAGAAAGAUCAAAGGUUUUGAGAGAUCUCAUACGAAUUUUGCUAGGUAGAAUCUUAAGUUCCUUGCAAUCUUUUAGGUUGAAAUGACUCAACCCCGAGAGAUUAUUAAUUAACAGGGGCAGUUCUUUAAUUUUUGACCCGGAUAAAUUAAGCUCUUCUAACUCCUCCAUACCUUCUGAAAUCUCUGGAAACAUCUCAAGACUGGAGCAGUCAGAAAGAUCAAAGGUUUUGAGAGAUCUCAUACGAAUUUUGCUAGGUAGAAUCUUAAGUUCCUUGCAAUCUUUUAGGUUGAAAUGACUCAACCCUGAGAGAUUAUUAAUUGACAGGGGCAGUUCUUUAAUUUUUAACCCGGAUAAAUUAAGCUCUUUUAACUCCUCCAUACCUUCUGAAAUCUCUGGAAACAUCUCAAGACUGGAGCAGUAAGAAAGAUUAAAGGUUUUGAGAGAUCUCAUAGGAAUUUUGCUAGGUAGAAUCUUAAGUUCCCUGCAAUUUGAUAGGUUCAAAUGACUCAACCCCGUGAGAUUAUUAAUUGACGGGGGCAGUUCUUUAAUUCUUGAUCCGGAUAAAUCAAGCUCUUCAAACCCCUCAAUCACUUCUGAAAUCUCUGGAAACAUCUCAAGGUUCGAGCAACCAGAAAGAUUAAAGGUCUUGAGAGAUCUCAUACGAAUUUUGGUAGGUAGAAUCAUAAGUUCAUUGCACCCAUGCAGAUCCAAUAAAACAAGGUUUGAAAGAGUCGAAAUAGAUGGGUGAACCUCAACUAAGCUUAUACAACUUCGAACAAUUAGCCUCUCAAGAUUUGGCACAUUUGUGAAGUCAGGGGUUUCCUUAAGGGAUUGACAAUUACUUAAAUUGAUGAAUUUCAACUUUUCCUGUGUCUGUUAAAACAUUCAGGAAAACAUGCAUUACUUAAUAAGACAUCUCACUCAAAGCCCAAACAUUUAAAAGAAACAAAUACAUGUAAAUGAUUGUACGUACCUGGGUUCCUUCCCAAAGUCGGUCAAUGAGACUAUAUUGCAUGUCAAGUUCAACAAGAUUUUCGAAUUGAAAGUUGGAUGGCAAAGACUUGAGAGGGAAACCAAGCCAGGAGAGAUAUCUCAAGUUAAGCAACUUUAAGGACCCAAACAGGUGGUGUUUGCAGCACUCAUCUUUAAAAACGAAGUGCCUAUAAAUGAUCUUGAGAAGUCUUCGUUGAGUCCUUCUAACAACAGCUUCAGCAUUUAUGUGCCUAUGAUUGAUCUUGAGAAGUCUUAGUUGAGUCAUUCUAACAAAAGCUUCAGCAUUUAAGCAUGGCCAGCUUGAGUACGAGAAAUCCACAAUUAUGCUUUCAACUGUUUUUGUAGCCUGUGCAAAUCAAAGUAAAGGAAAAUACAGAGAACCUUAGUUUUGAUUAUGAAAUUAAUGAUUGUUUCUUAAGGAGCCGUCUGAUAAUCAUUUCAUUUUCUGUUUAAUUGUUUUCAAUUUUCAUUAUUAAAACAAUGAAAACUAAAAAUUGAAAACAAAAAUGGUUAUCAAACAGGCCUAAGAAAUUGAUUUUGAUCAAAAGUUGAACCUUUCUACUAACAAUUGCAUAAGAAAAAGAUUUCUCACCGUAUUUUCAGUUAGCACCUCACAAACAUCUUCAUAACUCCACAACCUACUUCGUCUCCCAGGAUCUUUGCUAGAUUCUUGGCGGACAAUUUCCCGACCCAUUUCCUCUAAUGAAUCAUGCAUCUCCAAUACCCCCAACGUUGAGACAGUUAUGAGAGCUCGAUCAAUUAGAACUUUUAUUCCUGUAUGAGGAUGGAAACCACAACUGUCCAGAAUUUCAGUUGCCUGGUCUUCCUUCAUCCCUCUAAAGAAACAUGCAAUAUCUAGAAAGAUGUCCUUCUGUGUGUCAUCUAGUCCAUCGAAGCUUGUUUUAAGCACAUCAUGAACUCCCCUUUGUGGGAUUUUCCUUAUUUUUUCUAACUCACCUUCCCACACGCGUAUAGUUUUUUUAUGCAAAAAAGCUCCCAAGACUUUGAGGGCUAAAGGCAGACCUUGAGCAUAUUCUACAACACGAUUCGAGAGAUCAUAAUAAUCUCUGUUGGGUUGGUCAUUUUUGAAGGCGUACUGCCAAAAGAGUUCCAGAGCUCCAUAAUAACUCAAAGUCCGGGGAUUAUAUAUCACAUCAGUUAUGCUUAGUAACUGCGAAUCUCUACUUGUUAUAAUAAUCCUACUUCCAACACCAAAGGAACGUUUCUUUCCAAGUAAAGCUUCAAUUUGUUCUGAUUCGUCCACAUCAUCAACAACAAUAAGAACUUUUCUCCGACCAAGUCUUUUUAACAUCUUCUUAAAACCAUAUUUUGAUAUGUCAGAACUCCCCACCUUGUUGUUCGAUAUACUCGAUAGAAGUUGUGUCUGCAUAUGUGGUUUGCCAUGCUUCAUGAAACCCUCCUUGACGUUUUCAAGAAAGCAAGAAGCUUCAAAUCGACAUGCGAUUUCAUCAUAAACUGCUCUAGCGAUGGUUGUUUUGCCUAAACCACCCAUACCCCAUAUUCCAACAACGCGAACAUUAUUCGCUUCACCUCCGGGAGGAUAUAAUAAUAAAUGCAUUUCAUGCAUGUGAGAAUCCAUGUCAACCAAGCCAUUAUCUUUGCUUGAUGUUGAUGAGAUGUCGAUCAAUUUCCUAUAAACAUAUUCUACAAUUUCCUCAAUAAGCUCUGCAUCAUUCCUGUCAAAUUAAAAAAAACAAUAUAAUAACACCACCAAAUAAUAAUUAAUGGGUUUUUUCAUCUGUUAGUUAAAAAAAAAAACAGAAAUUAAAACUAAAAACUAGAUAUUUAUAAAAUUACCGCAAAACGUUACAAAAAUCCCAAAAAUUAAUAGGAAACUAAAACAAAUUAGAAUUUACUCAUAUUUUCGCGAAUCCCAGCCGGAUAAACUGGUGGCAGUUGUAAGAGCGGAUCUCCAGCUCUGAACCUCUUCCAUUUCAGCGUUAGAAUCACGAUCGUGCUGAGCAAAAGCUUCCUCGAAUUUUCUCUUGAGUUUACGAACGUCAGACGGAUCAACUUCAUAGAAAAUGGGGAGUACAAUCUGGUUAUUGGUAUCCUUGCAUUUCAAGAUUUGCACGAGUUCUUUCAAGCACCAAGUGGAAGAAGCAUAGUCUUGAGAGAAAACUACAAUCGAAAGCCUUGACUCUCGAAUCGCUGUCAGGAGCUCAGAAAGGUGGUCGCCUUUUCUGAGCUUCUCGGCAUCAAUGAAGGCGUUGAUUGGUUUCUUAACCAGAGCGUUGUAGAGAUGGCUGACGAAGCCCCUGCGAGUGUCUUCCCCUCUGAAAUUGAUGAACACAUCGUAUUUGCAACCAAGGCCAGAAGAAGAUGAAGAAGAAGAAGCAGCCAUUAUUAAUCGAUCGCACCUGGUCAGCGACGAUCGAGCAGCUAAGACUAAGAGAAUUGUAAGUACAGAGAUACUCAAUAGAUCUACAAAUUGGAUCACCGGAAAUUAGUCUGAUCGAUACCAAGUCAAUGAGUCAAUGCAAAAGGGAAAAAGGGGAAAGUGAAAUUAUGCUUUAUGUUUUUUCACAUCUUCUUCGGGGAAAUUUCGGUGUGAAAGGAAUCUUAUCCUUUUGAUUUUUUAACCGAAGCAAAUGCGAAGAAAAGGGUCAAAGUGGAAAAUUGAAUAUACACUUGCCUAUCCAACAACCUCUUAAUUUAAUAUAUUUAAUUGAGAAAAGUAGUUUAGAGGAAUGAUGGUAUCUCCUUUUCUUCUCACUCAAUCUUCCGGCAUGCGAUUUAAUCAUUAUUAAAGCCAAGCUUAAUAAUAGGUCGUAUUAUUUAGGUCGUAUUGGAUUAUAAGUUUUUGUUGUGAACUUGUGAUACGAUAGUUGAAAAAUUAAAAAAAUUAUAAUUUAAAUGUACGCGGUGAAAUCUGUUAGAAUUUAGAUUCAAAAUUGAAAAUUUUAUUAACUUCGUUAAUUAUUAGCACACGAAGCUCACAAAUGAAAUAAAAUAAUAAAAUGUAAUCUUCACGUGCUAACAAUUAAUGGAGAGUUUCAUUUUAACCUAAAAUGUGUGGCUUACGUACUAAUAAUUAACGGAAUGUUGAUAAAAUUUUCAAUUUUAAGCAUAAAUCUUAAUAAACUUCAUCACAUGAGCUUAAAUCCUAAUUCAACUAUCUUCUCACUACCUUACCUUACCACUAAAAAAAUUAUUAAUCAAAUUAAGCUUAUUACUUACUUACAAAUACGUAACUAAAUCACUGAAAGCUAUCUCCGUUUCUUUGCUGGGUGGACAGCUGUCUCUUUGUCUUCUUUUGGCAGAUAGCUACUAGACUCCUAGGCCUCGUUUGUUUGACGUCCUUAGCUAGGACUGGACUAGCUAGGACUAAUAACCCUUGUUUGGUGCAAGCCGAGAUUGAGUUUAGUGGGAUUAAGUAGGACUCGUGCCGACUAAAUCCUUCGUUAGCUGGGCUUAGCGAGAGCCCCCGAAAAGGAGGGGAUUGCUAGUCCCGUUUCCUCGUCUUCCCUCUCACGCCGCGUCCUCGUGCUCGUCCUGCACGACUGCACCAUCUCUGACGACGACUCGUCUUCCUCCACCCACCCCCUUGCCGUCUGCAACUCCAAUCCCCACCCAUGGAAGAACAAGUGAAUUAAAGCAGCUAAUUUGCAAGAACAAGUGUAAUCAGAGCAAAAAAGUCAAUAAAAAUUCGAACGGAAGAGAGUAGAGAGAUGAGUGGAGCCUACCUCCUCCUCGUCUCGUAACACACGGACUGGAUCCAUCUUUGCUCCUUCCAAUCUCAGAAUUUUUUGUUUUUCACUUUGACGGACGACAAAUUCAAACACAAGCCAAGAUCAUAUUCAGUCAUGCAUUUCCUCAGAAGGCGGCACACUGCGAGAUGAACUUGAUUGGUGUUUUGUUUUUGGGAUUUGACCAAAAUCGUAAAGGCAGAUUUUCUUCAUCUGAGAACUGGAGAAAAAUUGGGAAAGUUUUGUUUGUUGGGAAGGGAAAGGAACGGUAGAGAUAAGGGAGAAAGAAUUAAAAUGAACAAAAGAAAAAUAUCUGAAUUUUAAAAAUAAUUUAGUCCGGUACUGCACCAAACGCUUCACUAAGUUAGUCAUGCUUAGUCUAGUCCAAGCCAGUCCAGCUUAGUCCCUGAACCUAGUCCAGUCCGAGAUAGUCCGGUGCAACAAACGCACCCCUAGUGGCCGGCCUAUUUUCCACAGCUGGUAUAGGACUCAGUUGCUAUACAAGAAGUGUUAUGUUGUAAUUCACUAUUGAUGGAAAUCCAACAGAAUCUUCUUCGACUUGUUGUGAGGAUUUGGGAUAUUUAUGAAUCGUAUCCAUUUAUCGUAUAUUGUGGGAUCAGUUUUUAUUAAAUAGUAUUUGUGUUUAAUUUUAAAUAAAAAAAUUUAAAAUAAAAUUUUACCGCACGAUAUACUAUGAACGAAUACAAUUCAUAGAUCUCCAAGAUCCUCACAAGGAGAAUCCAAAAAGGAUCCGGAUUCAAUGGAAAUAUUCGUAAAUGAUCCGGAUUCAAUGGAAAUAAGCUAAUUUUGAAUCAAAUAACAUUACUUUAUUUUGUAAGUAAAUUAAUUUUAAAUCAAACAACAUUAAUUUAUUAUGUAGCUAAUUAAUUUUGUAUGUGUCAUCAUAUAUAUUAGGCGCAUUUUAUUAUAGGUGAUUUUGUGGUAUUCAUCUUCAUUUAUAAGUAAAAAGUCUUAGGUUCGAUUCUCACAAAAGUGAAUUUGAACCAUAUUAUUGCUAGUCCAUUAUGAGGCCUAACCCACCCUCCUCCCCCUUAGUGUAGAUAGAUCGUUUGUUCAAAAAAAUAUAUAAUCAAAAUAGAACGUGAAGCGAAACAAUAGAUCAACAAUAUUUAUGUUAAUUAUAAAUAGGUCAACUAUGUAUGUGAUACUUAAAUUCAUUUAAAAUAAAAUAAAAUUACAAAAUCUGCCACUACAGUUGGCACGCACUUCAAUUAACAUUUUCUUUCUCAUAAUUUUUAUAUUUGGAAUGAGUCAUACGAAUCAAAUACUGCAAUGUAUUGUCUGUUUUCUGAUUCUAUUUUUUUACAUUUGGAUUCAGACACUGUGUUGUAGUGUCCAUUUAUUGGUUUCGUUUUUUCCAUCAGUCACACGCCUCCUACAUGUUCCUUUGUACAUUUGGAUUUAGACAAUGCAAUGCAGUGUCUGUUUCUUGGUUUUGGUUUUCCCUUUUGGAUUCAAACGCUGCAUUGCAAUGUAUGUUUCCUAGUCCUAUUUUUUUCAUCAUCCACACGUCUUCUACACUUCACACUUUCACGCGACUCCUGAUUUUUACAUUCAGAUUCAGACAUUGUAAUGCAGUGCUCAUUUCCUACCUCUGAUUUUUACAUUUAAAUCUAGGGUUAAACUCUGUUUACUACCCUCAUGUUUCGUGGUUUUCAACAUAUAGUACAUCAAGUUUUUUUCAUCCCAGUCAUACCUAAAGUGUUAAUUUUGGGACAGUCUCGUAUAUCUGUUAGUCAAACUGUUAGUUCUCCCGUUAAGUGAUGACAUAGCGCCCAUGUGGACAAUGACUAGGCCCCAAGUGUCAUUAAAAAAUAUUAAAAUAAUUAAUUAAAUAAAAGUUAUAAAAAAAAUCAUCCCUUCUCUCCCUUCUCCCCUCGCUGUCACACCCCGAUCCAGACAUACGUCCAAAGAUCGACACGUGACGUCACUAAAUGCCCGUAACUCAACGUACCCUGCCUUUUGGAUAUGUACAAAAUAUAAUUCCAGAUCCAGAUGCAUAAUAAUUUUGUGUAUACUUUAUGGCUGCAUCUAACCUCUUCGUUAGACUGCCUACGUACCCUCAAUAGGGAUCAAGUCAUUCGUAGUUCAACUUUUCACUACACUCGAAUAUUUAUCACAUAAAUUGCCAUAUUUCAACAUAAUGCACAAUUCAGAGCAUGCAACAUCUCAAGGAACAAUCGACGAGGUGCAAUAAUAAUCUAUAGCCAUAUUGGUCAGCGGUAUAUCAUAAUCAUAACAAUUACAUCCAACAAUCACACCAAAUAAUAACACAUACAACACACUGACAUGCAAGGCUAGAACGACGCAGUUCGGCUGAAGCCUACAUCUCUGAAGCUGAAAUCAAAUCCAAUGAACCAAGUCACCAAAGGGAUUCUGGACCACUCAACGGAAUCAAACUCAAGAUACGAUUCCGGACCAUCACUCAACGGAAUCGUGGAGUAGUAAGGAUUCCAAACCAUCACUCAACGGAACCGGGGAGUACCAUGCAUAUAGAACCACCCAAUGUAAUACAAGCUGGAUACGAUUCAGGAUCAUCACUUAACGGAACCGGGGAGUACCAUGCAUAUAGAACCACCCAUGGAAUACAAGCUGGACACGAUUCUGAACCAUCACUCAACGGAAUCACAGAAUAGAAGGGAUUUCGAACCAUCACUCAACGGAAUCCGAGUCAGGGUACGAUUCCGGACCAUCACUCAACAGAAUCGCAGAAUCGAAGGGAUUCCGGACCAUCACUCAACGAAAUCCGAAUCAGGAUACGAUUUCGGACCAUCACUCAAUGAAAUAGAGUGGAAGAUCAAGGGAUACAACAACGGCUUGCAGAAACAAUACAAGAACCAAGUACUUAAUUUAGAAUGGCUGAAUGAAAAUAGAUCAAUCCAAUCAUACAUUACAAACCCCAUGACAGUAGGUUAACGGUCCACUACUAGCCCUCACAUUUCAUCACAUCAAUCCAAUCAUACAUUACAAACCAUAUUUCCAAAACACAAGUAAAAUCAUACUUAAUGAAAAUAGAUCGAUGGCCAGAAAUAAAAAUAACACUUCAAUAGAAUUCACAUUCAAUAAACAUAGGUCUAUGGUGUGUGUGUGUGUGUGUGUGUUGUGUUUCACAUUUCAAUAGAAUUUCAUUUAUAACCUAUAUCUUAUUCACAUAUGAUAUUAAUAUAAGAAAUCAAGGUAAUAGCUAUAUCACAUAUAUUCAAGUCACUCUCAAACCAAUGUGGUCCCACUAGGUUUCACUUAGUUCCCCGUAGUACUAAUUUUAGUAUUUAGAACGUUUCGAGACAUGUUGACCAAAAGCCAAUUCUUGGUCGACAGUAGGAUCCACAACGCUACAAAAUUUGAUCCAGAAGAUCCGAACAUCAUAAUCAAGAUCCGUAACUUCCUAGGGUCCACAUUAUUCUCAAAGAACAACGUACUAAAAUCUCAUCGCAAUCCAACGGUCAGAUCUCCGCCCAUUGCUAGAAUUAGGUGGCGGUUAACAAUUAAUUUUACUAACUUAGAAAUCUAAUUCAUGAAGAUCCGUACAUCAGAUUCCCGAUCUGUAAGUUCUUAUGAUCCCAAAAUAUUACGUACUAUAACAUAUUAAAGUUUGGUGACGAUUCAACAGUCGGAUCGUCGAUUUCUAUUUUGACUUAUUCACGUAUCAAAAUGAAACUAAGUCCAAACAAUCAAAUUACGUCAUACGGAUAUCAAACAUGAACCCAGGGCAUCUAAUAGUGCUUAAAAAGACAUCAUUGGCCCACAGGCCACGCGCCGCCGUGGGUGGCGGUCGGCCACCCCAACUAAUCGAAAAAUUCAACUAUUUUAAAAAUUCUCAAAAAAUUACAAAAUUGAAGAUCUCAAAGAGUAGAAUAAACUUUAUAUCUAUGGCCAAGUCCAAUUUGGCCUAGAAAGUCCCCAAUGUUGUGAAAACCGUACGGAAACCUUAGAAUGGGUGUGUUCGAUUUAACCUCCAAACUUGCUCUGACGCCUCCACCACUGCUUGGGAUUUGUUCAUGGGUUAUAGGGGAGUGCUUUGGUGGUAGUAGUUGAAGAGAAACAUUUCACAAUUGAUGGAUUUUGAGCAAUGGUUCCCGCGUCACCCAUGGUGCUUGUUCCCCAAAUUCCAAGACUAAUUCCACUCCAAUUUUGGGUGGAAUAGGUAGAAGGAAUGAUGAGAGAUGACUUGAAGGGGGAUGACACUGGGCUGGAUCUAUCAGCAGCGAAUUCCCCAUACAAAUAGAGGCGCCUAUCAAAAAGAUACUCCGAAGACUUCGAGAUUGAGGUAUCAUUAGCCGAAGAAGGCCUUGGCCAAUCCACGUGGCCUGCUUGACGAACGUCAGCGACAGAGACAUCAGGUGGUGGGGGACCUUCAUCUCGCCGGAAAUUGGCCGGGAGACCAUGAAUCCCGCCGAUUUGUGUCUCACGGGUCAAAAGACCCGUUUUCCACCCCCCACCUUUUUUUUCUUUUUUCCUUUGUCUCGCCACUCCUGUGGCUUUCUUUCAUUUUCAUUUUUUUUAGCAACAACUUCAAACGUCCGUAACUAUACCGUUAUAAUCCGGACUCGCAAACGGCUUUCGCCUAUGCAUUCGUGAUCUCGAUAUCUAUUCAACAAUAUAAAUUGUGACCUCGAAUGGUCUACGGAUUUUAAAUAAUUAAUUUCCCGAAAAAUAAUAUAAAAUCUCUAUAAUACCAAUAUGUAGAUUAUAAUAAUGAAAUCCAAGAAUGAGAUUUCACACUCGUCCCCAACCCAGAAGAAGAAGAAGAAAAAAAAAAAAAACCGAAUCUGCAACCCAGAAGAAGAUGAAGAAGACAUGUUUUGAAAAGUAAACUUUAAUGCAGGAAAUCAAUACUACAAAGGAAGUAGCUGAGCUAUAAAUACAGAGGAAUGUUUGAACUACAAAGGGAGUAUGUGAAGAGUAGGAUGCAAAGCUUUUUAGAAGUCUUUUUUAAUAUGUUGAGUUAAGUGUCUUUUUUUUUCAACCUUUUUGCUGCCUUUUAUAGAACCGCCAUUUUCUUCUAGAGUAAGCCUUUCCUCCUCGAUUCAUUCUCUCUGGUGCAAGCAGCUGAUAUGAUUUGUUGUCAAAGGAUGAGUUCCCACUUGUAUACUUGAGCUUUUGAUCCCCUUGAAACGUAUCAUCGUUGGCGCAUUCAUCAUAGAAGCUCCAGCUUCAUACUAUCAUAAACACCGUACAUUUGAUAUUUAUUACAAAAUUUUCCUUUCUUCUUUUGCUUUUUCUAAUAAAAAAAUUAAGGUUGAACACAACAGGCUUUGUGGUUCAAAAAUCUAAUGGAAUAUUUGAUAGAAGGGUUGGAUUGUUAGCUUUGGGCUAAUGGAGAGUUGACAAAAAUAUUAAUUUUUGGCUUGAAUCCUAACAAACUUCACCACAAGGAUUUAAAUCCGAUUUUUUUUUUUCACCAUAGGGGUAAUCUUCUUAUUAUCCUAUCACCACGGGGACCAUUGAUCCAAUUUAGCCACUAAAUCAUAUUGCAUCAACUGAACAAAUAUAUUUUUUGUAUUGACGAAGAUAGAUAUAACCGUUAAUCGAUGGAAAAUUCGUUAUUCGGUGGGUAUAAUUAUGGAUAAUUACUGAUGAUUAAUUUACGUUUAUGGAGUGGUUAUUUUCAUGGUUAUUGGGAUGGAUAUAUCAUUUCCGUCCCAAACCAAACCGUUGUCAUCCCUAUAUUUGUUUAUGAGAAAAGUUAAUGAGACUUUCUCAAAAUGAGACUCUCCAUAAACGAUCUAUGCUAACUCAUGUUUUUUGUACAAUACUUUAUAAUGUUGGCAUGAAAAUUAUGCCAAAAACAUUUGAUGGUGGAGAAUCCAUAAAUAGUACUACUUAUGAAAGAGUCUCCUUAACAUUUUUCAUUUGUAUAUAGGCUAAAUAGCCAAAAUGGUCCUUGAGAUUUGCAUAACUCAUCACUUUGGUCCCUAACAUUUCAAAUCGAUAAAAUUGGUCCCUGAGAUUGUCCACCAUCCAUCAUUUUGGUCAUUCCAUUAAAAACUCCGUUAAGUGUCUCGGAACUCUUGGCCGGAAGUUUGGACAAUUUUCAAAGCUUCGUAACUCAAUCGUUUCUUAACCAAAUUCGACCCAUAAUAUAUGAAAAUGAAGAUAGAAAAGUGUAGAAUAAGAUUAUACUUAUUUAUAAGCCCAAUGGCUACCAGAGAUAGCCGGAAAAUAGUCUCAAAUUUGACUGGUCUGAAGGAAAACUGGAAAACUCGCCGGAAACUAGGUAAACUUUAAACGUUCAUAACUUUUUCAAUACGCAACGAAAUCAAGUGAUUUAAAAAAAAAAUCAUACUUCUCAACGAGAAGAAGAGAAUGAUAUCUUUUUCGAUGGCUAAUGCACCGUGGUUUGGCUGGAAAAUGGCUCAAAAGUGGCUGUCUUAGUCUCAAGUUAGCCACUUUCGAGCCAUUUUUCGGCCAAACCACGGCGAUUUAGCUGUCUACAAAGGUACCAUUCUCUUCAUCUCAUCAAGAAGUAUGAUUUUCGUUUUUGAAUCACUUGAUUUCGUUGAGUAUUGAAGAAGUUAUGAACGUUUAAAGUUGACCUAGUUUCCUGCGAUUUUUCCAGUUUUCCCUCGGACCAGUCAACUUUGAGGCUAUUUUCUGGCCAUCUCCAGCAUCUAUUGGGCUUCCAAAUAGGUAUAAUCUUAUUCUACACUUUCCUAUCUUCAUUUUGAUAUAUAUGGGUCGAAUUUGGUUAAGAAACAAUUGAGUUACGAAGGUUUGAAAAUUUCUCAAACUUCAGGCCAAGAGUUCCAGGACACUUGUCAGAGUUUUUAACGGAAUGAUCAAAAUGAUGGAUGAUGGACAAUCUUAGGGACCACUUUUAUCGAUUUGGGAUGUUAGGGACCAAAGUGAUAAGUUAUGCAAAUCUUAGAGACCAUUUUGGCUAUUUAGCCUUUGUAUAUAUGAUGGGUAAUAUUAGGGAGAGUAAAUUUAGAUACAAAACUAGCAAAUUAAAUGACAAUAAAAUGAGCAUGUUUAUCAGCGCUUAAGUAAUAAAUUAAUCAUCAACUUUCACGUUCCUGUUGUAAACAUUCCUAGUUUAAGUAUGAUUGUGUAAAUCCUAGAUAAGAUUUGAUUCUAGUUAUCCUUUCCUAUUACAACUUGUAUUACUUGGAGGAGAAGAAAUAUCUUCUCUACCUUUACUACUAUAAAUAAAGGCACAAUGUAGGAGGGAUAACAACACAUACAUUCCCCUACAAUUCUACAAACACACAUCUCUCUCAUCUCUCUCUCUGCCGCCGGCUCUAGUCUCUCUGUCAGAUAAAAUAGAUCACAACACAUUAUCAGCACGCUCCUACCGCUGCACUUAGGAAUCUGACGUUGGAGAUUUUUUUUUCUGCAUCAAACCAGUUCAUCCAUAUCAUCACGCAAUCAGGUUCUUUCCAAACAACGGUUUUUAACUCGAUAUUUUGCAAGCCCUGAUAGCAUGAACAUUCACCAUGAUGCAUGACCCAACUUUAUGUUUUACGUAUUUUAGAUUCUACAUAAAUUGUGUAUGCUUCAUAACCAAAAUUGCUACAAUUAUGUGAAUUUGAUAUUUGCCAUGAAUUGAAUCUUACAUAUGUACAUGCAUUGAAACUAUUAUUUGCAUAUGGAUCAACGUAAAUAUGUGAUUCAUUAAAUUUAUGCAUAUAAUAUAAUUGAAUUGAAAAAAAAAUAUUUUUUUUGCGAUUUGGGAAUUAGGGUUCUUCGAACCCGUGCACUUGCACCAUGCAAGCUGCAAGCCACCAGGCCAGCAGCUUGCGAUGGCCCAGCUUGGUUUCCUCACCAGGCCUGCAGCCUGCAUCAAGUCCCCACGAGGGCUCCAACCCAGAAACCCGACGUCGUUUAUGGCGUCUCUCCCAUUGUAGGAUGGCUUGCAGCCCAUCCUCACACCUCGGGUUAACUUGUCUAACAGCCUGAAGCUCGUCCUUGACAUCGAUUGACCGAGAUUCAAUUGAAUCUCAUCGGUUUUUAAAAAAAAAACCCAAUUCGAAAUUUCUAGGGUUUGAUUGCAACAAUUGAGAUUUUAAUUUCUCCAUGUUGUAAUCAUAGUCGAAAACACCCCAGAAGGGUACCUCCGAGUCUUCCCGUCCAAGUUUUGGCCACCUGCAGUGGUGGCGCCGAUCAUCUUCUCCGAUGGAAUCACCUAACCUCGCUAGGAUUUCUUGGAUCCAGCCCGAUCCCAAAUUUUUUGGGCCUGGCUUCGACUCAGGCUGAAAAAUAAUAAAUUUUUUUCUUUUGGGCUCGCCAUUGCAAGCCCAGUUCGACCCCCUCAUUUUUUCAGCCUAGCGUUACAUCACACCAGCCCAAAUGGGCUCUGGUGUUCUCCCAUGCCCCAUACUGCAGCAGAACCCAGCCCGUGUGGCUGUUGUGCUUUCCCUGCAUCGUGAUACACACGAUUGAGGCAUUCUUUGGGCCUUUGCCACCUGGGCUUACCUGAAGCAGCCCGUGAGUGAAAAAAAAAAAAAAAAAGAGAAAUUUUUUUUAGGGCUGCACACAGCAGCCCAUUCCCCUCUUCUCACCCCGUGGGCAUGCAACCUACACCCGAGGGUCCUCGGCCUAUAUUUUUAGACCCCGAGAUUUUAUUAUUUAAUACUUUUAAAUAAUAUGGGUUUUUAUAUUUUCACCCACACUUUAAUUUGGCCCCGAAGACCAAAAAUAAAUUAAUUCACUUAUCAUUAUACAAUAUUUCUGCAUAUAUUCUUUGCAUAUUUGUUUGCAUAUAUAUUUGUGUUUGCCUGCAGGAAUAUAUGAACCUAAAGUUCAUAAUUACUUUGAAACCCGAAGUUUCUUCUAAACAUGCCUUGUUUGAAAACCUGAAGUUUUCACUUAAACAUAUCACCCAUGAAACCCGAAGUUUUUCAUGCGAAAUUAUUAGUUUUUGGAUAUUAAGUUUUUAAUCCUUGAAUAAAUGAAAUUAUUUUGAAUUGAUACUUGUUUUUAUAAACUUUUAUGCAUGUGACCGAUUCAAAUUAAUUUUUCAUUCUAGGUAUGACUAGUGGGAAAGUUAGUUGUCUGGCAGAUAGUGCAACCACGCAUACUGUUUUGCGUGAACGCAUCUAUUUCACUAACUUCGUACCUAAGAAUGCACCUCUGACAACCCUCUCAGGCCCAUCCAACCUGAUCGAAGGAUACGGUAAGGCACGUAUAAUGUUGUCCAAUGGUACAAUCUUGACCAUUGCUGAGGCACUCUAUUCUCCACGUUCCGGAAGAACGUUACUAAGUUUCAAGGACAUUAGAGAUAACAAUUACCACGCUGAAACCCACGUAGAAAACGGAGUUGAAUUUAUGUGCGUAACUUCCUACGAAUAUGGCCAGAAGCGUAUUCUAGAGAAGAUGGAGCGUAACCCGAGUGGUCUGUAUACUACGACCAUACGCCCCAUAGAAUGCCACUAUGUGGCCGGCCCUACCACAGGGACUGCGCACGAAAUUACACUUUGGCAUGAUCGUUUGGGACAUCCUGGACGAAUAGCGAUGCGCCGUAUCCUCAAAACUUCACACGGGCAUCCACUAACCCGAAGCUUAGGUUCGAUCCAUGAAAUUGCAUGUCAAACAUGUUCUAUAGGAAAGCUUAUUACUAAGCCUUCUUAUGACAAGAUUCGUUCGAAUCCUCCCAUUUUUCUACAACGGAUUCAGGGGGACAUUUGUGGACCGAUUCAACCUCCUUGCGGACCAUUUAGAUAUUUUAUGGUUUUGGUUGACGCUUCUACACGUUGGUCACACGUGUGCUUGUUGUCCACAAGGAACGCUGCAUUCUCCAAACUGUUGGCUCAGGUUAUCAAGCUCAGGGCUCACCACUCUGAUUAUCCGAUCAAAUCUAUUCGAUUGGAUAAUGCUGGAGAAUUCAUAUCUAAAACUUUUGAUGACUAUUGCUUGUCGGUUGGGGUUAACGUUGAACAUCCUGUACCCCAUGUUCACACCCAGAACGGCCUGGCAGAGGCUUUCAUUAAGCGUUUACAAAUGAUUGCUCGAUCGUUGGUCAUACAUACCAAGCUCCCGAUCGCUGCUUGGGGCCAUGCAAUAUUGCACGCAGCAAAGUUGGUCCGCCUGAGGCCUGCUGUGACACAACCAUUUAGUGCCCUUCAGUUGGUCACCGGAUGCGAACCCGACAUAUCGCAUCUGCGCGUUUUUGGUUGUGCGGUCUAUGUGCCGAUCUCGCCGCCCUUACGUACAAAAAUGGGGCCUCAGCGAAGGAUGGGAAUCUAUGUCGGAUAUGAUUCUCCUUCGAUUAUUCGUUACUUAGAACCUUUGACAGGCGAUCUGUUUACCGCUCGUUUCGCGGAUUGUCACUUCUAUGAGACAGUCUUCCCGUCGUUAGGGGGAGAUAAAAACGUCAACGUUCCUAAUGAACGACGUGAAUUAUCAUGGACGACUCCCACUUUGUCUCAUUUAGAUCCCCGCACCGCUCAGUCUGAAGCUGAAGUGCAGCGCAUAUUAGAUCUCCAGAGCAUAGCUCAGAGCAUGCCAGAUGCUUUCACCGAUCUAGCGCGCGUGACAAGAUCACAUAUUCCAGCUGCGAAUACGCCUGCAAAGAUAGAUGUACCAAAUGUACGACGGACUACUCUCCUGGAAGCCCGGGACGCAAAUUCUGGUGAUCCACGUACAUUAACGGCUAGCCAAUCAUCUGCCCCUACACAAAAGCGUGGCAGACCCCUUGGUUCAAAUGAUUCACACCCCCGGAAGAGGAAAACCACGGCACAAGGUCCUGAAGAGCCUACCGUGAAUCCGACUAUCGCUUACUCAUUUUACCCAACUCAUGAGGAAAUUCUAGAUUAUGGAAGCGUCCUUGAAGAGACGAAUCCUCCUCCCGAGAAUCGUGAGAUUUCGGUCUAUUAUGCUAGUUUAGAUGAUGUGUGGCGUAGAAAUGAGAUGAUUGUCGACGAUGCAUUAGCAUUUGCAGUAGCUACUGAGAUCAUGUUGAGCGAUGACAUUGAACCGCGUUCCGUUGAUGAAUGUCGACGUAGAGCUGAUUGGUCAAACUGGAAACAAGCAAUCCAAGUCGAACUUGAUUCACUUGCGAAACGUAAGGUGUUUGGACCUGUAGUUCCUACUCCUCCACAUGUGAAGCUCGUUGGCUACAAAUGGGUUUUCGUUCGGAAGCGUAAUGAGAAGAACGAAAUUAUGCGUUACAAAGCUCGUCUUGUAGCACAAGGUUUCUCACAACGUCCCGGGAUUGACUAUGACGAAACUUACUCACCCGUUAUUGAUGUGAUUACUUUUCGAUACCUUAUCAGUUUGGUAGUUUCCGAAAAACUAGAUAUGCAGCUAAUGGACGUAGUAACCGCGUAUCUCUAUGGGGAUCUUAAUAUGGAAAUUUAUAUGAAAGUUCCCGAAGGACUUACAUUGACUGGUUCAAAUAUUUCCAAACCCCGGAACACGCUCUCAAUUCGGCUGAGGCGUUCACUAUACGGUUUGAAAUAAUCCGGAAGAAUGUGGUAUAACCGUUUGAGUGAGUAUUUGACUAGUCAGGGAUAUGUGAACAAUGAACUAUGCCCUUGUGAGUUCAUUAAGAAGUCACAUUCCGGAUUUAUGAUUGUUGCAGUAUAUGUCGAUGACAUGAAUCUCAUCGGAACUCCUGAAGAGCUCGCGAGAACUGCUUCGCACCUGAAGUCGGAAUUUGAGAUGAAAGAUCUAGGAAAGACUUGAUACUGUCUCGGUCUCGAGAUAGAGCAUUGUUCGGAUGGAAUCUUAGUACAUCAAUCGAACUACACCCAGAAGAUGUUACGCCGUUUUAAUGAGGAUAAAGCGAAGUCUUCGAGUACUCCUAUGGUCGUUGAUGCGUAAAAUAAGUUAACACACAAAAUUAAACCCUCUUUUUGACAAUUGUAGUAUAGAUGUAAGUAGGGUAUCGUUCUAGGCCGGGGAUUAGGAGGGAUUGCUAAUCUAUUAAAUUAACUUAAAAAUAUUAAAUAAGACUCAAGGACACAAAACUAGGCUAAAAACUCUAAUAACUCGAAACACACUUAAAAUGACUCAAAAUAAUGAAAACAAUUAAAUUAAAUACUAGGAACUGAAAUGGACGGAAAUUAAAUUAAAAGACUAACAAUAAAGAAAACUAAAUAAAUAAUAUAAUUUAAUAAUGGAUGGGUGUUUGGUUUUGAUGAAAAGUAAAUUAAACUUAAUUAAAUUACAGAAUUGACAAAAACAUGAAAUUAAGGUGAAAUGAUAAAUGACGGACUAGCUAGAGGGUUCUUCUCCACACAUGACACAUAUGCAACCUAAAUUGAUUUUCAGUUGUUCUUUCAAUAAAUUGUGAAUCUCAAUACUCCAGAUUAACCGUGAAUAGCACUUUUUUAAUCUUCAAGUUUUCCUUAAGUUAUUGAAUUGGACGGAAAAAACGCAUACAACAAUUCAAAACAUUCUUCAAAAGUCCCCUACGUGAAAAGCACAAUAGCGAUACAAUCAAAGAUCAUUAAACUUUGUGAAAACUAUAAGCAUUGACGAGGCAUUCGUAACUAUGAAAAGCAUGAUACUCUUGCCAAGAAUUUACUUAACGUGAUUGUGACUAGCAACCUUUACUACUUGUGAAAAUAAGUUCAUAACGAUUAGGUGAAAUUCACUUAUAUUCUAGCAUCAAAUUCAUGCAUGUAAAUUAAGCGUACACUCUCAACCAACAUACACAAAUCAGUUUUUAUACGAACGGAUAAGUAAAUUGAAAUCACAACUUAUGAAAUCACAACCGAAGGUAAUCAAUUCAUAUUACAAAUAUAUUCAUGGUUUCGAAUUAACCUCUAGCCAAAAUAAAAUUAAUUACACAUUAUUAAAAUAAAAAUAAAAUAGGAGUUUGGAAAGAUUAAACCGAAAGAAAGGAUCUGCUGCUUGGACUCUGAACUGCAUUUUCAUGCUGACCUCCUGUCCUCCUCGCCACUGACUUCCCUUCUCUCCGCAGCUUCACGCUGCCCAAAGGGCAGCCCUCUGCCUUCCACCAAUUCCCCCCCUCCUUCUCUCUUCUGCCAAUCCCAUCUAUAUCCUCAUGCUCCUGACCUCCUCCUUAUUUCUUUUUUUUCUAUUUUAUUUUUUUUUGUUGCUGUCCACCACAUUCUCUGCGCCUACUGCGCUCCCAGCUGUCUCUCCUGCUUUCCACUGACUUUUCCCGCUCCCACUUCUCUCUAUCCUCUUUCUGCUGCCGCAAGGCAGCUGUCUGCUUGCUGCUUCUCUCUCCCUUUUUCUGCUUGUUUAUAUUUUUUUUUUUCUUCUUUUCCUUUUCCUUCUUUUCCUUUUCCUUUCUUUUUCUUUUCUUUCUUUUUCUUUUCUUCUUUGCCGUUCCUUUCUUCUUCUACAAAACAUGAAUCAUGAUGAUGUUUCAAACAUCAUCAUGACUUGUUAUUAUUAUUAUAUAUUUAUUUAUUUUUAAUUUUAUUUAAAAGCUGAUCUACACAGACAGUUUUGACGAAUUUAUUACAUAAAAUUUCACUUGUUCUAUUUUUAUUUUCUUUGCAUAACAAAUCCUAUAAACACAAAAAUAACGUAAAUAGCUCAAAAAUAUAAGGAACUAACUAAGAAAAGACGAGUGAAUUCGAAGUAAAAAUAUAUAUAAAUAUCAUCCGAUCAAAUACCCCCACACUUAACUUUUGCUAGUCCUCGAGCAAAACAAAGAAAACUAGAACAAGAAGUAACAAGAAAAACAUUAGCUUCCCCCUAUGUGACCCUCAUAGAAUUUCAUUCGAGAAAACAAAUCAUCAAGAACCAUAGCUAGCAUCAAGGAAAUAAUCCAAGUUCAUCUUCCUUAUUCAAAUAUUAGCAGUAAUCUUUAAAUCAUCCUUGAAGUGUAGUGUGUGAGAUAGCCAUGCUAAUGCAAUUUCAAGUUUUUAUUUUUAAAAUCAUCAUAUGCAAACUAGCGACCUUCUCACGGGAUAUGCACUCAAUCACACAUGUGUUUAGUUUUAAUGUGUUUCGCUCAAAGAAUCAAAUGUGAAAUUUCUACCAUAAGCUUGCAUAAAGAUCACUUCUCCACAGUCAUAAUUGCAAAACUUAAAUCAAGAGGACUUUUAUUGGAUGUAAUGAGGCUUAGGGAUAGGGUUAUUGAAAUGAAAGAAUAGGAAAACACAAGUUCCAAGCUAUAUUGCAAGCAAUUCUUUUGUUUAGAUUUAUAAGAACUCAAUUUUUUCAGCGAUUCUUCUAGCACCUCCAACCAUACCCUUAAACUGAAACUUUAAAAACUUUUUAUUUUCUUUGUAUACAAUCUUUCUUUUUCUUUUCUUUUUUUCUUCUUUUUUUUUAUUUUUUUUUAUUUUUAUUUUUUUUAUACAAACAUGAAAUACCCCCACACUUAUUCUUUUGCCAAACACCUUCAAAGUACUUCACAAACAUUUCUCAUAAGACAAUCUCACAUUGCUCACUUGGAAAGGGUAAGGAAAAAAUGUUUCAGGCAUAAGGGUAGACAUAUCUGGUGAUAAGAAAUAAAAGGCUCAACAUACACGGCUCAAAUUGGCAAUCUAAUGAUAUCAUUUUCUUUGGGAAACAUAGUUAUUUGGGCCAUAGUGGUAAACCUAAUGCCUCUAUCAUUUCCAAGUUCAUGCAAUCAAUGACAAACAUUUCGAAAGAUCGUUACGCAAGUUCUAGAGAUGUAUCUCACAUAAGUUCAUCACACAUGAAAGAAUAGGAGUGUAUGAAAAAUGCACACUUUCAAUAGGCUCAAAAACUCACAUAGGAUGUAUAUGGUCACUAAAUUCACAUAUGAAGCUUUAAGUCAUACUUUAGUUUCACAUUAACAAGGCUAUGUGCAUUUGGUUUUUCAAAGAUGGUCAAACAUGUACAAAACUAACAAGAGAAUUAGGAAUUUCACCAAAACACAUGUUAACUAAGUUCUUGAUGAUCAUGGUUCAAAUUUUUGAUCCAAUUAUAUCAUUGGGUCGGGAAACUAACAAAAAUCUGAUUCAGAACAAUAAGGGAAACAAGACAAUAUUUUUUGGAUUUUUAAAUUUUUCGAUUUUUUUUUUUUUUUUUUUUUUUUUUUUUAAGAAAACAAAAACUAACAACACAGAAACAAAUGAAAUUCUAGAGAUUUCUACCCCCACACUUAAACUUGACAUUGUCCCCAAUGUCAGAAAACACUAUAACGCAAAUAAAAAUAAAAUAAAUAAAUAAAUAAUAAGAAACAAAAUAAAAACAAUGGGACUGAAAACUUCCCUAAUUUGCAGUAAAAUCAAGCGAUGACCCCCAAGCUAAAAUUCUGCAAUCAACUUCAAGGGUGGAAAUAACCAAAAGUUUCCUGCAAAGAAAAGAAAUAAUACAGUUAAGUACGCAAGAAAAUUAAUUAAAAAAAAAAAAAUUGCAAACGAAAAAUUGAAAAUUACGAUAAAAAGAUAAUGAAUAAAACUAAUAAGUAAUCAUUGGUCGUGCUUGUUGACUUUCCACAGCUUUCCUCUUGAACAGGGUGACACUUAGCUUUUUUACUAUUUGAUGAUAUUGUACGGCGGAGCUUUGCUCUUUGGGAAUGUUGCAGUUCCUUAUUUGUUCUCCAAGCAGAUGUGGCAGCUUCUCUAGUUCCUCAGUUCGGACUCCUUCCGCUGGGAUGAUUGUGCAAGCUGCAUUCUUCUCUGCUUGUUUCUUCUGCACAACGGGCAGGCACGAGGGAAAGGUGUUGGUCCUUAUUUCUUUCUUCAAUCUUUCCAAGUGCCCACCUCUUGCUUUCUUUCUCCUUGUCCCUAGCUGAAUUGUCUCCACAUGCUUCGAGGUAUCAUUUUCACUUUCCUUACUGUCCCCCAGGCAGAUGUGGUAGACGAAGAGAAAGCAUAAAAUGAUGAAGAUGAGUACUCGAGAGCAAGGCUAGGUAAGCAAUCAGGAAAGGGUUCCAGGCAGUUGGCUCCAGAUUGGAAGAUUGAUACCAAAUGCUGGCUGAUUGCUCUCUUUCUCCUUGUCGGAAAACAAAGACAAGGAGAAGGACAUGGAGAAAGCAUGAUAUGAGAUACUCUUGCUUUCAACCUUUAUGAUAUGAAAUACUUUUGCUUUGAAUGGGUUGUUCGCAGGAGUAUCCCAAGGAAUGAGGAACACAGAGUGACUCGAGAGGAUUCUUUGGGAAUGCAUUUUCGGAGAUGAAGAGGUGUUGAGAGGGUGUGCUGAGAGAGUGUGCUUUUGCUGUGGAAGGCGAAGGUAGAAACUUAUAGGACUUGUCUUCACAACCGGAACUGUUCUCUCACUUAGUGUCGGCAGCCGGUGGAUGGGUGAAGAAUACAAAUUACGCGCUUUCUGACAAAGCUGCCCGUAAUUUCCGCAAAGCUGCCAGUUGCAUGUGACAAGUGCUGACUAGGCUGAGAGAGACAGAUGGUUGGAAUCGGCACUUCGACAGACUGCCCGUGAUUUUCGCAGAGCUGAGUUUGCGUGUGACGGGUGACAACACGUCUGGACGAAUUGAUCUUGCGAAAUCCGGGGUUCGGCUCGUGGUUUCUGAGCAAGCCCAACUUUUAAGAAAUGAACGCCUCUUUUGAGAAAAGAAUCCGGCUUUUGAGAACGGAAACUCCUCUUUUGAGAAAAGAAUCCGGCUUUUGAGAAAGGAGCCCCGACUCUUCGAUUUGCGAGAUGACGCUUCUCUGAGGAGCGCCUCUUUGAUUUCUUCUUUUUAUAGAGGCGUUAAUUUUGUUCCACAACACACUUGAGUACCCUCCUGUAAACACUCCCAUCUUGCACUUGUUUAAUCUUGAUCAGUCCAACUCUCUUCUUUCUUUACCACCUCUGAAAAAUGUCUGGCCCUUCUGAUCGUCGUUUUGACUUGAACAUUGGUGAAGAGGCAGCUCCGCCUUCACCAGACAACAUAUGGCGGCCAUCCUUCAUAUCCCCUACCGGUCCCCUUACCGUGGGGGAUUCGAUGAUGAAAAAUGACAUGACCGCUGCGGUGGUGGCCCGAAACCUUGUCACUCCCAGAGAUAACAGACUGCUCGCAAGGCGGUCUGAUGAAUUGGCGGUCAAGGAGUCUCUGGCUCUCAGUGUGCAGUGUGCGGGUUCCGUAUCCAACAUGGCCCAACGCCUAUAUGCCCGAACCCGUCACGUUGAAUCCUUGGUGGCUGAAAUACAGAGUCUCAAGUAAGAGAUUAAAGGGCUCAAGCAUGAGAAUAAGGAAUUGCACAAGCUCGCACACAGCUAUGCCACCAGCAUGAAGAGGAAGAUUGACCAGAUGCAGGACACCGAUGGUCAAAUUUUACUUGAUCAUCGGAGGUUUGUGGGUUUGUUCCAACAACAUCUGCCUUCGUCUUCUGGAGCGGCACCGCGUAGUGAAGCUCCAACUGAUCAACCUAUGCCGCCUCCUCCUUCUGUGGCCCCGCCGACUGCUGAAGCCCCGCCCGACCAAUGAAUACUAUUAGUUUACAUCAUUGUAAAAUAUUUGUACUUUUUUUUUUUUAUUUUUUUAUUUUUUUAUAAAUGUAAAUUAAUGUAAAGAGACUUUGGUUAACCUUCCCACACUUAAACUAAAUAACACAAACUCACAGAAAUCAAACAAAUAACACAACUAACUAAACAAGACAAAAUGAAAGCAUUAAAGAUAAGGGUGUAAAAAUGCAAAUCUGAUUGGGUUAGCGAUUCCAAAGUCUCCCUUCGUUGAAUGCUUGGGUUGCCUCCCAAGAAGCGCUUGAUUUAACGUCUUUAGCCGGACGCAUCUUUCCUUUAAAUUUCCCUCGGCUCCAUUUGAACCUAAAAUCAAAGAAAGAAAAAUAAAUCAAAUAUCAAAAGUAAAAUACACAAACACCAAUAUAAACAUAAACAAAAACAAAAAUAAAAGGAUUAGCAAAGUUGCUAAUCCCCGGCAACGGCGCCAAAAUUUGAUGCGUAAAAUAAGUUAACACACAAAAUUAAACCCUCUUUUUGACAAUUGUAGUAUAGAUGUAAGUAGGGUAUCGUUCUAGGCCGGGGAUUAGGAGGGAUUGCUAAUCUAUUAAAUUAACUUAAAAAUAUUAAAUAAGACUCAAGGACACAAAACUAGGCUAAAAACUCUAAUAACUCGAAACACACUUAAAAUGACUCAAAAUAAUGAAAACAAUUAAAUUAAACACUAGGAACUGAAAUGGACGGAAAUUAAAUUAAAAGACUAACAAUAAAGAAAACUAAAUAAAUAAUAUAAUUUAAUAAUGGAUGGGUGUUUGGUUUUGAUGAAAAGUAAAUUAAACUUAAUUAAAUUACAGAAUUGACAAAAACAUGAAAUUAAGGUGAAAUGAUAAAUGACGGACUAGCUAGAGGGUUCUUCUCCACACAUGACACAUAUGCAACCUAAAUUGAUUUUCAGUUGUUCUUUCAAUAAAUUGUGAAUCUCAAUACUCCAGAUUAACCGUGAAUAGCACUUUUUUAAUCUUCAAGUUUUCCUUAAGUUAUUGAAUUGGACGGAAAAACGCAUACAACAAUUCAAAACAUUCUUCAAAAGUCCCCUACGUGAAAAAGCACAAUAGCGAUACAAUCAAAGAUCAUUAAACUUUGUGAAAACUAUAAGCAUUGACGAGGCAUUCGUAACUAUGAAAAAGCAUGAUACUCUUGCCAAGAAUUUACUUAACGUGAUUGUGACUAGCAACCUUUACUACUUGUGAAAAUAAGUUCAUAACGAUUAGGUGAAAUUCACUUAUAUUCUAGCAUCAAAUUCAUGCAUGUAAAUUAAGCGUGCACUCUCAACCAACAUACACAAAUCAGUUUUUAUACGAACGGAUAAGUAAAUUGAAAUCACAACUUAUGAAAUCACAACCGAAGGUAAUCAAUUCAUAUUACAAAUAUAUUCAUGGUUUCGAAUUAACCUCUAGCCAAAAUAAAAUUAAUUACACAUUAUUAAAAUAAAAAUAAAAUAUGAGUUUGGAAAGAUUAAACCGAAAGAAAGGAUCUGCUGCUUGGACUCUGAACUGCAUUUUCAUGCUGACCUCCUGUCCUCCUCGCCACUGACUUCCCUUCUCUCCGCAGCUUCACGCUGCCCAAAGGGCAGCCCUCUGCCUUCCACCAAUUCCCCCCCUCCUUCUCUCUUCUGCCAAUCCCAUCUAUAUCCUCAUGCUCCUGACCUCCUCCUUAUUUCUUUUUUUUCUAUUUUAUUUUUUUCUGUUGCUGUCCACCACAUUCUCUGCGCCUACUGCGCUCCCAGCUGUCUCUCCUGCUUUCCACUGACUUUUCCCGCUCCCACUUCUCUCUAUCCUCUUUCUGCUGCCGCAAGGCAGCUGUCUGCUUGCUGCUUCUCUCUCCCUUUUUCUGCUUGUUUAUAUUUUUUUUUCUUUUUCCUUUUCCUUCUUUUCCUUUUCCUUUUCUUUUUCUUUUCUUUCUUUUUCUUUUCUUCUUUGCCGUUCCUUUCUUCUUCUACAAAACAUGAAUCAUGAUGAUGUUUCAAACAUCAUCAUGACUUGUUAUUAUUAUUAUAUAUAUAUUUAUUUUUAAUUUUAUUUAAAAGCUGAUCUACACAGACAGUUUUGACGAAUUUAUUACAUAAAAUUUCACUUGUUCUAUUUUUAUUUUCUUUGCAUAACAAAUCCUAUAAACACAAAAAUAACGUAAAUAGCUCAAAAAUAUAAGGAACUAACUAAGAAAAGACGAGUGAAUUCGAAGUAAAAAUAUAUAUAAAUAUCAUCCGAUCAGUCGUUCGUACGCUAGAUGCAAAACGAGAUCCCUUCCGUCCGAAUGAGGAUGAUGAAGAGAUUUUGGAGCCUGAAGUUCCUUAUCUAAGUGCGAUAGGCGCUUUAUUGUACUUAGCUCAAUGCACUAGACCCAGCAUCUCAUUUGCUGUUAAUCUUUUGGCAAGAUACAGCAAUGCACCAACACGCAGACAUUGGACUGGCGUGAAAGACAUCUUCCAUUACCUUAAGGGUACUAUGGAUUUGGGCUUAUUUUAUCCCUACGAAUCCUCGAGUGAUGCCGCACCCUAUGCUCAUCGGGUUGAUUCUCGCCUUGUUGGUUAUGCCGACGCUGGAUACUUAUCUGAUCCGCACAAGGCGCGUUCUCAAACGGGUUAUGUCUUUACCGUUGGAGGCACCGCAAUAUCUUGGAGGUCAACUAAACAGACCUUAGUUGCCACUUCGUCUAACCAUGCUGAAAUUCUCGCCUUACAUGAAGCAACUCGGGAAUGCUUUUGGUUGAGAGCAGUAAUGGGCCAUAUUCGAAGCUCCUGUGAUCUUCAUCCUGCCGUUAAUGCCCCGACGACGAUUUUUGAAGACAACGCAGCUUGCAUCGAACAACUCAAGAAGGGUUACAUCAAAGGAGACAACACCAAGCAUAUUGCGCCGAAGUUCUUCUUUACACAUCAACAACAAGAACAUCAGAAGAUUGAAGUCACGCAAAUCCGAUCACAAGACAAUAUGGCCGACCUCUUCACCAAAUCACUACCGAAGGCGACGUUUCAGAAGCUUGUUCAUGGAAUUGGUAUGCGUAAACUUUCUGAGUUGUAACUUUGCUAUUUCUCUUUGGAAUUAUGUCAAACUCAGGAGGAGUAUCCUCUGGAUACUUGCUUGAUCUUAAUGUAAUUUUUUUCCCUAUGAUUAGGAGCAUUUUUCCCACUGGGUUUUUGCUACCUAACUAGGUUUUAACGAGGCACCCACCUUGGGCUGGUCAUAUCCCUGAUGACGUCCUGUAGAUGUUUCUUUUGACUUUGCAUUUCUCACACAUUUUCCUUAGACUAUGGAUUUUGUCCCUACUCGGGUUUUUGCCAUAGCCUUAGGGUUUUUUAGUGGGACUUACUACUUAUGCAAGUUCCUACCUUAUUGAGAAUAAGCGUUGUUCCUUGGAAUCAAUGCCGACGAGUCAACUUCCUCAACUUCUGCAUGAUACUGAAUCUACCUUGAGUAUUUACACACUCAAGGGGGAAUGUUGUAAACAUUCCUAGUUUAAGUAUGAUUGUGUAAAUCCUAGAUAAGAUUUGAUUCUAGUUAUCCUUUCUUAUUACAACUUGUAUUACUUGGAGGAGAAGAAAUAUCUUCUCUACCUUUACUACUAUAAAUAAAGGCACAAUGUAGGAGGGAUAACAACAUAUACAUUCCCCUACAAUUCUACAAACACACAUCUCUCUCCUCUCUCUCUGCCGCCGGCCCUAGUCUCUCUGUCAGAUAAAAUAGACCACAACAGUUCCUUAGUUUUCAAAAUUUUAUUUUCAUAUUUAGUCUCCUAACAUUGUCCAUGAAAUCACUUUAAUUUUGAGAUUAGAAGUGUCAACGACUCAGCAAGAUUAUUUCGCCAUCGCAAUUCCAGCAGAUUGAUUGGCAAUUAACAUGAAUUGAUUGAGUAGUAUACUAUAUUUUAUAACACAAAUCAAAAGAAAUUAACGAGAAGAAGCAACCCACUAGCAACAGUGCCGAUAAAAGCAAACCAAACGAAAAGGUGUGUGAACAUCCGAGCCAAAGUUACACUCACCUUUCAGGAGAAGCGAUAAGGCGGUGAAGAUAAGUGAAAGCCGAUCCGAACUGCAAAGUCAAUGAUGGAUGAAGCCGAUCCGAAUUGAGGAACUUGGAGGGAAACAUGGAUAAAGGUGGAAGAAAAUAGGGGGAAAAGAUGGAAAAGGUGGAAGGAAGAUAGAUGGAAGGAAACACGGAGAAAAAGUAGUCUUUAAAUUUGUCCCGCCAACAACUUUUUUUUCUAUUUUUUUUAACAAAAACGAUAAUAUCUACCAUAAGAGAGGGGUGUGCCAAAAUGACAAAAAUAUCCUUCAUUUAAUAAACAAUGGGCUAAAAUAAUUUGAUAAAAAAUAAGAGUAUUUUUGUCAUUUUUUCCUUAUUUAAUAGUGAUUUUUCACGGAAAAAUCAAAAUGAUCGAUGGUAAACAAACUCAGGGACUAGUUCUUAGAUUCUAAAUCUCAAGGACCAAAAUGAGGACUUAAAACCAAUCCUAGAGACUAUUUUGACUAAAAAGCCAUUAUUUUACCAAUGACACCAAUUUUAUUAAUCUAGAAAGAGGUGAUUCUAAAUCUCAAAGACUAAAAUGAGGACUUAAAUCAAUCUCAGAGACUAUUUUGACUAAAAGAACCAUUAUUUUACUAAUGACACCAAUUUUAUUAAUCUAGAAAGAGGUGACUCACCAAUUUGAUCUAUCAAACCUAAAAUGAAAAACAACGUAGUUUGGUCAUAGCACAAAAGAACUUGUGGGGUAAACCAAAUAGGUGGAGCAGUGUGUUCGUCUCUUAACACUUAAUUUCAAAUUCCUAUACCUAUAUAUUUGAGUAGUGGAAGUAAACAUUGUAAACCAGAGUGGUCUAACACCUCUUGAUCUGCUAAUCUUCCCGAGUGAAGCCGGCUAUAGGGAAAUUGAAGAGAUCCUUCGUGGUGCCGGAGCUUCGAGAGCACAGGACAUACACCAUACUCCCUCUCAUUGUCCCAUGGAAACAAAUUGUUGAACUAUAAGUAUUUGAGCUGAAAUGUUUUAGAAUAAGUUUUGUUUAAAUUGGUGAAUCCACUUGUGCAGAAUGAGGCAAAGUGUAAAUGUCUAGUUUUGUAAAAAGGCCAUGAGUGCCAUGUGUUGGUAGAUCCAUGAAAUUAGAGAGAUGUGUGUCUAGGAUGAAAUGUAGUAGUUUAUGUGGUCCCAAGUUAAGGACCUUCAGUUAAUGUAAAGCACGUGAGUGCUCAUUUCUGAAAAAAAAAGAAGCAAUUUUCCUCUGUAAAGUUUCUGCAGAGAAAAGAACAAGAAACCGUUCGCUUUCUCCAACCUUUGUUCAUCGUGUGUUUUCUGUACAGCUCCAUCUUCAUCAAAACUCUCAUUGAAAUCAAGUUACACUAACAUGGCCUCAGAGCCAGGUUGGGUCUAACAAUCUGGGCGUAAAUCUGUGAAGCUAUUUUUGAGCUCAAUCGAAGCUCUCUUGAAGCUCCGUGAACGUUGUCGAUUCAGAUCAAAACAUGUCUGGAUCUGGAGGCUCGGAAGUGAGGACUCCAAUUUUCUCCGGUGAGAACUACGAGUUCUGGAGAAUUAAAAUGGCAACGAUAUUCAAAUCCCUUGGGUUAUGGAACCUGGUAGAGAAGGGGAUUGAAACCUCCAAUCCGAAGAAGAAGGAAGCUGGAGAAGCAUCGAAGGAUGAUGAAGAAAUGGUAGCUGUUCUGAUGAAAGACACAAAGGCUUUGGGAAUCAUUCAGAAUGCAGUCUCGGAUCAGAUCUUCCCACGAAUCGCCAAUGCCGAGUCAGCUAAGAUGGCAUGGGAUUUGUUGUACGGGGAGUAUCAUGGUGGUGAUCAGGUACGAUAUGUGAAAUUGCAGAAUCUUAGGAGAGAGUUUGAAUAUGCUAGGAUGAGAGAUGAUGAGUCUUUAUCUAGCUAUCUUACACGGCUGAAUGAGCUAAUUAAUCAAAUGAGAACAUUUGGUGAAUCUCUGUCGAAUGAGAGACUGGUGCAAAAGGUUUUGAUUAGUCUUAGUAAACCUUAUGAUUAUAUCUGUUUGGUUAUAGAAAACACAAAGUGUCUAGAGACUGUAGAGUUGCAGGAAGUAGUUGCAAUCUUAAAAAGUCAAGAACAACGGUUUGAUCUGCAUACUGUUGAUACUACUGGGAAAGCAUUCUCAUCUUUCUCAAUGAGUUCAAAAGAGCAGGAUAGGGGUGAAGGUCAAUCUGGUUCAUCUCGGUUCCAGAAAAAUUGGAAUAACAAGGGCAAGAAAUGGGGUUCAAAACCUAAGUUUCAGCAUAAAUUUCCUGCUAAUCCUGCACAUAAUGCACAGUCAAUGAGGCAGAUAGGUACAAAACCACAGUGCAGGGUAUGUUCUAAGUUUCACUUUGGAGAGUGUAGGUAUAAAGGGAAACCUAAAUGCUAUAACUGUGAAAAGUUUGGUCACUGGGCUAGAGAGUGCACAGUAGGUAAAUUAGUGCAAAAGGCAAAUAGUGCUAAUCAGGUAGAGGUGACAGGGAACCUGUUUUAUGCAAAUAGCACAAUCACUGAAUCAAAAGUGAAUGGAGAAUGGUAUGUAGACAGUGGUUGUAGCAACCAUAUGACAGGGGAUUCUAAGUUGUUGAUAGACAUGAAGACAAAUGUGGUUGGCAAGGUUCAAAUGCCCACAGGGGAACUCAUGAAUGUGGCAGGUUUUGGUACACUUGUGAUAGACACUAGCAAAGGCAGAAAAUAUGUCAAAGAAGUAAUGUACCUACCUGGGUUGAAGGAAAAUCUGUUAAGUGUGGGGCAGAUGGAUGAACACGGUUACUACCUGUUAUUUGGGGGAAAGAUGUGUAGUAUCUUUGAUGGACCUUCAUUGGAUUGUCUUGUACUCAAAGUUGAAAUGAAAAAGAACAGAUGUUAUCCUUUGACACUGAUACAAAAUGAUCAGGUUGUACUGAGAGCAGGUAUUUCUAAGUCUACUUGGAUAUGGCACAAGAGACUAGGCCAUCUGCAUUUUAGAGGUCUUCAACAGCUUAAGAACAAAGAAAUGGUGCAUGGUCUCCCAGUUUUAGAAGAAAUGGAUGAAGUUUGUAAAGGUUGUCAGUUUGGGAAACAGCAUAGAGAGUGGUUUCCAAAGAAUCAAGCGUGGAGAGCAAGUAAACCUCUAGAACUGGUGCAUGUAGAUCUGUGUGGUCCUAUGCAGAAUGAUUCUCUUGCGGGCAACAAAUAUUUCAUGCUUCUUGUAGAUGACUGUACAAGAAUAAUGUGGGUUUAUUUUCUGAAAUACAAGUCAGAUGCAUUGAUCUGUUUUAGAAAAUUCAAGUCCAUGGUGGAAUUACAAAGUGGUUUUAAGAUAAAAUGUUUGAGGAGUGACAGAGGGGGUGAAUUCACAUCUUGUGAAUUCAACAAACUGUGUGAAGAUGCAGGGAUUCAAAGACAGUUAUCUAUGGCCUAUACUCCACAACAGAAUGGAGUGGUAGAGAGGAAGAACCGAGCUGUGGUUGAGAUGGCAAAAGCUAUGCUUCAUGACAAAGGACUACCAUACUACUUAUGGGCAGAAUCUGUACUCACAGCUGUCUAUAUAUUGAACAGGUGUCCUACAAGAGCUCUUGGAGAAGUAACUCCAUUUGAAGCAUUCAGUGGUCGAAAACCUGGAAUUGCACAUCUUAGAAUCUUUGGUUGUCUGUGUUAUGUACACACACCAAAUGAGUUGAGACAGAAACUAGAUGCAAAGAGUGUCAAGGGCAUAUUUGUAGGUUAUGCAACCUGUGAAAAGGGGUACAGAGUGUAUGAUCCUCUUAGUAAAAAGCUUAUACUCUCAAGGGAUGUUGUGUUUGAUGAAAAUGCAGCCUGGGAAUGGAAGACAGCUCCUGAGAACUAUGUAACUGUGUUUAAUCCUAUUGAGUUAUCUGUGCUGCCUAAAUGUAUCUCAUCAGAGACAACUCCAGAGGAAAAUGAUUAUGUUUUGUCACCAAAUCUGGCAUUUUCUCAUGAAUCUGUAAGUGAUGUGGACAGCAGCAUGAAAAUGACUCAAGCCUUUGAUCACACUCCAUUGAAAUGGAGGAAUCUAGAUGAUGUCUUGGCACAAUGCAAUCUUUGUAUUAUGGAACCUGAAAAAUUUGAAGAGGCAGCCAAAGAUGAAGCAUGGAUGAAGGCUAUGAAAGAUGAACUGUCAAUGAUUGAGAAGAAUGCAACAUGGGAUCUGGUGAACAGACCAAGUGAUAAACCCAUAAUUGGGGUUAAGUGGGUGUUCAAGACCAAGCUUAAUCUCGAUGGGACAGUGCAAAAGCAUAAGGCAAGAUUGGUAGCCAAAGGAUAUGCUCAGAAACCAGGUGUGGAUUACAAUGAAACGUUUGCACCUGUAGCUAGACUGGAUACAAUUCGGACUCUAAUUGCUUUGGCAGCUCAGAAAAGUUGGAAAUUAUACCAACUAGAUGUGAAAUCUGCUUUUCUGAAUGGAGUACUCGAAGAAGAAGUUUAUGUAGAACAACCAGAUGGUUUUGUGAUCAAGGGGAGUGAAGACAAGGUGUACAAGCUUUAUAAAGCUUUGUAUGGUCUAAAACAGGCACCAAGAGCCUGGUAUAGUGAAAUUGAUACCUAUUUUGCUCACUAUGGGUUUGUGAAAAGUCAGAGUGAAGCUACUCUUUACAUCAAAGUAAGGGGAGGAGAAAUUCUGAUUGUUUCAAUCUAUGUGGAUGAUAUAGUGUAUACUGGGAAUAGCACUGAGAUGUUGAAGGAGUUCAAGGAAGACAUGAUGACAAAAUAUGAGAUGACAGAUUUGGGGCUCCUUCACCAUUUUCUUGGUAUGGGAGUGAUUCAAACUCACACAAGCAUAUUUAUCCAUCAAAGGAAGUAUGCUGGUUCUUUGUUAGAUAAGUUUGGUUUGAAUGAGUGUAAAUAUGUGUUUACACCACUGGUUUCAUCAGAGAAGCUAUGCAAAGAUGAUGGCAGUGGUUCAGCAAGUGAGGAACAGUAUCGAAGAAUUGUUGGAAGUUUGUUGUAUCUCACAGCAACUCGACCAGAUAUAAUGUAUGCUGCAAGCCUUCUAGCUCGAUUCAUGCACUGUCCUACAAAUAAACAUCUUGGAACAACCAAAAGAGUGCUUAGGUACAUCAAGGGAACUUUAGAUUAUGGUUUAGAGUAUGUAAAGGGAAAGAAUGCAAUGCUAAUCGGAUUCUGUGAUAGUGAUUGGGGAGGAUCUGUUGAUGAUAGCAAGAGUACUUCUGGUUAUGCAUUUUCCUUUGGCAGUGGAGUGUUCUCAUGGGCCUCAGUGAAGCAGAAUUGUGUAGCACUCUCUACAGCAGAAGCAGAGUACAUCAGUGCCUCUGAAGCAACUGCUCAAGCCAUUUGGCUUAGAUUUGUUCUUGAAGAUUUUGGUGAGAUGAAAACUGAAGCAACUCCAGUACACUGUGAUAAUACAUCAGCAAUUGCAAUUACUAAAAAUCCUGUUUUCCAUCAGAAAACCAAGCACAUUGACAGAAGGUAUCAUUUUAUCAAGAAUGCACUCCAGGAAGGGAUAAUCGAUUUGGUGUACUGUCCAACAAAUGAGCAGGUGGCAGACAUAUUUACUAAGGCUUUGUCUAAGGAUCGAUUCAACUAUCUUCGAGAUAUGCUUGGUGUGAAAUCAGCUCAAAACUUAAAGGGGAGUGUUGAACUAUAAGUAUUUGAGCUGAAAUGUUUUAGAAUAAGUUUUGUUUAAAUUGGUGAAUCCACUUGUGCAGAAUGAGGCAAAGUGUAAAUGUCUAGUUUUGUAAAAAGGCCAUGAGUGCCAUGUGUUGGUAGAUCCAUGAAAUUAGAGAGAUGUGUGUCUAGGAUGAAAUGUAGUAGUUUAUGUGGUCCCAAGUUAAGGACCUUCAGUUAAUGUAAAGCACGUGAGUGCUCAUUUCUGAAAAAAAAAGAAGCAAUUUUCCUCUGUAAAGUUUCUGCAGAGAAAAGAACAAGAAACCGUUCGCUUUCUCCAACCUUUGUUCAUCGUGUGUUUUCUGUACAGCUCCAUCUUCAUCAAAACUCUCAUUGAAAUCAAGUUACACUAACACAAAUACCCUUCAGCUGCAGCAGCCAAACGACCCGAUGGAAUACUUCAAGUUCAAAAAGGGCAGAGACUCUCCCAGCGAUGCACGCACGGCGCUGCUAGUUAUUGCUGUACUAGUGGCCACCACCACCUUUCAAGCCGGACUCAGCCCUCCGAUGGGCAUUUGGCAGGACAGCCCUGGAUCAAACAUGAAUGGGACUGGCAGUGGGAGCAAUGAACCAGCGCACACAGCAGGGCAGUCCAUCAUGAGUUCUUACAAGAUAUUAGGAUUUUUCUUCUUUUACACUUCCAACUCGAUUAGACUUUCGUUUUCGCUUUACAUGAUCCAUGUCCUCACCACCAAUUUCCCUCUGCAGUUGGAGCUUAACAUUUGUAUGUUCACGAUGUUCUUGACGUACUGUUCUGCAAUUUCCGAAAUUGGACCGGAGAUCAUGUCCCACCCUGUGUUCGCUUUAACUAUGCCAGCGUUGGUAGCGUUGGUAAGGGUGUGGUAAGCGUAAUGCACCCGCUUAGAUGACCUGCAGUAAAUUGGACUCGAAGGCUCAUUUUAAAAUAGUUGUACAUUACACGUCUGUUUCCAGGAUCAUCGUUGGCGCAUUCAUCAUAGAAGCUCCAGCUUCGUAUCAAAGUCAGUCGUGACUAUCAUAAAUACCGUACAUUUGCUAUGUAUUACUAAAUCUUUGGUGUGGACUUCUUAUAUGAUAUAGCGUUAAGAAUUCAGUACGAAAACAGUAAAACAGAAUUAUUUGCACUAAUUCUUCCUCUUGAUUUAUGAUGGUGUUAGUUCUAUAAGUCGACAUCUUUGCCAGCCGCAAUUGAUACUGCCGUUUGAUACUGCAAAUGAAAGCCCGGUGGAUGCGCAAAAUUUCAAGCCAAUCUUACAGAUUGUAUGAAGAAAGGAACAAUGUAGUUGGUAGCACAGAAGUUUAUAAUCUUCUAGUUGGAGUAAUCUAAUUAAGGCUAUAAUAUUCAUACAGAAGGUUUUACAAAAUGAUCAUCUUUCGACAUGUAUAACAAUGGCGAUCUUUAAUCACAAUGACUUGUACAGCUCGAUCAAAUGAGAAGCAUGGAGGCACCACGUAGGAGCCACGGUGCAGCCCAAACUUUGCAGAUAAGAAAUCUGGUAAUUCACAGCAUAAGAAUCGAAUUACCGGGUCUCCUGACCAUCCUACGUACCAAUGUGCGCACAAGGAAAUGAGUAAGGUAAUCAAAUGCUGAGUCCUGCGUACCUGUUUCGGUGUUGGUUCGGAUGAACCCAUUUAGUUCUCAAUCCGUAACUUCUGGAAAUGCUCCUGAAAGCAUAAAUUUAAGCACAUCAUGAAAUCCCCCUUGCGGGAUUUUCCUUAUUUUUUCUAACUCAUCUUCCCACUCGCGUAUAGUUUUGUUACCAAGAAAAGCUCCCAGGACUUUGAGUGCUAAAGGCAGGCCUUGAGCAUAUUUUACAACACGAUUCGAUAGAUCAUCAUAAUCUCUGGUGGGUUGGUUUUUUCCGAAAGCGUGCUGCCUAAAGAGUUUCAGAGCUCCAGAAUCACUCAAAGUCUUGGGAUUAUAUAUCACAUCAGCUACGCUUAGUAAUUGCGAAUCUCUAGUUGUUAUAAUAAUUCUGCUUCCACCACCAAAGAAAUGUGGCUCUCCAAGUAGAGCUUCAAUUUGUUCUAAUUUGUCCACAUCAUCAACAACAAUAAGAACUUUUCUCUGGCCAAGGCUUUUUAACAUCACCUGAAAACCUUUACUCGAUAUGUCAGAGCUCCCCACCUUGUUGUCCGAGAUACUAGAUAGAAGUUGUGUCUGCAUAAGUAGUUCGCCGUGCUUCAUGAAACCCUCCUUGACAUUUUUAAGAAAGCAACAAGCUUCAAAUCGACAAGCGAUUUUAUCAUAAACAGCAUUAGCGAUGGUAGUUUUACCUAAACCACCCAUACCCCAUAUUCCAACAACUCGAACAUUAUUCGUUUCACCUCCGGGAGGAUAUAAUAAUAAAUGCAUUUCAUGCAUGCGAGAAUCCAUGUCAACCAAGCCAUUAUCUUUGCUUGAUGUUGAUGAGAUGUCGAUCAAUUUCCUAUAAACAUAUUCUACAAUUUCCUCAGUAAGCACCACAUCAUUCCUGUCAAAUUAAAAAAUACAAUAUAAUAACACCACCAAAUAAUAAUUAAUGGGUUUUUUCAUCUGUUAGUUAAAAAAAAAAACAGAAAUUAAAACUAAAAACUAGAUAUUUAUAAAAUUACCGCAAAACGUUACAAAAAUCCCAAAAAUUAAUAGGAAACUAAAACAAAUUAGAAUUUACUCAUAGUUUCGCGAAUCCCAGCCGGAUAAACUGGUGGCAGUUGUAAGAGCGGAUCUCCAGCUCUGAACCUCUUCCAUUUCGGCGUUAGAAUCGCGAUCGUGCUGAGCAAAAGCUUCCGCGAAACUUUUCUUGAGUUUACGAACAUCAGACGGAUCAACUUCAUAGAAAAUGGGGAGUACAAUCUGGUUAUUGGUAUCCUUGCAUUUCAAGAUUUGCACGAGUUCUUUCAAGCACCAAGUGGAAGAAGCAUAGUCUUGAGAGAAAACUACAAUCGAAAGCCUUGACUCUCGAAUCGCUGUCAGGAGCUCAGAAAGGUGGUCGCCUUUUCUGAGCUUCUCGGCAUCAAUGAAGGCGUUGAUUGGUUUCUUAGCCAGAGCGUUGUAGAGAUGGCUGACGAAGCCCCUGCGAGUGUCUUCCCCUCUGAAAUUGAUGAACACAUCGUAUUUGCAACCAAGGCCAGAAGAAGAUGAAGAAGAAGAAGCAGCCAUUAUUAAUCGAUCGCACCUGGUCAGCGAUGAUCGAGCAGCUAAGACUAAGAGAAUUGUAAGUACAGAGAUACUCAAUAGAUCUACAAAUUGGAUCACCAGAAAUUAGUCUGAUCGAUACCAAGUCAAUGAGUCAAUGCAAAAGGGAAAAAGGGGAAAGGGAAAUUAUGCUUUAUGUUUUUUCACAUCUUCUUCGGGGAAAUUUCGGUGUGAAAGGAAUCUUAUCCUUUUGAUUUUUUAACCGAAGCAAAUGCGAAGAAAAGGGUCAAGGUGGAAAAUUGAAUAGGACAAGGAUUGUCAGCCCUUCCACAUCUGGUGCUCUUCCGUGCCCUUUUGUUUAUGUUGUCACGGUUAAACCACAUUAACAUUUUAUAUUACUAUUUAUUUUUGUCUUAUUAUCUCUAUAAAAAAACAAUAUAAAAUGUUGACGUGACUUAACCGUGACCACACAAAACAGAAGGGCACGAAAGAACACCGAAAAUAGGAGAGCUGACAAUCCUUGUCCAAACUUAACCGUAAGACUUUUUGUAGUGAGCUACACCGGAUGACUUGAUAUAUUAUGACGAAAUAAACUAUUUAAAUAUACGGCUUACAUUGCGCAGUGCGCAUACUGGAUAAACAAUUAGCGCACCUGAUUGUAGGGAAUGGUGAUGCUCAUCGCUUAAUUUCGUUAUUGGAUUAGUUUAAGUUUUGAGGUUUGUGAAAUGGACAGAUAUAAAUUUUAAAAUUUAAACUCAGUCAAUAAUAAUAAAUAUGGUAGUGAGAAAAAAUGCACCAGUGACUUGUGGUUUAGAGACACACUCUCAAACUUAAAUAACAAUUUUCAUGCUUUCCAACAACACAAAAAUUUUAUAACUAAAAAUCAAUCAAAACAUAAUAAUUGAAUGAACGAAGAAAGCGUAUUAAAAUAAGGUUUUCUGACAUAUUUUGAGUGACACUUGCCACAAUAACGAAGAAAGCGUGGUAUUGUUGCACCUGCCAUAAAGUCAAGCUUGACAUUCUACAGUUGGAAGGCUAGCUGGCUGACUAGAAAUGGCCAGCCCGUUGGCUUGAUUUGGGGGUUUUGGCCAGAUGGGGCCCACAAGCCCUUUGGCCUAGCCUUCGAUUGAAGAUGGUUUUCGUGUCAUUCCGAGCUAUUUUUAGCCCUAUGACCUUUUGGCUGGGUCAGUUAGAGAUGGCUUUAGGUGCGGUGAUCGUAAUACCCUGAAAAUUUAAAUAUAUGAAUAUGUUGGGAAAAAUUGAAAAAAAAUCGAUUUAUGGUUAUGGAAAAUUUAAUUGAGAACUUUUAAAGUUUUUCCGGAAAUUAUUAUAAAUUACGUAUUUGUAUUCUUAAGAUUUUAUAUGAAUUUUCAAGAAUUUAUAAUAAUUUAAUUUAGUUUAGUUUUAAAUUAAACUAGUUACAAAGUUGGAAGUUUGGAAAUUAUUUAUUUAAAAUAUGUAGACCAUUCGAGGUCACAAUUUAUAUUUUUGAAUAGAGCUCGAUCUCAUGAACGCGUGGCGCAAACCGUUAGUAAAACGGAGUUCUAACGAAGAAGUUAUUAACAUUUAAAGUCAUGAAAAUUUUGGUAAUUUUAUUCAUUUUAGAAGGCUCCAGAAAAUCUAGAGCAAUGAGUUGUGCCACGUGUGUGGCUGGGAUGAAAACAAUUGGAGAGAUGGAUGGUUGUGAUUAAAGGAAAAUAAUAGAAAUGAGGGUAACCAAUGGGGAGAGAGAAUGAGGAGGGGAAAGGAGAAAAAGGAGAAGGAGGGGAACCCGACCCUCUCCUUCGACCCGGUUUUCUGACCCGAGCCCCACGCACACCCAACACCGAUUUCGGUGUUUUUUCCCGGUGAAUUGAGCGCCGCCACCACCCCUCCUGACUCCUCUCAUUGUCACGAACGGUAUCCGUCCACAUUUGGCUCAGUUUUGAUCAUGAUUUCAGAAGAAAAGGGAGAUGGACCCGUGAGGGUUUCAGAGUUUUCCGACGACAAAUCCGUCGUCUCCGGUCUCCACCGUUCCCACCACCACCACCUCCAGUUGAUUUCACUUGAACCCAGGAGCAAGGCCUAAGCACUAGCAGGGGCAUCGGAACAUCAAUGGAGUCGAAUCGAAUCCCACCAUUUCUAGGGUUUCCGGCGAGUUUGAGUGAAAUUGGGGCACUUCCACGCCAAAUUGGACUUAGCCAUAGGUAUGAAAUUUACUCCACUCACUGAGAUCUACUUGCCUGUAAAAUUUGGUAAUUUUUUGAAAUAGUUGAAUUUUCCGACAAGCCGGAGUGGCCAACCUCCACCCACGACUGCGGGUGCGGCGGCGCACGGUCAGGGAGCCGACAUUGUGUUAUUAUGCGAAUUUCGUUAUUCUAAUUAGGCUUUUGAGACCUAACUUCUGUGGUUUGAAUAUUAAUACGAUUGUGGUAUAUGUUGGAUUAAAUAAAUAUAUUCGGAUUUGGUUUGAGUUUUGGAAAUGUGAACUACGAAUGACUUGAUUCCUGUUUAGGGUACAUAGGUAGUAUAACAAGAUGUUAGAUGCAGCUAUACAAUAAGUUAGAUUAAAUAAACGAGACAAAGCUUUGAUUGAGAAAGUGAACUGAGUAAGGAGUUUGGAAUUUUAUUAUAAAAGGAAAUCUUAUGUUUUGUACAUAUAAAUUCUUGUUAUAAAUUGUGUGAACGUUUUAUAAAUUUAAGCAAGAAAUUAUGUAAUUAUGAUAAUUGGACAAUUGAGUUUGAUCUCUUGUUGGGAAAUAGAGUCGAUAUGAAGGUAUUGGUGUUGAAGUAAAAAUAUAAAUGUAUGUUUUGCUAAGUAAGUUUGGUGGAUACUUAUGUGAGUAGUUAGGAAAAUUUUUUUUUAAAGAAUAAAGUGUACCGAUAAUAAAUCAAACAAGAGAAGUGAAUUGGGCCUAUCAUUGGAAAUAUUUCCUGAAAAUAAAUAUUUCGGGGUUGGGGCGUUUCAGUGAUUGUCUUUGAGAUAUCGAAGGUUCUGUGUGAUCGAAUACUUCGUCCUCCUCCAGAGCCGCCACUGUUGAGAGGGUUACUUGCCUCAUGCAAACAUUAUGAAUUGUAAGUGAUGAAUUGUUCUGAUGAUGAGGUUUAUUUUUUAACUCAUUAUGUUUUGAGUUUAAACAUUUUUCCCUCUCUUUAAUGUAUAUAAGAUUAGUGUAAAAUAUUGUUCGUAAUAAAAAAAUAUAAAAAUGAUACAUUCUCAUUCAUAUAUAAGAUGAUCAAGUGUGGAAUUAAUACUUUUAACGAGUGACUCAAUUAACCAUUUUCAUUUCUUACGCAUUCAAAAUUAGACAAAUUCUUUGCAUACAUUUAAAAAAAAAAAGAUAUUCAGGAGACUUUGAAACUAUUACAUUACGGGAGAGGGAAUUUUGAACUCGGGACGCAUGAGUAGAACCCAAACGCUUCUCCACUAGGAUAUUAGACUAGUGCCGGUCCUGAAUUUUUUGGUGCCUGGAGCGAAUAAUGUGCCCUUUUCAAGUACAACAACAUAAAUUAAAAAGAAAUAUUUAAAGAGGGUUGGAACCCAGUCGAAGCCGGGGGGCUAGGCCCUCACGCCCAUAUUAUAUUACUCUGAAAACAAAAAAACAUACAACAUGGGAACAUAGUACUGAAACCUCGACAAUCAAAAGCAAAAUCAAAUACAACCACUCCAAGCAGUUAACAUAGCCAUCACAUAUUGAAUCCAAAAGGUUGACUACCCAUUCGCUGCAUAUAAUGUGCAGAAGAUAACAAAUUCUGAAGUGAUAUGCUCCCAAGUAUGAUAUUGGGCAGAAAAGAGCGGCGGCUUCAACCACUUCUUCAGCUAUAUCCGGCUGGGUGAGAGCAGCUAAAGACAUGAUUGUUCCCUAAUUACAUGAAUACAUGGAGUAAACACCAAAAGUAGCAGCAAGGGAAGGAGAUUUGAAGUAGAUGAAGAGGUGUGAAGAGUCUAAAGACCUGUGAAUGUCCAACAACAAAGACUUCGGAGCUUGUUGUCGAAUAUAUGCAGCGUAUCAUUUCUGACAGAUCAAAUCGAGCCAAUUCCUGCCAACUCCAAUCCCAAAAAUCCUACAGUAAAGCAUAAAUCUUAUUCUUUUCUGAUAAAGAUGUGCCCCUAACUCCAAUGUGUUUGACGCACAAUUCCUACCCAUACAUAGAAACCUUCAUCUGCAAAGACAAAUUCCAGCGAUUCUUCUGGAGAAUUUAAGAACCAUGCAUCACCUGGUUAGAGCCUAAUUUAAAAUGUAUCCGAUGGAUGUUCAUCAAUUUACACAAUAGUUAGUUUCAAGAAAGGAAAUUUCAACAGAACCUGAAAACUUCAGAUCAGGGGGCACCAAAUAGUGAGCUAUACAUUCAAAAUUUAAAAUAAUCAACUUAGUAGGACCAAUAUGUUGAAAAAAUUAGAAGGAGCUAUGAAAGUAAGGCUUUUCACUAAUCAGGCGUCCAGAGAAUCAAUAUUUUACUCACGUAUCAGUUACGGGGAACAAUCCCCACCAGAGCAAUCUCAUUAGUUCUUCACAUCUCAACCGUACAGAAAUUACACUAACAAACACGACUCCUGUUAGUCCUUCACAUCUCAAAUCCAGGAAGUACCCAUCUUUCGUCUGAAUCUGGAAAAUAAGCAGCACUCAAUUUAACAAUCUGGGUAUCUCAAAGUUACUCACUUUAAUCACAAAUUUAACAAUUAAACAUAUAAAUGGGCAUUUUCUAGUGAAAUAUUAGUAUAGUACUCACUGUGUGCUCGGAGCAAGAGCACCCAGAAAGCUCAAUGAGCUGUGCAGUGAGGGACUGUAGCGGUGAAUGACGGCAACCGAUUCUGUAAAAUUCAGUCGAGUUUUAGGCGAUUUCGGAGGUCAAGAGGCUGAUGAGGAAAGCUGGGACGGAAGGGCACUGGUCUGGAAGAAAGGCUCUGGUCGCCGCUGUCGCGAUUUGCAAAGGAAGAAGUGACAUUCUUCCAAAUAGGAAGAUGAAAUCGUUAAGGCUUUUAUUUAUUCCUCCUCUUGAUGCGCCCUUUUAGACUGCCAAUUCCAGACGAUCCAAUCUCAUAUAUCUUCCCUGCAAAAGCAUGUGUGCCAGACUUCAAGAUCAAAAUUUUCCAACAAAAGAAACUUAAAGAUCAAACUCGUUAGCGGAAUAAAUGGUGCACAAAGGGAGUUAAAAUCUUGACAGAUGUAUAUUUUUGGCAGAUUUUAUGUGAGCAUGCAAUUUUCUGUAGAACUUAAAAGCUGCAUAGCUGCUCUUGUUCGUUGUAUUGAAUACCAUGGUUUUACUGAUGAAUGCAGAGUUUGCUGACGAUUCAUACGACAAGCAAAUGAAUCAUCCACUGUAAUUUGCAGAGUUUACUGAUGAAUGCCCCACAUAUACCCAAAAAAAAAAAGUCAUUUAAACAAAUUCAGAGCGUUCAUCCACUGUAAUUUGCAGAUAUAGACACGUUAAGAUAAAAGGAAAUGCAAAGUACCUUUCACCCAAAUUGGAGGAGCAACGGUGGCAUUAGCAAGUUAGCAACGGGAAUUGACAUACCAACAUCUUCACAGUUUCUGCACAAGCACAAAUCAAUAGAAUCCGGCGGUGGAGUUAUGUACCUCUCCUUGGAAAAUGCCACCUCUUGGGAUUUCAAAAUAUGCGGCCGUGGCUAGCCAUCUGACAACGCCAAUUCCACCAAAGCCGCCGCAAUGGGGCAUAGUGUCCGAUUGAUUGCUUCAAACAGAGUACCCAAAACCCCUGAAAAUUAUUUCUUUAUUCAGAUAAUAAAAUUUCCCAAAUUUCGAAUUUUAAUUCCGUAUCAAAAAUAGGGUUUGAAUUUUGAUUACCUAGAAAUUGGAGGGUUGGGGCGAACACGGAGCGUGUCGGGAAUACCUACAAGGCUUUUGCAGUGUAUCAGAUUUAAAUACUGAAGCCCCGUAAGCCGUUCAAUCCAGGGGGAAAGCUCUUUGAUAGAUGUUCCAUCCAAGAAAAGCUCUCUUAAUCCUUCCAUAUCUUCUUUAAUGCUUGGAAACACCUCAAAUUUUGUACAACCGGAAAGAGAGAGAGAGACAAGGGACUUGAGCUGACAAAUGCUGCUUGGAAGACUCUUAAGUUCCUUGUAAUUUUUUAGUUUCAAAUGAUUCAAUCCUGUGAGAUUAUUAAUUGAUGAUGGCAAUUCUUUAAUUUUUGACCAUGAUAAAUCAAGAAUUUUUAACCCCUCAAUCACUUCUGAAAUAUCUGGAAACAUCUCAAGAUUCCAACAACCAUAAAAAUAAAAGGUUUUGAGAGAUUUCAUACGAAUGCUGCUUGGAAGACUCUUAAGUUUUUGACAAUUUGAUAGGUUCAAAUGAUUCAACCCCGUGAGAUUAUUAAUUGACGAGGGUAGUUCUUUAAUUUUUGACCCGGAUAAAUCAAGCUCUUCUAACCCCUCAAUACCUUCUGAAAUCGAUGGAAACAUCUCAAGGCUGGAGCAAUCAUAAAGAUUAAAGGUUUUCAGACACUUCAUAUGAAUGCAGCUGGGAAGACUCUUAAGUUCCUUGCAAUCUUUUAGGUUGAAAUGACUCAACCCUGUGAGAUUAUUAAUUGACAGGGGCAGUUCUUUAAUUUUUGACCAGGAUAAAUUAAGCUCUUCUAACUCCUCCAUACCUUCCGAAAUCUCUGGAAACAUCUCAAGACUAGAGCAGCGAGAAAGAUUAAAGGUUUUGAGAGAUCUCAUACGAAUUUUGCUGGGUAGAAUCUUAAGUUCCUUGCAAUUUGAUAGGUUCAAAUGACUCAACCCCGUGAGAUUAUUAAUUGAUGGGGGCAGUUCUUUAAUUUUUGACCUGGAUAAAUUAAGUUCUUCUAACUCUUUCAUACCUUUUGAAAUCUCUGGAAACAUCUCGAGACUGGAGCAGCCAAGAAGAUUAAAGGUUUUGAGAGAUCUCAUACGAAUUUUGCUAGGUAGAAUCUUAAGUUCCUUGCAAUGUGAUAGGUUCAAAUGACUCAACCCCGUGAGAUUAUUAAUUGAUGGGGGCAGUUCUUUAAUUUUUGAAUAGGAUAAAUUAAGUUUUUCUAACUCCUCCAUACCUUUUGAAAUCUCUGGAAACAUCUCAAGAUUGGAGCAGCCAGAAAGAUCAAAGGUUUUGAGAGAUCUCAUACGAAUUUUGCUGGGUAGAAUCUUAAGUUCCGCGCACCAAUUCAGAUCCAAUAAAACAAGGUUUGUAAGAGUCGAAAUAGACGCGUGAACCUCAACUAAGCUUAUACAACUUCGAACAAUUAGCCUCUCAAGAUUUGGCACAUUUGUGAAGUCAGGGGUUUCCUUAAGGGAUUGACAAUGACUUAAAUUGAUGAAUUUCAACUUUUCCUGCGUCUGUUAAAACAUUCAGGAAAACAUGCAUUACUUAAUAAGACAUCUCACUCAAAGCCCAAACAUUUAAAAGAAACAAAUACAUGUAAAUGAUUGUACGUACCUGGGUUCCUUCCCAAAGUCGAUCAAUGAGACUAUAUUGCAUGUCAAGUUCAACAAGAUUUUCGAAUUGAAAGUUGGAUGGCAAAGACUUGAGAGGGAAAUCAAGCCAGGAGAGAUACCUCAGGUUAAGCAACUUUAAGGACCCAAACAGGUAUUGUUUGCAGUACUCAUCUUUAAAAACGAAGUGCCUAUGACUGAUCUCGAGAAGUCUUUGUUGAGUCCUUCCAACAACAGCUUCAGCAUUUAAGUUCCUAUGAUGACUGAUCUUGAGAAGUCUUCGUUGAGUCCUUCUAACAACAGAUUCAGCAUUUAAGUGCCUAUGACUGAUCUUGAGAAGUCUUAGUUGAGUCAUUCUACCAAAAGCUUCAGCAUUUAAGCAUGGCCAGCCUGAGUACGAGAAAUCCACAAUUAUGCUUUCAACUGUUUUUGUAGCCUGUGCAAAUCAAAGUAAAGGAAAAUACAGAGAACCUUAGUUUUGAUUAUGAAAUUAAUGAUUGUUUCUUAAGGAGCCGUCUGAUAAUCAUUUCAUUUUCUGUUUAAUUGUUUUCAAUUUCAUUAUUACAACAAUGAAAACUAAAAAUUGAAAACAAAAAUGGUUAUCAAACGGGUCUAAGAAAUUGAUUUUGAUCAAAAGUUGAACCUUUCUACUAACAAUUGCAUAAGAAAAAUAUUUCUCACCGCAUUUUCAGUUAGCACCUGACGAACAUCUUCAUAACUCCACAACCUACUUCGUCUCCCAGGAUCUUUGAUAGAUUCUUGGCGGACAAUUUCCCAACCCAUUUCCUCUAAUGAAUCAUGCAUCUCCAAUUCCCCCAACCUUGAGACAGUUAUGAGAGAUCGAUCGAUUAGAACUUUUAUUCCUGUAUGAGGAUGGAAACCACAACUGUCCAGAAUUUCAGUUGCCUGGUCUUCCUUCAUCCCUUUAAAGAAACAUGCAAUAUCUAGAAAGAUGUCCUUCUGCGUGUCAUCUAGUCCAUCGAAGCUUGUUUUAAGCACAUCAUGAACUCCCCUUUGUGGGAUUUUCCUUAUUUUUUCCAACUCACCUUCCCACACGCGUAUGGUUUUUUUAUGCAAAAAAGCUCCCAAGACUUUGAGGGCUAAAGGCAGACCUUGAGCAUAUUCUACAACACGAUUCGAGAGAUCAUCAUAAUCUCUAGUGGGUUGGUCAUUUCUGAAGGCGUGCUGCCUAAAGAGUUUCAGAGCUCCAGAAUCACUCAAAGUCUUGGGAUUAUAUAUCACAUCAGCUAUGCUUAGUAACUGCGAAUCUCUACUUGUUAUAAUAAUCCUACUUCCACCACCAAAGGAAUGUUGCUCUCCAAGUAAAGCUUCAAUUUGUUCUAAUUUGUCCACAUCAUCAACAACAAUAAGAACUUUUCUCUGACCAAGGCUUUUUAACAUCACCUGGAAACCUUUACUCAAUAUGUCAGAAAUCCCCACCUUGUUGUCUGAGAUACUAGAUAGAAGUAGUGUCUGCAUAUGUAGUUCACCCUGCUUCAUGAAACCCUCCUUGACAUUUUUAAGAAAGCAACCAGCUUCAAAUCGACAAGAGAUUUCAUCAUAAACAGUUCUAGCGAUGGUUGUUUUGCCUAAACCACCCAUACCCCAUAUUCCAACAACGCGAACAUUAUUCGUUUCACCUCCGGGAGGAUAUAAUAAUAAAUGCAUUUCAUGCAUGUGAGAAUCCAUGUCAACCAAGCCAUUAUCUUUGCUUGAUGUUGAUGAGAUGUCUAUCAAUUUCCUAUAAACAUCUUCUACAAUUUCCUCAAUAAGCACCACAUCAUUCCUGUCAAAUUUAAAAAACAUAUAAUAACAACAUCAAAUAAUAAUUAAUGGGUCUUUUUCAUCUGUUAGUUAAAAAAAAAUAGAAAUUAAAACUAAAACUAAAAUCUAAACGUUACAAAAAUCCCAAAAAUUAAAAGGAAACUAAAACAAAUUAGAAUUUACUCAUAGUUUCGCGAAUCCCAGCCGGAUAAACAGGUGGCAGUUGUAAGAGUAGAUCUCCAACUCCGAACCUCUUCCAUUUCGGCGUUAGAAUCGCGAUCGUGCUCAGAAAAGCUUGUGCGAAACUUUUCUUGAGCUUACGAACAUGAGACGGAUCAACUUCAUAGAAAAUGGGGAGUACAAUCUGGUUAUUGGUAUCCUUGCAUUCCAGGAUUUGCACGAGUUCUUUCAAGCACCAAGUGGAAGAAGCAUAGUUUUGAGAGAAAACUACAAGCGAAAGCCUUGACCCUCGAAUCGCUGUCAGGAGCUCGGAAAGGUGGUCGCCUUUUCUGAGCUUUUCCGCAUCAAUGAAGGCGUUGAUUGGUUUCUUAACCAGAGCGUUGUAGAGAUGGCUGACGAAGCCCCUGCGAGUGUCUUCCCCUCUGAAAUUGAUGAACACAUCGUAUUUCCAACCAAGGUUAGAAGCAGCAGCCAUUAAUCGAUCGCACCUGGUCAGCGAUGAUCGAGCAGCUAAGACUAAGAAUAAUGUAAGAACAGAAAUACUCGAUUGAUCUAUAAAUUGAAUCACUGAAGAAACUGGUCUGAUCGAUACGAAGUCAACGAAGACAAAGAAAAUAAUGCUUUAUGUGUUUUCACAUCUUCUUCCGGGAAAUUUAACGAAAAUAAUUUUCCUUUAGGCAAAAUUGACUUCAAAAUAUAAAAAUAUUCUUUCAAUUAUGGACAUAUGACAUUUCGGUGUGAAACGAAUAUGCUUAUUUGGUUUGGUUUGGACCCAAGAAAGGACAAAGAUUGUCUGCCCUCCUACUUCCGGUGCCCUUCCAUGCCCUUCUGUUUGUGUAGUCACGGUUAAGCCACGUCAACAUUUUAUAUUACUAUUUAUUUUUGUCUUAUUAUCUCUAUAAAUAAGCAAUAUAAAAUAUUAACGUGGCAUAAUCGUGACCACAGAAAACAAGAGUUGGCACCAAAAAUAGGAGGACAAACAACCCUUGUCCCCCAAGAAAAUGCUAAGAAAGGAUGGUUUAGCAGCUGUGCAUGAGGGGACUGGGUCAAAGUACCCUGUUGAAUCCACUCUUGCCUACCCAACAACUUAUUUAGUUAUUUGUAAGCCCGAAAUAUAUCCCGAUCUUUCUAUUCACACCAAAAGUAAGUAGAGUGAUAAGAAAUAUUUCCGGUUAAGUAUAAGCAUGUCAGUCUGCAGCAGCAUAGCCACGUUAAGGGCUACCGUGGGCUGUAGUCUAUGUAAUUUUCAGUGAAAAAUAAAAUUUUACAUGUAAUUUUUAUUGAUUUUCAAAUAUACUUCUUCAUAUAUACAGUCUUUAAUCUGAAUUAUCUCAUUUUAAUUAUAUAAUUAUAUAAUACAGUUUACAAACUGUCUCUUUUUCUUACAUCAUUUUUCUCACCGCUUCUUGCACAUGUACAAGUUUGGAUUUUGUUUGAAUUUUAACACGUAUUUGUUUAAAAACGAAAAUCCUUGGCUUACAUAGUGAAAAUUUUCUUAAGUUAGCUGAUACUUUGAAAAAUACAGGAUCAAGUUUCUUUGUUUAUAAAGAUUUAAAUCUUUAAGCUAGCCCACCCGGUGAAAAAUUCCUAACUCCGUCAUGCAUUUUACAUAUAAUUUUUAUUGAUUUUCAAAUGUAGUCCAUCAUAUAUACCGUCUUUAAUCUGAAUUCUCUUGGUUUAAUUAUAUAAAAUUAUAUAAUACAGUUUACAAACCGUCUCUUUUCUUACAUCCUUUUUCUCACUGCUUCUUAUACAUGUACAAGUUUUGAUUUGUUUGAAUUUUAACACGUAUUUGUUUAAUAACGAAAAUCAUUGGCUUACAUAGUGAAAAUUUUCUUAAGUUAGCUGAUACUCUGAAAAAUACAAGAUCAAGCUUCUUUGUUUAUAAAGAUUUAAAUCUUUAAGCUAGCCCCCUGGUGAAAAAUUCCUAGCUUCGCCAUUGAGCAUGUGGUAUAUCCUAUGAUAUCAUGGACGGCAAACGAGCGAUUAAUGGUUGUUUGGCAUUUAAUUUGAUGUCACGGUAGUAACGGUACUCUAAAAUCUUUGAUAUACUUGCUUUCAGCUACAAAACUACUAGAACUCCGAAAAUUGCUUAUGAAAAUAAAAAUAUUGACUAGAUUUGAACUUGUAUAAUCUAUGUCUUCACUACACAUUGUUGUGUUCGCUCGUGUUCUAAAGUUGACGCUAGCUAGAAGGUCACAGCAAGAAGCAGAGGAGGCUAACUAUUGCAGAAAUUUGUUUAUUCAAAAGCAUUUGUAAAAACACAUAUUGAAAUUAAUUCACGCCAAAAAUAAAUAAUACAGUGGUGGCAGGCACACUACAACAAUAGGGUUUUAACCCUAUGCAUUUUUAUAUUGGCUUUUGUGUUAUCAGUUGCGACCGCUCGGUGGAGAGAGCAUUUUAUGUUAUGAAUAAAAAUACCACUGCGUAACAAAAUAGAAGAUUAAUGGUUGAGUGAUAGCUGGUUUGUUUGCAAUGAGAGAGAUGUUUUUGCUUUUAUUGAUAAUGAAUCUAUAUACGCGAUGUUUUCAUAGCAUAAAACAUCGCCGACAACAAUUGUAACUUUUUGUGUUGAUAAAUUAGGAAAGACAUUAAUAUUUUCUAAUAUCUAAAAGAAUUUGGAUGUCUACAUUUUUUUGGAAAACUUUUUACCCUUCUAAAUUUCGCGCCUCUCCCGACAAUUCCUAGCUUCGCCACUGCUAUAGUCAACUCCAAGUCUUGUCCAUGAUAUCAAUAUCCCUACUGUAAACGGUGACUUCAAUAUAAGCUAACAAAAAGUUUGUAUAGAGAAGAUAUAUGCAUGAAAAAAUGGCAGUGUUUGUGUUGCCGAACGGAUGAUACUGAAAUACCUAAACCCAAGUCAAGCUCCUUUAGUCCACAAAAACAAAAGUUUAGAAUACAAUAAUGUUUGCAUAUAGAUUGGAGAAACGACAUACCACCGGCCAGGAAGGUGCAGUGAAAGAGAGAGGAAAAGAGGAAAGAAACAAAUACGAAAUGACAAAGACUAUCAAAUAGAUUAUAACAAUGACUUCUUAGCGGUGAUCACAACUAUUCAACUAUCGAUGAUGCUUUAUUUUAGAUUGAGAUGUGGAAGCAUCUGAGAAGUAGCAUGUCAACAACCAUUACACAAUAAUAUUGUCUAAUAUCUAAAAGAACUUGGAUAUCUACAUUUUUUUAGAAUCUUUUACCCUUAUAAAUUUCGCACCUCUUCAGACAAUUUCUAGCGUUGCCGCUGCUUCAGUCAACUCCAAGUCCUAGUGGUUCUUGUCUAUGAUAUCAAUAUACCCAUUGUAAAUGGUGAUUUCAAUAUACAUAGAGUGUGUACAGGGGAGAUAUAUGUAUGAAAAAAUGGCAGUUGUUGUAUCUGUGUUGACGAACGGAUGGUACUGGAAUACCUAAACCCAAGUCAAGCUUCUUCAGUCCACAAAAACAAAAUGUUUAUUAUAUAAUAAUGUUUGCAUAUGGACUUGCGAAACAACAUACCGCCGGUUGGGAAGGUGCAAUGAAAGAGAGAGGAAAGGGGGAAAUAAACGAACAAGAAAUGACAAAGGCUAUCCAAUAUAUUAUAAAAUGACUUCUUGGCAGUGAUUAAGCUAUUCAAUUAUCAAUAAUGCAUUAUUCUUAAAGUUUAUAAUAUAAUAAUGUUUGCAUAUGCACUUGCGAAACGACAUAUCGUCGACUGGGAAGGUGCAAUGAAAGAGAGAGGAAAGGAGGAAAUAAACGAACAAGAAAUGACAAAGACUAUCCAAUAUAUUAUAAAAUGACUUCUUGGCAGUGCUUAAGGUGUUCAACUAUCAAUAAUGCAUUAUUCUUAGGUUGAAAUGUGGAAGCAUCCGAGAAAUAGCAUGGUAACAACCACACAAUAAACAAAAGUGAUUAGAGAAAAGAACCAAAUGUGAAAGGAUAAUUAAAAACAGUUAUUCAAGAUCGGCGGUAAAUCAUUCAGCUAUUUACAAGAUUUGAACUUAGAACCGCAAUCUACUAGAUUGUUGUAUCAACUAUUAAGUGGUGUUCUAAUAUAAUUCUUAGGAAUUUCAAGGAGGCAUAUGGGGGUGGAUCAUUUUUUUUCUAAAUUCGACAGUACAAAGAAGAAUUUAAUUGAUAACGGAAAAAAUAAGUUACAUAUAGAGCUGGAGCAUAUAAUAGACCCAAAUUGACCAUUUUUAGGCUCCACUGCUAAGAACUAUUGCAAAAUGCUCAUUAGGAUUACCCUGUGAACUCCGUCCUUCCACACCAAGCCUCCAAACUCAGUCCGAUAUGUUGCAGCUAGUUUAGAUACUUGUCCCCUGCAUGUUACAGAAUCACAAGAGCAAGCUUACAAAACUGCAGUUUUUACUCAUAGUUAUUGCAAAUGAAAAUACAGGUUGGUGCCAGCAAUUAUCAGUGUAAUUCUCUAUCCGACGGUAUUUCUCUCGCCUUCUCUUGAUAAUUUCGGAUGUGACAUGUUUAAGAUAACUCUUCCAAACACGUUGCUUAUGCCUAAUUUUUAAUACCACCAUAUCAUAUCAUAGUAAAUCCAAAUAACUAUCGAAUGGCAUUUAGGCAUCUAGAAUAUCAAAUGCAUUACUUUACAUUGAAAAUUCAUUUAUUCAAUAGCAUUAAUACACUAGUAAAAAAAACACUUUGCACGACGUAGGUCCUUCGUCGCGCAAAGUCAAAACAUGUCGCGCAAAACUUUGCCCAACGAACCUUCGUCACGCGCAAACCGUCGCAGCAAGGCAGUGACAUAAGGCUUUGCACGACGAAGGGUUACAUGCAUCGCGCAAAGCCACUUUGCGCGACGCAUGUAACCCUUCGUCGCGCAAAGCCAUUUUGUGUGAUGCAGGCUGCGUCGCUCAAAGUGGCGUCACGCGAAGAUGCUUUGCGCGACACAUGUCAUUGAGUUGCACAAAAUGACUUUGCGCAACGUAACCUACGUUGCGCAAAGUGUAUUUUUGGUUUUGGUCAAAAAUAUUAUUUUCUUAAUUUUUAAUAAUGUUGUAAUUAAAUUCUAAACAAUAAUUAAUUAACCAAAAAAAGUAUUUAAUUAUAAAAUAUAUGGAAAUGUACAUACAAGAUGUCCGAAUAAAAAAGAAAAAACUACAAGUAGUCUUCUAGGUGAAGUGGCUACUGGGUAUCAACAUGGUGAAGUGGCUUCUAGGUGAAGUAACAUUUCGAUGACGUGAAAAAGUUUCAAUUGGUCAUCUACAAGUGUCAAACCUAACACAUUUUACUUAAAAAAGAAAAAGGUAAUAACAUAACUCAAAACGAAAAGCAAAAGGGAAAAAAAAAAACUUUGCGCGACAUAAGUACAUAUGCAUCUCGCAAAGUUUUUUUUUCCCCCUAUUGCAGAUACAAAUAACAUCAUCCUUUUGCAAGAAUCAGUCUCUGCCCUCUCGCCCUCCCUCUCCCGCUCCCUCUCCUUCUCCUUCUCCCCUGUGUAGUUGUUGGUUGUGUUGUACGAAGUCGUCCCUCUCCCUCUCCCAUGUGUUGUUGUUCGUUGCACAAAGUAUUUUGCCCGAUGCAGGUGUACCUACGUCCCGUAAAGAUUUUUUUUUUUGCCCUUUUGCUUAUGAGUACAAAAUAAAUAAAUUAAAAUCUACUUACUAAAUCAACUAUGGAGCUUUUGACUUGUGUUAGAACACUGGAAAGAAAGACAAAAAGAGACAUUUUCAUGUUGACUUUGCACGACGCAUAGUACAUCAUGCGUCGCGCAAAGCUGUUUUGAGUGACGUAGUGUACCUGCGUCGUGCAAAGUUGGAAAAAAAACGGUAAAACAUUCUUGGUUUGGCCCCAAAAUCUUGCGCGGCGCACAAAACGUCGUGCAAGUGGUCUUUAUGCGACCAUACUUUGCGCAACGAAGGAGUGCGUCGCGCAAAACAGUUUUGAACGACAUAGAUGUACCUUCGUCGCGCAAAACAAUUUUGUGCGACCCACUCCUUCGUCGCACAAAGACCACUUGUGCGACAUCUUGUGUUUAGCGUUGCACAAAGUAUGUUUGCGCGACGAAAUUUGCUACGUCACGCAAACAUGUUUUUGUACUAGUGAUAACACACACAUUGAAUCUCCACUUGCCCACCCAAAAACUUCUUUGUAAACUAGAAAUAUAUUCCAAUCUCCCUAUUCACAUGAAGAGUGAGUUAGAGUGAUUGGAAAUAUCUUUGAUUACGUGUACGCACACCACAUAUGUGCCAUAUCCAACGGUAUUGCGGACAUAAAGCAAGCAAGUAAUGGUUGUUUGGCUUCUAAUCUGAUGUCACGGUAGUGACGGUACUACUUUGAAAUCUUUGAUGUAUAUGUUUUUAACUACAAACUACUAGAACUUCACAAAUUGCUUAAAUACAAGUUCAAGCAAUAAUAAGAAUAUUUCCAAUAGAACACCUUUCAUAGGGCCGGUCCAGAAAUUUUUGAGGCCCGGGACGACGUAAAAAAAAGUGCCCUAACUUCAUGUAAGAAAAUUAUUUAUUUUCACACGUAAGACAUCGAUAAAAUUAUACUUAGAAAAACACUUCAAACUUAAUAAUUUAAAAACACAUAAAGACUAAUUUAUUUUGUAUUGAGAGAGGGAAACAACAAAACUUCGGGCUUACAAGUAGAUAGAUGAUGAGUUUUGUUUUCCAUCUGAACUUUGAAUGUGUUUUUGAAUAAAUCAUGAGGUGUUUUUUUCUUAUUUACUAAUCUUGUCAAUAUGGGACUAUAAAAAAAUGAUGUUUUCGAGUCUUUAAUUGAUAUGUAUUAUUAAUGAAUUGGCACUAAAUUAAACAUUUUGAUGACAUGUCAUAUAAUUUGCAAAUUUGGUCUACGUAUUAUUCUUUGUUGAAGAUUAGACUUGAAUUAAAACGAAUAUUUAAAAAUAACAACCCACAUAUCUACUAGAUAGUAACUAAAAAUAAAUUAACAACCAAACAAAAAUUUGUAAAAAUUGAAAAGAAUAAACAUGCACAUAGCACUUCAAACAAAAAUCAUUGUUUCUAAGGGGGGUGUAUUCAAUUGAGAAUGUGAAAGAUUUUAAUGGAUUUAUAAAUCCAUGGAUUUUUAUGGAGUUUAAUUGAUUUGUAGAGAUUCCAUAUAAAAUUUUGAUUCAAUUCCUUCGAAAUCUCAUGGGAAGAGGUGAGAUUUGUGGAUACUUAAAAUACACUACGAAAUCUCUCCAAUUCCCUCUAAUUCUUUAACUUUCUCAAAUUCUUUAAAAUCAAUUUCUAAUUGAAUACACUUGGAAUGUUAUAAACUUCUUUAAAAUCUUAAUUGAAUACACCUGGAUUUCUAAGGAUUUUAAUAAACUAUUUUGAAAUUCUAAUUGAAUACACCUAGAAUUUCAGAGAAUCACUUAAAAUCCUAAUUGAAUACCCCUGGAAUUAUUAAUUCCCUGAAACUCUCUCAGAAUCCUAAUUGAAUACACCCCUCUAAGUAGACUUCUUGAUCCUUUUACCAAAUUUUAUAAAUUUAUUCUCUUAUGAAAAGAAAUUUGUAAAAAAUGAAAUGUAAAUAAGCACACAUGGUGUUUUGAACCCAAUACCUCCUCAUUAUUUUCAAAUGACAAACCACCACUUCUAGUUAAAUUUCUAUGUCUUUGAACCAAAUUUUAUAAAUUUAUACUCUUAUAAAAACAUACAUAAAUUGACACACCCCAUCCCGAAGGAGGGCAUGCUGGCCGUCACGUGAGAGUGACGUAACCAUUUGCACAGUACGGAAGCUUUAAGAUACAAUUUAUAAGUUGAUACACCCGAAGGUGAGUCCUAAUUUUGUCCAAUCUGUCAGAACACCGUCGAAUUCCUCGUAGUCACCACACCUUUGUGAUUCUUGAACCUGGAGGGGCGCAAAACCAAAAUUGAGUGGGUCAGUAAAACAAUUCUUUUCCAAAUCCAAACAUUUCUCAAAACGUUGUAACCCCUCUCCGUAAAACCUGUAUACUUUCCCAGAAAUGUAAAAUAUAAAUAUACAUAUAUAUUCUCAAAACUUCAUUUUUACUAUCUCAACAUUUUUCUUUAUCAAUCAUGCCAUGCCAUGUCUAAUUCAACAGUUAAAUAUGGAUGCAUCAACAAUAAUCAUAUCAGGUGCAAGAAAGUAAUCAACCGGAGGCCCUCUAAUAGCCCUGUACGGUUGAACCUAGAGCUCAAAAUCUAUCACUAUCACUCUACCGGAGUCACCUCUGUGACCCGUCCGGCCUUCUGCACACAAGUUAUGCUCUAGUGCUUUCUCAUCAAUCAUCUGUGCACAUAAUCUAAGGUCACCCACCAGUCGGAAUCUCACUAACACUCUCGCGACUGGCCUGUCGUACCCACUCCGCGUGGACUGUACGACUAGCAUCUACUUGGAUCCAAGGCGAGCGUGCGAUGCGGUGAAUACUAUAAGCACUAAACCAUUGGUGCAGGAUUUGAGCUCAAUAUAUAUCAACAUCAUCAUAACAGUAAUUAAAUACUCACCUGAUACUCACCUGUGCGUCCGCCGCACCAUUCAUUCAUAUGCAUCAUAUCUCAAUUCAUACUUUUCAUAUCAUUUCAUGCAUGGCAAUUCGAUUCACAUUUCUAUAUACUUUUCAUAUACUUUUAUGCAUGGCAUUUCAACUAAUAUAUCUCAUAUACUUUUAUACAUUUUCAUUAAAAACAUAAUUUCAUGCAUUUUCAAUUUCUGGGAAACGGCAAGUAUAUAUGUAUACGGAAAACAAAACUGCCCACUCACCUGGAGUUCGCCCUACAACUCCCUAGCACAAUACGCCAAGGCGUCAUGACGAUCGGCGCCUAAAAACAAUAAUUAAUUCCAACCUCAGAAUUCAUAGUGAUAGAAUAUAUAACUUAUAUAAAAUACGUCACUACGUAGUUCGAUCCGGAAGAUCUGCCACUCAGAUUUUAAAUCCAUAACUUCCAGAGGUCCACAAUAUACCUCUAGGACAACUUCCUAAAAUUUCAUUACCAUCCAACGGUCGGAUCUCCGUCAAUUUCCAAAACUAAGUGACGGUUAACAUUUUAUUUUAUGAACUUACAAUUCCAAUUCCGGAAGAUCCGUAACUCGGAUUCCCAAUCCGUAAGUUCCAAUAAUCCUCAAAUAUUACGUAUUACAACGUAUCAAAGUUUGGUAACGAUCCAACGGUCGGAUCGUCAAUUCACAUUUUCACCAAAACUAUAAAACGUUAUUCGAACACCUAACCAACAAUCCUUAAUAACUUUCUCAUACGGUGCUCAAAUUGGGUAUAUGAAUAUACCACGGUGAUCUACUCGACGUCACGGACGUCGACAUAUUUUUAAAAUAAUUUUAUUUAUUUAUUUUUUUUAACUGUAGCACCUUCUUCUUCCUUGGGUCGCCGGACUGGUUUUUCCGGCGGCCGUUUUCCGGGCAGUUUUUCAAAUUGUCAUAACUUUGUCAUUUCUCAACGAAAUCAAGUGAUUCAAAAACGAAAGUUGUAGCCCUUGAAGAGACAAAGAGAAUGGUACCUUGCACAACACCUAGUUCGCCGUGGUUUGGCCGGAAACUGCCUCGAAAGCCUCGGAGGUCGCCGGAAACUGGGUAUUUUUCAAAUGAGUAUAACUUCUUCAAUACUCAACGAAAUUGAGUGAAACAAAAAGGAAAGUUGUAGUACUUGACGAGACGAAGAGAUUGAUACCUACCUCGACUCCUAACUCGCCGGGGAUUCGCCGGAAAAUGCCUCGAAGCUCCGGCCAAACUUUGAACUUGUCGAUCUCCGUGUUCUUACGUCCAAAAACUUCCAACGAAGCACUCCGAGCUUCCUUGGAACCUCACUAAGCUCACUGUGAGCUUGGAUUGUCCUAAAACAAAGUCAAUUCGAAGAUCAUGAACAGUGCACUUUCACGGGGAGUUUAGAAUCUAGGUUUUUCCGAAGUAAAACUUACCUGAAAUUGGUGUCUACGUGAUCGUGGAGUCUCCAGGAGUUCGAUGGUGGUCUUAACUCCGUCGUUGGUAUAGAUUUAGGGUGGUUUUGGAGCUCGUCUGUGUGAGUUUGAAGGAGAGGGAGAGAGACAGAGAAUGAGAGAUUGUGAGGGAGGAGAGAGAGACAGGGUACGGGAAAUAGGGAGGGAUUUGAGGUGUGUGGUCCUACCUAACCCCAAAUCAUAAAAUUCCAUCUCCAAAUAACUUAGAAACAUAUAUUUCACCAAUAUAUGAUUCACAUAUCUUAAUCACGUUUAAGGGAAAUUCCGUCAAUUUACAAUCACGAGUGUAAAACUUUGGGACGGGCUGUGACAUAAAUAUAUCACCCUAAUAAUUUUGGUGCCCCUAAUUUUUCUGGGCCCUGGACGGUCGCCCUGCCUACACUGGGCCUAGGCCGACCCCCUUUCACAAUCCCUGGAGAGCUAGUUCAUUAAUAGACCGAGGAAUAAGUAAAUUGACUCAUUCAUAUAUUUAGAUCAUGAAUGUUUGGAAUCCAUAUUAUGUAAGGAGACAUUGCUUUUGCUAUUAUGAAAUUUAAAAAAAAAAAUGACUAGAUUAGAACUUGCAUAAUCUACGUUUUAUUCAUGGCAUGCGAUUAUUAAUGAUUAAAGCUAAGCUUAAUACUAUGGGAGGUAAAGUAGUGGAAAGCAAAUCCUUGGCACUCAUGGCACUUAUGGAGAAGAUGAAGAAAAGAAACCUAGGUCGUAUUUAUAUACAAACAUGUGACUAAAUUACAGAAAUGAUAACGAGAGAGCAUGUGAUUGUUGACAACCAGUGACAUGAGAAACACACUCUGGGAUCAUAUCCAUCAGAAGCCCAAUUCCAUCCUGUGUAAGAAAGAGAGCAUGAGAACACGAACAUGAAAAAUGAAAGAAUUGUAUUCAGCAUUUUGUCAAGCUAUCAAUUGGUACACAAGCAUUAUGAUGUAAUAAUCAUGUUAAAAUAAAAUAUAAAUAGUAAAACUACACGUCCAAGCUUUAAUCCAAAGAAUUCUCACUUAGUAGUCCAAAGCUAAUUGAUUACCAUUCGGUUGAUCCAGAAACACUCAACCUAUCCAACUAUUUUGCGACGUUACCAAAAACUACUACUACUUUCCAGGUGAAACAUGAAGGGUGAAAAAGCAAACAUGAAUCACUAGAUUUACUACAAAUGAUAUACCGAACAAUCUAACAGUAAAUAUCAACAAGACCAAUCCAACGUUAUCACAAAGCAUAUAUCAAUAAGAAAAAUAUAAAAAUAUUGUUACCUUACUGAAAGCUCCAAUAUUCGGUAAGGUAACAUUGGAGGUCACUAUCAUCUUUCCCGCGAUCAGUGAAUAAAAGCCAAAGAUCUGACUCUUGGAUUCGAGUCAUGGGUUUGGGUCGCAAUUCUCUCGUCGCAUGUUUGAAUACCAAGUUCAUCUUAACAGACUUGGUUUUUUUUAUCAAACAUCUUAACAUAUUUAGGGGUGUGUUCAAUUGGGGAUUUAAGAGAUUUUAAUAGAUUUAUAAAUUUAUAGAUUUAUAUGGAGUUUAAUUGAUUUGUAGAGAUUUCAUGUAAAAUUUUGAUUCAAUUCCCUCGAAAUCUCAUAAGGAGAUGUGAGACUUGAGGAUGUUUAAAAUACACUACGAAAUCUCUCCAAUUGAAUUCCUCAACUUUUUCAAAUUCUUUAAAAUUAAUUUCUAAUUAAAUUCAAUUGAAUGUUGUAAAAUUCUUUAAAAUCGUAAUUGAAUGCAUCCAGAUUUCUAAAUAUUUUAAUAAACUAUCUUAAAAUUCUUAUUUAAUACAUUGAAUUUUAGACAAUUACUUAAAAUUCUUAUUGAAUACCUUUAGAUUCAUUAAAAAAUUUAAAAUUUUUCAAAAUCCCAUUUGAAUACAUCACCCUUAAUAAAUUGUACAUUACAUUAUAUCCCAUUUGAGCACAUUAGCUUAUGCCUCCGGAUUCUGCAUAUCGGGUCGGGUUCCGAAGUUCGAGCUCACAUUUGAUAAUCAAAUUCAUCACAUUUGAUCCAACGGUGGUAAUUGGCAAACCCACCUCGGAGUCAAAAGAUGCGGCCCACGCUCCCUCUCUUUUCCAAAACCCUAGCAAAACCUCGGCCCUAUAAAUACCUUCCACAUCCGCCGCAGGAGGCACCCAAAUGCCCCUUUCUCUUCCCUUUCACACACUAAUCCCUCGCAGAGGCGAUGGGAUUCCCAGUUGCUUCUCCGUCGGAGAAACCUUUCCAACUGCUCCAUCUCUUUGCACCAUCGCCUCUGUUUCUUUUUUAUUUAUUUACUUAAUUAUUUGAGCAAUUUCCUUUAUCCUUGCCAUUCAUAUUUCAGAUUUUCAGCUUGUUUUUUUUUAUCCGAAAAAUAAAAUCGAAGUUGUAUGAGUUUUUUGCAAUUUUGUUGGGUGAGGCCGGUGAUGAUCGAAACAUAUUUUGCCUACAUUGCUUGAUUAUCUUAUUUUAUUGAGAUAAUGAUAAAAUCCGAUGUAUCUGAGGCCUUCCCGGAAGAACGAGCUUUAUUUUAUUUUUUAUUUUUUGGGUAAAAUGUAUUAUUUCAAAUCUUAAUAUUUCAAAAAACUGAAUUUUUAAAUUUCGACUAAAAUGAUGAGUUUUGUUGAUAUUUGCGAUAUAUCACUUAAAUAGUGAAGAAAUUCUUAAUUUCGUCUUAUUAAAUAUGUCAGAUUUUGUUUGAUAUUUUCUCGAUGUCAGAAGUCGAACUUAGAACUCUUAACCAUAAGAAUUGAAUUGAGCUACACUGGAUGCGUUGGAGAAAAUAUUAAUAACUGAAGGAGGAUUUAUGUUAUAACAAAAAUAAAAUAAAAAUGGUAUUCCGGUGCCAGGAUUCGAACCUGGAUGAAAACUCUUAACCAAUAAGACUUUUUGUGGUGAGCUUCACCGGACGACUUGAUAAAUCAUGGCGAAAUAAACUAUUUAAAUGUACUCCUUACGUUGUGCCGUAGAUAAACAAUUAGUGCACAUAAUGUAGUUAUCUGAUUUGUGGGGAAUGGUGAUGCUCACCGCUUAAUGUCGUCGUUGGAUCAGUUUAAGUUUUGAGAUCUGUGAAAUGAAUAAAUACAAAUUUAAAAAUUUAAAUUUAUUUAAUAAUAAUAAGUAUGGUAAUGAGAAAAAAAUGCAUCUUAUGGUUCAGAAACACACUCUCAAAUUUAAAUAACAAUUUUCAUGCUUUCCAACAACACAAAAAUUUUAUAACUAAGAAUCAAUCAAAACAUAAUGAUUGAAUGAGCGAGGAUUUCUUUUAUUUUUUCCAAAUUUUCUGAAGGUUUUUUCUAUAAAAUUUAUGGUGUCAUGAUUGCCUUAAAAGAAUCGUAAAUGUGUUCCUUGAAAAAUAAUAUGAAACCGUAUUUUGAGUUCUUAUGUUUAUUGUUUUAAUUCGAUCUAUCGUUUGAAGCCGCCUCCACCAAAAUAAAUUCAUAUCUAUAUUUUUUCUAUAACGAGUGAUUAAUAAAUCCAACCGUUUUUCAGCACCACAAAAUAAGUUACAACCCGAACACUAACGAGCGAUUAAUGGGUCCAACCGUUUUGCCACAUAUAUAUUUUCUUUUUAUCAAAACAUGCAAAUAUCUUCUUUACCAACUUGAAUCUCCCAUCGUUUGUUUUCUCUUCAUCCACAGAUUUGAUCUGUCUUUUUUGGUGAUCAAACCAAAAUUUUCUUGGACAUGAUUGUACAUACAACCAUUAAUAAACUAUCUCCAACAAAAGCCUAAACAUAGCCUCGUCCAAAAUUAUAGUCUUGCAAAAAAAUAUUUUUUUAAUAAACGAUGUCAAACUAUACUCAUGUACUAUCUUUAACCUGUAUGAAACCUUAAAAUGUAGUGAGCUUCAUCAGUUCAUGUUUAGUGCAAUUAUAUAGAACAAAAUGGUUGUAUUUCAUUUAGGAUUAGGACUUAUAUGUGUGACUUGUAAGGGAUUUAGAGCCACAAAGGAGGGAAACUUGAAGUUACAAUUAUUUGAAUUUGGCGACAGUUAAUCGAAGGAAAUUGCUUGUAACUGCAUCCUUGAUGGGAGGAUGAGUUGCGGAACGUACAUAUAUAUAUAUAUAUAUAUAUAUAUAUAUAUAUCACUUUGAUCUCUCUUCUUAGGUGUGUGUGAUCCCUCACGUAGAAAUAGUCCCAUUGAGUGUUCUUGGAUCAAUUUUGUGACCAAAGGAAGAGAAGAUAUCACAUCCUGGCCCGGGACGGACCACUUCCCGGGCCCACUCCACCACCGUAGCACGAUAUUGUCCGCUUUAGGCCCCGAUUAAGCCUUCACGGUUUUGUUUCUGGAAACUCACGAGCAACUUCUUAGUGGAUCACCCAUCAUGGGAGUGCUCUGCCCACCUUCUCACUUAACUUCGGAGUUCAGACAAAACCCGAAGCCAAUGAUCUCCCAAAAUGGCUCGUGCUAGCUAGGGAUGAGAAUAUACAUUUAAGGAUCACUCCCUUGGACGAUAUGGGAUGUUACAGAAGACAAAUGAUCAAACUUGUUGUCAAUGUCUUCUUCUACAAGUAAGUAAAUUCUCAUUACUUGUUAUAAUCGCUGCAUGCAUAAUGACACAAUAAAUGCAACAAUUAUCAUUCAAUGUUAAGAUUUCUGAACUAGGAUCAUGGUUUAAUUGUUAAUGAUAUAUAUAUCCAAGCAUAACCGAAAUAGCUAAACAUAGCCCCAUAAUAAUUUAUUAUUUUAAACCUUAUACUUUAAAUUAAUUAAUUAAUUUAAUUUAAUUAUCAUUGUAUGUUUUCAAAUUUAGCCGUUUAAUUUGAAUUAAUUGUUGCAACUGAGGAGCUGGAUCCCCAAAAAGGGCUAAGAGGGGUUCUAUAUUUGACCAACUUGAUACCCCUUAGGCUAAUAAUCAUCUGGUGGGCUCCAUAAAAUUAUAGUCUAGUCAUCGGUUGGAAAUAAAUUUUUAGAUAAAUCAAGGUCAUUUUUAGUUUUUAAACCUUUAGUCAUCUCAAUUGAAAAUGACCUUAUGUCUUUAUACGAUGUGCCUCCUAUUUCCAGCUUCAACUCCAACUGAAGGAUGUAAACGUAAUUAUCAUCUAUAGAGAUUCAUCAGAAUUUGAGGGGUUAGAUGACCCCUACUUGCCUCUUAAUGGAUUGGCCUAGGGGUGGGCAAACGGGUAUAGGAACCGCGGGUCGGGGCGGGUACGGACCGGUUCUUAUUUUGUAAAAAUAAAAAUGAGGCGAGGUAGGGCGGGCUUUUGAAAUUUUCGGUUCGGGCUGGUUCCUGAAGUAUGGUAGCGUUUGGUACGUGGGACGGGACGGGACGGAACGGGACGAGCCGUUCCGUCCCACGUUUAGUGCGCCUAAAAACUGUGGAACAGGUUGUUCCAUGGGACAAAAUUUGGCUGAUUUUUCGUUCCACCUCUUCCCCCUGGAACGACCCGUUCCACAUCUGUGGAACACAAAUUUAUAACAUUUUAUGACAAAAUUUCUCCUUAUCUUUUUCAAUAUUUACAUCAUCUGUUCCGUCCUGUUCCAUCUCGUCCCGUCCAGUCCUGUUCCGUCCCGUUCUGUCCCAUCUGCGUACCAAACGGUACCUAUAGGAACCGCGGUUACCCGGACCUGCCCGUUUGUAGUUAGAAUGGACGUAUAAGAUUGAAGAGAUCAUCUCUCCAUCCAAUCUGAAUCGUUGGUUUUAGGUUUGCUCAUCCUCAAACUUAUCGAAUUCAACUGUCACUCUUACUCUGUUGAUCGAGUCUCUCUCGCCGUCUCCAGUGCGUCGUCUCCUUCCCUCCACCACCCCGACAACACGACGGCCCAGACGACCACCAUCUUCUCGAUUUGUCACCUCUCUCUCACCUCUCUCUCGCCAUCUCGAUUUGACAUCCCAAGGACCCAGACUUACAUAACCCAGCCACCCCACCACCCAUCUUCUCGAUUUGUCACCUCUCAUUUGCCGUCUCGAGUGUGUCUUCCCCUCCUUCACCGAGGAGGACGAGAUUCAAAUCCUGCUGGUUUACUCCAAGGAGAUUAACAAGCGCAUGCUCGACACCGUCAAGUCCAGGAACGCCAUUGCUUCCGCUGCUCAAAACGGCGCCAUGGAGUCCGAGACUGUGAGCUCUGCGGUGGAAUGUACCGCUGUUGCCGCCAAUGAAGAUGCUAAGGCUGAAGAGCACAGAUCUCUCCAUGUGUGUUAGGUCACUCUUAGCUUCAUAUUAGCCUAUUAGAGCUUUCAUAUCGAGAUCUGUUCAUAUUUAUCAUGGAUUUCUUGUGAUGCCUAUAUACCUAAUGACCUGUUAAAUAUUUAAACUUUGUUAAUUUCGCUAUGCGCUUCAAUUUUCUGUGGAUUAUAUUAUCUGGGUUUCUGUUGUGAGUAUUGAUCUACUGAGUCUUGAUCUGCUUUGUUCAGAGAUGUUUAUGUUGAAGAUUUUAUAAGGAAGUGGGUGCAUUUGGAAUUGGAAAAUUAUCGAAAUCUUUCCUCUUGCAUUAUUUAGGUUUCCUAUUGCAUAAUCUGCUGCAUUAGUGAAUCUGUGCAAAUUCCAAUUUUUUUUUUUCUAAACAAAAAGAAAACCAAGAACCCGUGGACCCGGCCUGAACCGGCCCAUUUCAACCAGGCCGAGUAAGGUCCAAUUCCUAUAUAAGAAAAUGUAAUCCCCAACUCGGUCCGGCCCAUCUCCUUUGCACCUGGAUCCACCAGUGGCCAUAUGCUAUUGCCCUUUUAUUUUCUUUUUUCUCCUGCCAUGGGCGCAGUCAUGGGUAAGUAGGUAAGUUUGAUUACGCAAUUAAUUGGGCACUCUAGGAGACGCGUAGUGUUAGUGCAGGCUCAAAAGUCAAAAGGUUAAUGAGGAGUGUGGAUGGAAAGCCUGCCCUAAAUACGUUUGUAUUCCUUUGCUGAGUUACUGUACUCUGCCCUUUUCUCCUCUCUUCCUGGAAAAUUCACUCUAUUGAUCUCUGGCCGUGUUUUGCGUGGCAUGAAACAAAACGGUCAAGUAGUGUAUAACAAUUUCAAAAAAAAAGGUCAAAUAGUGUAUAACAAUUUAUCAUAUAGAAAGUUGAUGGUGCUGCAGAUGAUUAAUGAGAGUUUUAACGAAAAACUCACAGCACUGUUUACUUUAACGAAAAGCCACAUUUUUACAUUAAAAAGUCAAACCUAGUACUAUUCAUUUUAUCCUUUAUUUUGUCUUUAACAUUAAAACUCAAAGUUUUCAAACAUUUUUCAUUAGUUUUCCUAUGAUUAAUUGGUGUCCGUAGAAAUUACAUGAUAUCACUCAGACUUUAUCCAACAUAUUAGGCCAUCUCCAACAAAAGUCUAAACAUAGCCCCAUCUAAAAUUAUAUUCUUGUAAAAAAUUAUCUUUUAAUGAAUGAUGUUAGACCAUACUCAUAUAUCAUCUUUAACCGAAAUGGUUAAACACGGCCACUUAAUAAUUUAUUAUUUUAAACCUUAUACUUUAAAUUUAUUGGUUAAUUUAAUUAAACUACCAUUGCAUGUUUUCAAAUUUAGUUGUUUAAUUUGAAUCAAUUAUUGCAACUGAGGAGCUAGAUCCCCAAAAAGGGCUAAGAGAGGGUCUAUAUUUGGUAAGCCUGAUACACUUUUGGCCAAUAAUCGUCUAGUGGGCUCCACAGAAUUAUAAUCUAGUCAUCGGUUGGAGAUGAAUUUUUGAAUAAAUCAGGUAAUUUUUAGUUUUUAAUCCUUUAGUCCUCUUAGUUGAAGAUGACCUUAUGUCUUGCUUUAUAUGAUGUGCCUCCUAUUCCCAGCUUCAACUCCAACUGAAAGAUGUAAACGUAAUUGUCAGCAAAGAGUUAGAAACAUACCCGAAUCCACGUUUUAUAAGCAGAAACUACACUUAUUUGACAUGUUUCCUCAUUUUUUUUACUUGCAAAUUCAAAACCGUCUUGUCGGACCAGUAUAACAAAAUAAUGUUUACGAACAACUGUUAAAACUAAUCACAACAAGUUAAUGCAUAAAGAACUUACGGAUACGGAGGGUGCUAUGAGGCCACCGAAAAGGGUAAACCCCGCAAUAAAUGAAUUCACCUUGUGAUUAAUACUUUGCACAACUUUUUAUGAACCGACAAAAGGCUACAACAAAUUAUGGCUAAAACAGGUCGGGGAUAUGAAAAUAAAUGUCUUCACAGGGUCAGCAGCUUACCAGGGGAGGCAAAAAUGGAAUGAAUGAUGGAAAACUUGAUCUUCAUUUACCGCUCCAAGCUCUGCGCGUUUAAUCCGCUGUUGUAUCCUCAGCCUGCGAACCUACGCAUAUCGAAGCUCAUUCUUAAAGAACACAUUUCUAAUGGCAAUUGGAGAGUAAUUUAAAACAUGCUAAACUGAGAAAGUGGUAGCAACAAGCAAUUGCUCUCACCUCCUCCAUAUGCAAGAAAAUUUUGUUGCGACGACUCCGAAUAUUAUCUUGAAUUUCCUGCAGCUCCAUUGUCGCAAGGUCCUGCACUGUUUCAGGCCCCUCUAUGAUACAAAAUCUGCACAAUUAAGCAUGUAAAAACAAAAAUUUACAGGCUACAAAGCAAUUUCCAUAAUUUUUGGGUUAAUUAACAUCAACAGCAGAUAAAUCACAUGGGUUUUUCACAUAAAGUUACAAACUUUCAAAGACCAGUAAGCUGUCUGCAAUCUCAUAAAUUUCACAGUGCAAAGUAACAAUCCAAAGCUUGGAAAAUUUUCAUUUUCUGUUAAUUUCCUAGAGAGAGAGAGGGGGGAGUACCCGGCGGGGUUUGUAUCGGCGGCGGGAUUGGGAUCAGAAUCGACAGACGGAGCGAAAGAGGAGGAGUCGGGCUCCGAAGCCAUGGCCAGGGAUCACCAUCUGGAGCUGCUUGUUGAUAUGGGGCUUCUUGGGUAGCUGAAUUUGGAGCAGCCGGAGCUACGCAGUUUGUACGGACAGCACCGAUUUACGGGGAAAGAAACGGCAAAAAGUCUGCCGGAGCAGAGCAUCUCUCUCUCUCAAACCAGAAGGCAGAGCUUUCUGUUUCUCUACAGGUUUCUUUCACUGGUAAAUUCCGGAGAAGCAGAGAAGAAGGGUCAAAGGGCCAUGUAUAGUUUUAUAGUCAUACAAAAAAUUAUAUUUUAAUAAAAAAUGUAAGGCCAUAUUUUAUUAGGAAAAUUAAUGAAAAGGCUUGAAAACUUUGAGUUUUAAUGAUAAGGACAAAAUAAAGGGUAAAGUGAAUAGUACCAUGAUUGACUUUUUAGUGUAAAAAUGUGGUUUUUGGUUAAAGUAAACAGUACCAGGUGCUUUUCGUUAAAGUUCCCUAUUUUAUUCCAUAUCCAACUUAGUGGGCCAAUGGACCGUAGGCCAAACAUAGUCAUUUGACAAAAAUCUUAUCUCUAACCGAGAGAGCUAAAGGACCGUAGGCCGAAUAUAACUCCUUAAUAAUUUACUUUUAACGAGUGACUCAAUUAACUAUUUUCAUUUCUUACACGUUCAAAAUUAGACAAAUUCUUUGCAUACAUAAAAAAAAUAUAUAUAUAUUAAGGAGAGAGUAUUAAACUAUUACAUUACGGGUUUCGAACUCGCGAGAACCCUAAUGCCUCUCCACUAGGAUAUUAGACCAGUAAAUUAAAAAGAAAUAUUUAUAGAGGGCUGGAACCAGUCGAAGCUGGGGGGCUAGGCCCUCACGCCCAUAUUAUAUUACUUGAAAAAAAAACAUACAACAAGGAGGACAUAGUACUGAAACCCUGACAAUCAAAAGCAAAAUCAUAUACGACCACUCCAAGCAGUCAACAUAACCAUCACAUAUUGAAUCCAAAAGGUUGACGACCCAUUCGCUGCAUAUAAUGUACAGAAGAUAACAAAUUUUGAAGUGAUGCUCCAAGUAUGAUAUUGGGCAGAAAAGAGCGGCGGCUUCAACCACUUCUUCAGCUAUAUCCGGCUGGGUGAGAGCAGCUAAAGACAUGAUUGUUCCCUAAGAACAUGAAUACAUUGAGUAAACACCAAAAGUAACUGCUAGGGAAGGAGAUUUGAAGUAGAUUAAGAGGUUUAAUACCUGUGAAUGUCCAACAACAAAGACGUUGGAGCUUGUUGAAUACAUGCAGCGCAUCAUUUCUGAUAGAUCAAAUCGAGCCAAUUCCUGCCAACUCCAAUCCCAAAAAUCCUACAGUAAAGCAUAAAUCUUGUUCUUUUCUGAUAAAGAUGUGUCCCUGACUCCAACGUGUUUGACGCACAUUUUCUACCCAUACAUCGAAACCUUCAUCUGCUGGAGAAUUUAAGAAUCAUGCAUCACCUGGUUAAGAUCAAGAAAAGCCAGUAACCAAUUUCAAUUGAGUUUGAAGCACAUUAGAGCCCAAUUUAAAAUGUAUCCGAUGGAUGUUCAUCACUUCACACAAUAGUUAGUUUCAAGAAAGGAAAUUUCAACGCAACCUGAAAACUUCAGAUCAGGGGGCACCAAAUAGUGAGCUAUACAUUCAAAUUUUGAAAUAAUCAACGCACAAUAUGUUGAAAAAAGUUGGAAGGAGCUAUGAAAGUAAGGCUUUUCACUAAUCAGGCGUCCAGAGAAUCAAUAUUUUUACUCACGGAUCAGUUAGGGCGAACACUCCCCACCAAAGCAAUCUCAUUAGUACUUCACAUCUCAAACCAAACAGAAAUUGCAGUAACAAACAUGACAUCUAUUAGUCCUUCACAUCUCAAAUCCAGUAAGUACCCAUCUUUCGUCAGAAUCUGGAAAACAAGCAGCAGUGGAUUUAACAAUCUGGGUAUCUCAAAGUUACUCACUUUAAUCACAACAUAUAAAUGGGCAUUUUCUAGUGAAAUGUUAGUGUAGUACUCACUGUGUUGCUCCGAGCAAGAGUACCCAGAAAGCUCGAUGAGCUGAGCACAGAGGGACUGCAGUGGUGAAACGGCGACCGAUUCUGUAAAAUUCAGUCCGGUUUUGGGUGAUUUCUGAGGCUGAUAAGGAAAGCUGGGACGGAAGGGCACAAGUCUGGAAGAAAGGCUCUGGUCACCAUUGUCGCGAUUCGUGGAGGAAGAAGUGCCCCAAAACAAUUUCAGUCCUGAACAGGUGCACCGUUUGCACUGGGCCAGGGCCGACCCUGAAUCGCUAUAGCGUCCUUCUCCAAACAGUAUAUAUACAGAUGCUAGAAAUAUCUACCAGAACCAUUCAAAUCUAGCAUCUACAGCUUUAGCAUUUAGUUGGUACAAGGUACACUCUUCCGAAGGGAGAUGAAAUCAUUGAGGCUCUUAUAUAUUCCUCCUCUUGAUGUGCCCCUGUAGACUGCUAAUUCCAGACGAUCCAAUCUCAUACAUGUUCCCUGCAAAAGCAUGCGUGCCAGACUUCAAGAUCAAACUCGUUAGCGGAAUAAAUGGUGCACAAAGGGAUUUAAAAUCUUGACAUAUGUGUAUUUUUGGCAGAUUUUAUGCGAGCAUGCAACUAAAACUGGCAUCACUAUCAAUGGUGCACAAAGAUCGGCAGAAAAAACGUAAAGAGAAGCAAUCACAACGCAAAAUGUACGAAGUAAUCUGUCCACGUAUUGGGAAAACAUUAACACUGGAUGAGGGGAAUAAACAUGGAAUUUUGAUAAAAGUCAGAAUUUAUAAAUUGACAUGCAGUAAUUUUCUUGUUUGGAUUUAUAAACAUAUAAAUUUAGAAUUUCCGCGUGGGAAAAACAAAACUUGGAACUUAUGACCUCCAAUUCUCAAGUUUAAAUUUCAUGUAAAUAUGUGUCAUUUCUAAAUUUCCAUGAGAGAGUUUAAAGAUAACAAAUACUGUUAUUUCAAUUUCUAUCAUUUUAAAAUUUCUUAGUAAUCUUAAAUUUCCUCUUCCAAACAGAGUGUAACAGUUUGUAACUUCUCCAUUGUAUUUGUUCAACUAUGCAAUUUUCUGUAAAACUUAAAAGGCUGCUUAGCAUCUCUUGUUCGUUGUAUUGAAUACCAUGGUUUUACCGAUGAAUGCAAAGUUUGCUGAUGAUUCAUACGACAAGCAAUUGAAAAUCCCAUUAUUAUGCCCCACAUCAUUUACACAAAUUCAGAGGGCUCAUCCACUGUAAUUUGCAGGUACAGAAAUGUUAUGAUUAAAGGAAAUGCAAACUACCUUUCACCCAGAUUGGAGGAGCACCGGUGGCAUUAGCAAGUGAGCAACAGGAAUUGACAUACCAAUAUCUUCACAGUUUCCGCACAAGCACAAAUCAAAAGAAUCCGGCGGCGGAGUUAUGUACCUCUUCUUGGAAAAAGACACCUCUUGGGAUUUCAUAAAAUCCGGCUGUGCCUAGACGUCUGACCACGCCAAUUCCACCAAAGCUGCUGCAACGCGGCGUAGUGUCCGAUUGAUUGCUUCAAAACAGAGCUUCGUAUCCAUGUGUUUAUAAGCACAGAGUACCCAAAACCCCAGAAAAUUAUUUCUUUAUUCAGAUAAUAAAAUUUCGCAAAUUUCGAAUUUUAAUUCCGAACCAAAAAUAGGGUUUGAAUUUUGAUUACCUAGAAAUUGGGGGUUGGGGUGGAGAGGGACUGAGGCCAAGACGCAGCUAUGUGUCCGUGAUCAGGUGUGCCAAUUUACAGAGGGUGUCGGGAAGAUGCACAAGGCUUUUGCAGUUUCUCAGAUUUAAAUACUGAAGCCCCGUAAGGCGUUCAAUCCAGGGGGAAAGCUCUUUGAUAGAUGUUCCAUCCAAGAAAAGCGCUCUUAAUCCUUCCAUAUUUUCUUCAAUGCUUGGAAACACCUCAAACUUUGUACAACCGGAAAGAGAGAGAUAGACCAGGGACUUGAGCUGACAAAUGCUGCUUGGAAGACCCUUAAGUUCCUUGCAAUCAUCUAGCUUUAAAUAACUCAAUCCCGUGAGAUUAUUAAUUGACGAGGGCAGUUCUUUAAUUUUUGACCCGGAAAAAUAAAGAACUUUUAACCCCUCAAUCACUUCUGAAAUCUCUGGAAACAUCUCUAGACUCGAGCAACCAGAAAGAUUAAGAGUUUUGAGAGAUUUCAUACGAAUGCUGCUUGGAAGACACUUAAGUUCCUUGCAAUCAUCUAGGAGCAAAUGACUCAACCCCGUGAGGUUAUUAAUUGACAGGGGUAGUUCUUUAAUUUUUGACCCGGAUAACUCAAGCUCUUCUAACCCCUCAAUCACUUCUGAAAUCUCUGGAAACAUCUCUAGACUCGAGCAUCCAGAAAGAUUAACGGCUUUGAGAGAUUUCACAAGAAUGCUGCUUGAAAGACACUUAAGUUCCUCGCAAUGAUCCAAGCUUAAAUAACUCAACCCAGUGAGAUUAUUAAUUGACGAGGGCAAUUCUUUAAUUUUUGACCCGGAUAAAUCAAGAAAUUCUAACCCCUCGAUCACUUCUGAAAUCUCUGGAAACAUCUCUAGACUCGAGCAACCAGAAAGAUUAAGCACUUUGAGAGAUUUCAUACGAAUGCUGCUUGGAAGACACUUAAGUUCCUUGCAAUCAUCUAGGUGCAAAUGACUCAACCCCGUGAGGUUAUUAAUUGACGGGGGUAGUUCUUUAAUUUUUGACCCGGAUAACUCAAGCUCUUCUAACCCCUCAAUCACUUCUGAAAUCUCUGGAAACAUCUCUAGACUCGAGCAGCCAGAAAGAUUAAGGGUUGUGAGAGAUUUCAUACGAAUGCUGCUUGGAAGACACUUAAGUUCCUCGCAAUUAUCUAGGCUUAAAUAACUCAAACCACUGAGAUUAUUAAUUGAUGGGGGCAAUUCUUUAAUUUUUGACCCGGAUAAAUCAAGAACUUCUAACCCCUCAAUCACUUCUGAAAUCUCUGGAAACUUCUCAAGACUCAGGCAGCCAGAAAGAAAGGAAUUUAAGAGAUUUCAUACGAAUGCUACUUGGAAGACACUUAAGUUCCUUGCAAUCAUCUAGGAUCAAACGACUCAACCCCGUGAGGUUAUUAAUUGACGAUGGCAGUUCUUUAAUUUUUGACCUAGAUAAAUCAAGCUGUUCUAACCCCUCAAUCACUUGUAAAAUCUCUGGAAACAUCUCAAGACUCCAGCAGCCAGAAAGAUUAAAGGUUUUGAGAGAUUUGAUACGAAUGUUGCUUGGAAGACUCUUAAGUUCCUUGCAAUUUUCUAGGUUCAAAUGACUCAACCCCGUGAGAUUAUUAAUUGACGAGGACAGUUCUUUAAUUUUUGACUUGGAUAAAUCAAGCUCUUCUAACUCCUCCAUACCUUCUAAAAUCUCUGGAAACAUCUCAAGACUGGAGCAGCCAGAAAGAUUAAAGGUUUUGAGAGAUUUCAUACGAAUGCUGCUGGGUAGAAUCUUAAGUUUCUCGCACCCUUUCAGAUUCAAUAAAACAAGGUUUCUAAGAGUCCUAAUAGACUGGUGAACCUCAACUAAGCUUCUACAACCUUGAAGAAUUAGCCUCUCAAGAUUUGGCACAUUUGUGAAGUCAGGGGUUUCCUCAAGGUAUUGACAAUAACUUAAAUUGAUGACUUCCAACUUUUCCAGCGUCUGUUAAAACAUUUAGGAAAGCAUGCAUUACUUAAUAAGACAUCUCACUCAAAACCCAAACAUUUAAAAGAAACAAAUACAUGUAAAUGAUUGUACAUACCUGGGUUCCUUCCCAAAGUCGGUCAAUGAGACUAAAUUGCAUGUCAAGUUCAACAAGAUUUUUGAAUUGAAAGUUGGAUAGCAAAGACUUGAGAGGGAAUCCAAACCAGGAGAGAUACCUCAAGUUAAGUAACUUAAAGGGCCCAAUCAAGUGGUGUUUGCAGUAAUCAUGUUUAGAAAUGGAGUCCUUAUGACUGAUCUUGAUAAGUCUUAGUUGAUUCAUGCUAACAAAAGCUUCAGCAUUUAAGCAUACCCAGUCUGAGUACGAGAAAUCCACGAUUAUGCUUUCAACUGAUUUUGUAGCCUGUGUAAAUCAAAGUAAGGGAAAAUACAGAGAACCUUAGUUUAGAUUAUGAAACUAAUACUUGUUUCUUAAGGAGCCGUUUGAUAAUCAUUUUGUUUUUAGUUUAAUUGUUUUCAAUUUUCAAUUAUUAAAACAAUAAACACUAAAGGUUGUACCCAGUGCACAAGGCUCCCGCUUUACGCAGGGUCUGGGAGAGAUGAAUGUUGGCUAGCCUUACCCCCAUUUAUGGAGAGGCUGCUUCCAAGUCUCGAACCCGAGACCUACCGCUCAUGGGCGAAGGCACUUGUCAUCACACCAAGUGCGACCUCUUAUUAAAACAAUAAACACUAAAAAUUAAAAAUUAAAAACAAAAAUACUUAUCAAACGGACCUAAGAAAUUGAUUUUGAUCAAAAGUUGAAACUUUUUAUUGACAAUAAGAAAAAGAUUUCUCACCGUAUUUUGAGAUAGCACGUGAUGAACAUCUUCAUAACUACACAACCUACUUCGUCUCCCAGGCUCUUUGAUACAUUCUUGGCGGACGAUUUCCCGACCCAUUUCCUCUAAUGAAUCAUGCAUCUCCAGUUCCCCCUCCCCUGAGACAGUUAUGAGAGCUCGAUCGAUUAGAACUCUUAUUCCAGUAUAAGGAUGGAAACCACAAACUUCCAGAAUUCGGGUUGCACAGUCUUUCUUCAUCCCUUUAAAGAAACAUGCAAUGUCCAGAAAGAUGUCCUUCUCCUUGUCAUCUAGUCCAUCGAAGCUUGAUUUAAGCACAUCAUGAAUUCCCCUUCGUGGGAUUUUCCUUAUUUUUUCUAACUCAUCUUCCCACUCGCGUAUAGUUUUGUUACCAAGAAAAGCUCCCAAGACUUUGUGUGCUAAAGGCAGGCCUUGAGCAUAUUCUACGACAUGAUUCGAGAGAUCAUCAUAAUCUCUGGUAGGUUGGUUUUUUCUGAAGGCGUGCCGCCUAAAGAGUUUCAGAGCUCCAGAAUCACUCAAAAUCUUGGGAUUAUAUAUCACAUCAGCUAUGCUUAGUAAUUGCGAAUCUCUAGUUGUUAUAAUAAUUCUGCUUCCACAACCAAAGGAAUGUGGCUCUUCAAGUAAAGCUUCAAUUUGUUCUAAUUCGUCCACAUCAUCAACAACAAUAAGAACUUUUCUCUGACCAAGGCUUUUUAACAUCACCUGAAAACCAUUUUUUGAUAUGUCAGAACUCCCCACCUUGUUGUUCGAGAUAUUCGAUAGAAGUUGUGCCUGCAUAUGUAGUUUGCCAUGCUUCAUGAAACCUUCCUUGAAAUUUUCAAGAAAGCAACAAGCUUCAAAUCGAUUAGCGAUUUUAUCAUAAACAGCUCUAGCGAUGGUUGUUUUGCCUAAACCACCCAUACCCCAUAUUCCAACAACGCGAACAUUAUUCGUUUCACCUCCGGGAGGAUAUAAUAAUAAAUGCAUUUCAUGCAUGUGAGAAUCCAUGUCAACCAAGCCAUUAUCUUUGCUUGAUGUUGAUGAGAUGUCGAUCAAUUUCCUAUAAACAUCUUCUACAAUUUCCUCAAUAAGCACCGCAUCAUUUCUGUCAAAUUUAAAAAACAAUAUAAUAACACCACCAAAUGAUAAUUAAUGGGUCUUUUUCAUCUGUUAGUUUUCAAAAAAAUAGAAAUUAAAACUAAAAACUAAAUAUUUAUCAAAUUACCCCUAAACGUUACAAAAAUCCCAAAAAUUACUAGGAAACUAAAACAAAUUAGAAUUUACUCAUAGUUUCGCGAAUCCCAGCCGGCUAAACUGGUGGCAGUUGUAAGAGCGGAUCUCCAGCUCCGAACCUCCUCUAUUUCGGCGUUAGAAUCGAUAUCGUGCUGAGCAAAAGCUUCCGCGAAACUUUUCUUGAGUUUACGAACAUCAGACGGAUCAACUUCAUAGAAAAUGGGGAGUACAAUCUGGUUAUUGGUACCUUGCAUUCCAGGAUUUGCACGAGUUCCUUCAAGCACCAAGUGGAAGAAGCAUAGUUUUGAGAGAAAACUACAAUCGAAAGCCUCGACUCUUGAAUCGCUGUCAGGAGCUCGGAAAGGUGGUCGCCUUUUCUGAACUUUUCGGCAUCAAUGAAGGCGUUGAUUGGUUUCUUAGCCAGAGCGUUGUAGAGAUGGCUGACGAAGCCCCUGCGAGUGUCUUCCCCUCUGAAAUUGAUGAACACAUCGUAUUUCCAACCAAAGCCAGAAGAAGAAAAAGAAGAAGAAGAAGAAGCAACCAUUUAUCGAUCGCACCUGGUCACCGAUGAUCGAGCAGUUAUGACUAAGAGAAUUGUAAGUACAUAAAUACUCAAUGAGUCAAUGCAAAAGGGAAAAAGCGAAAAGGAAAUGGUUGUGAUAUCCAUACUUUAUUUUACUUUUUUAUACAUUUUUGAUAAUUUAUUUUUGUUAAUUUUUUUUAAUUCAUCUAGUUUUACAUUUAAAAAUUAAAAAAAUUUAUGAGAAGUUGAAAUGUGUGAAUAUCACGUCCAAAGGAAAAUUAUGCUUUUAUGUGUUUUCAGAUCUUCUUCAGGGAAAUUUCGAUGGGAAUGGAAUCUGCAUGCUUUUGAUUUUUAACCCAAGAAAAUGCCAAGAAAGGGGUCAAAGUAGUAAAUUUAAUCUACACUUGCCUACCCAACCACCUCUUAAUUUAAUAUAUUUAAUCGAGAAAAGUAGGUUAGAGGAAGGAUGGUAUCUCCUUUUCCUCUCUCAGUCUUCCAGCAUGCCAUUUAAUCAUGAUUAAGGCUAAAGCUUAAUUAUAGAUCUUGAUUGGAUUAUUAGUUUCCGUUGUAAUAUGGUGGUUAGAAGAUUAAAAAAAUUAUGAUUUAUGCUUUCAUAUGCUAACAAUUAAUGAAGAAUUAACAAAAUUUUAAAUUUUAAAUCUAAAUCCUAACAUAUUUUACCAUAGAAGCUUAAAUCUUAAUUUACUUAUCACAUGGAUUAUUUUAUAACUACCUUACUAUUAAUUCAAUUAAACCUAUUAUUUCUACGAAAACUAAAGAAAAGUUAAAAAAAAACUUUAGUUUUAAUGAAAAAAGAAAAAUGAAUGUGUAGUAAAUAAUACCAGAAAAAAAUAAAAAAAAUAAUUUUUUAUUAAAAAUAAACAGUAUAAAAAAUGUUGCAUUAAUACUCUCAUUAUUUAUUUACAAAUACGUGACUAAAUCACAAAGUGUUAGAAUGAAAGGGAGCGCUCAAAACGAUGAAAAGCAGGAGCACAGAAAGCUAUCUCCGUUUCUUUGUUGAGCGGACAACUGUUUAUUUGUCGUUCUUUUGGCAGAUAGCUCCUAAUGGCCCAUUUCCACAGCUGGUUAUAGGAUUCUGUUGCUAUAUAAGAAGUGUUUUGUUGUAAUUCAAUAUCGAUGGAAAUUCAACAGGAUCUUUUUCAAAAUUUUGUGAGGAUUUUGGGGUGUUCGUGAAUCUUGUUCAUCGUAUAUUGUGUAGUUGUUUUUUAUCGAAUAUUAUUUUUGUUUAAUUUUAAAUAAAGUAAUUUAAAAUAAUUUUUUACUGCAAGAUGUAUGAUGAACGUAUAUGAUUCACAGAUCUCCAAAAUCCUCACAAAGAAAAUCCAAAAAUGAUCUGAAUUCAAUGGAGAUAAGUUAAUUUUGAAUCAAAUAACAUUAGGAAAGAAAAAUAACAUUAGACGCCAGUCGGGCGAAGGAUUGGAGCCUAGUGCCUAGGCAGCUAGGCGAAGCCUGGGCGAUUAGGCGGCUAGGCGGCCUAGACGGUUUUAAAUAAUUUAUUGUAUAUUUGUAUAAAAUUAUUAUUAGCACUUCAAAAAUCUCAUUUUAUACUCCAAAUUUUCUAUAUUAAAAAAGAAAAAUACACUUAUGAUGAGUGUAGAAUGAGAUUUUUGAAAUGCCAAUACACUUCUCUAUUUUUAUUAUAUAAAUCAGUUGGACUUAAAAAAGAAAAUAAAGAAAAUAAAACAUUGUUCAAAAACUAAAACUCUAUAAAUAUAAAAAGUCAGGUCUUGAUUUAUCAUUACAAUUGAUAAAUAAAGGAGUGUGCUAUCUACACAACUUUUUUUACUUCUCACUCCUAAAUAAAAAAAUGAUGUGUGGAUAUCACAUCCCUAAAUAAAAUAUAUAAAUAUAGAUAGUUGGAGGAUAUCCAAGAGACAUUCUUUGGAGGAUUUUAGAGAAGAAAGGAGUACGAGUAUAUAUCCAAGCUAUAAAGGAUAUGUAUGAAGGAGCAAAGACUGCCGUAAGAACUCAUGAAGGACAAACCGAAAGCUUUCCCAUAACUGUAGGAUUACAUCAAGGCUCAUCCUUAAGUCCUUACCUUUUUGCGUUGGUAAUGGAUAAGUUAACAGGACAUAUUCAAGAUGAUAUUCCUUGGUGUAUGCUUUUCGCAGACGAUAUAGUGUUGAUAGAUGAAACUCAGGAAGGGGUAAAUGCAAAGCUUAACCUUUGAAGAGAAGUGUUGGAAUCUAAAGGUCUUCGCCUAAGCCGAUCAAAGACAGAAUAUAUGGAGUGCAAGUUCAGUACAAAUGAAGGCCAAAACGAGUUAGGGGUGAGGAUCGGAGAUCAAGAAAUACCAAAGAGCAACCGUUUUCGUUACCUAUGAUCUAUCUUGCAAAAGAACGGAGAAUUAGAUGGAGAUCUCAAUCAUAGAAUGCAAGCUGGAUGGGUGAAGUGGAAGAGUGCAUCCGGCGUGUUGUGUGACCGCCGUAUGCCACUGAAGCUCAAGGGAAAAUUUUAUAGGACGGCAAUAAGGCCGGUGAUGCUGUAUGGCACAGAAUGUUGGGCAGUGAAGCAUCAACACGUACACAAAAUGGGUGUAGCGAAGAUGAGGAUGCUUCGUUGGAUGUGUGGGCACACGAGAAAGGAUAAGAUUAGGAAUGAGGAUCCGGGGUAAAGUAGGAGUAGCCGAAAUUGAAGGAAAGAUGAGAGAAAAUCGGUUACGGUGGUUUGGACAUGUGCAAAGAAGGCCUACUGACGCUCCGAUUAGAAUAUGCGACUAUGGGACAGAGGUUCAGGGCCGAAGGGGUAGAGGAAGACCUAGGAAAACUUUGGAAGAGACUUUAGGAAAAGACUUAGAGUACUUGGAUCUAACGAAGGACAUGACACAGGACCGAGCACAAUGGCGUUCUAAGAUUCAUAUAGCCGAUCCCACUCAGUGACUUGGAUUUUCCAAGUCUCCAACCGAGAAGUUUUCCUCACUCGGGAAAUUAAGGGAACACUACCUCAACCUACAUGCUCCACUCACAAAGCUUCAACAAAAGAAAAUUCAAAGAACUUAGCGAAGAAUGAUUUGGUGUAUUUAACACAAACGUUGAAAUGAAGGAAAGCUUAUUUAUUGAUAUUCCCGAUAAGCUACAAAUAUGUACAUAUACAUAAGGUUGCUUAGGAGAAGUCUCAGCAGCCGGUAGAGCCCCAGAAAGAGAAGGCACCAGAGGGGGAUCAUUCGGAGCCUCAGAACUGGACAGAACCCUAGAAGGAUGAGGCAUCAAAGGUUGAUCAUUUGGAGCUUCAUUACGCGGUACAGCCCCAGAAGAUGAAGGCAAUAAAUGCCUUUGGAACAAACCCACAAAUCUCUGAUGAUCAAGUAAAACCUGACCAUCAGAUUCCUUCAUCUGGUCAAGCUUCCUCUUCAUGUUUGUAGCAUAGUCAUGUGCGAGCCGGUGCAACUGUUUAUUCUCAUGCUUGAGCCAUCUAAUCUCCUGUUUGAGACUCAUCACUUUAGCCGCCAAUGAUUCAACUUGGCGGGUUCAAGCAAAUAGGCGUUGGGCCGUAUUAGACACAGAACCUGCACACUGAACACUGAGAGCCAGCGAAUCCUUAACAGCUAACUCAUCAGACCGUUUGGAAAGUAGUUUGUUAUCUUUGGGAGUGAGAAGGUUCCUGGCCAUCACCGCAGCGGUCAUAUCAUUCUUCAUUACGAAAUCCCCAACGGUAAGAGGACCAGUAGGGGAGACGAAGGAUGUGCGCCAUAUGUUGUCUGGAGAAGGCGGGGCUGCCUCUUUAACAAGGUUCAAGUCAAAACGACGGUCGGAGGGGCCAGACAUUUUCAAAGGUGUUGAAGAGAGAAGAUGUCGGAUAAAUCAAGAUCUUAGAAGUGCAAGAAUGGAGCUUCUACUGGUGGAUUUCAAGUGUGCUUUAGAACUUAAUGACAGCCCCUAUAAAAAUCUGCACUCGACGGAGCUUCAGAAAUCGAAGAGGCGUUUGCUUUCUCAAAAGUUGGGCUGCUCAAAGACCACGAAGGCCAAUCUCAGAAAUCGAAGAGGCGCUCGCUUUCUCAAAAGCUGGGCUACUCAGAGACCACGAGGGCCGAUCUCAGAAAUCGAAGAGGCACCUACUUUUCCAGCCUUGUCAGCACCUGUCACACGCACACUCAGCUUUGCGGAAAUUAUGGGCAUUCUGUCGAAGACUUCUGGUGAAGUAAAAAGCACAUGAAUCUUACUGUUCAAUCACCCACUUCCCACACGCAACAAUAGCUCAUGGGUACCACAGAUAACUUUGCCAAAGUUGAGCACGUGAAGCUUGCAGCUCCUACUACAUCGCUCUGACCAAGAAGGGUAAAAGAAUAGCAAAGAAACAGCACUAACAAAGUUUAGACCCAUAAAUUUUGAAGGUCUAGCUACCAUAUUAUUACCCACAAGGGUAAAGGAACAGUACCACUGCUGGAUAAUUGGAAAGUCCCUGUGUGUCAACCUCUGUGCUUCGUGGCAAGGUAGACUAGCAAACAUGCCCAACCUUUACUCACAUUCGAGAAAACACUCCCAAUAAGAUUGCUUGCUCCAAAAUCGAAGAGGCACCGUCCUCCGAAUCUCGAGAGCCAGACUCCCAACAUGAAUACUUUCUCAAAAAAAUCGAAGAGAGGGUAAAGGAACAGUACCAUUGCUGGAUAAUUGGAAAGUCCCUGUGUGUCAACCUCUGUGCUUCGUGGCAAGGUAGACUAGCAAACAUGCCCAACCUUUACUCACAUUCGAGAAAACACUCCCAACAAGAUUGCUUGCUCCAAAAUCGAAGAGGCACCGCCCUCCGAAUCUCGAGAGCCAGACUCCCAACAUGAUUACUUUCUCAAAAAUCGAAGAGACACUGCUAUCCCGAAUCUCGAGAGCCAGACCCCCAGCAUGAUUGCUUUCUCAAAAAUCGAAGAGGCAUCGUUCUCCGAAUCAAUCGAAGAGGCGCUCGCUUUCUCAAAAGCUGGUGGGCUGCUCAGAGACCACGAGGGCCGAUCUCAGAAAUCGAAGAGGCACCUACUUUUCUAGCCUUGUCAGCACCUGUCACACGCACACUCAGCUUUGCAGAAAUUAUGGGCAUUCUGUCGAAGACUUCUGGUGAAGUAGAAAGCACAUGAAUCUUACUGUUCAAUCACCCACUUCCCCACACGCAACAAUAGCUCAUGGGUACCACAGAUAACUUUGCCAAAGUUCUCUGCCAAAGUUGAGCACGUGAAGCUUGCAGCUCCCACUACAUCGCUCUGACCAAGAAAGGUAAAAGAAUAGCAAAGAAACAGCACUAACAAAGUUUAGACACAUAAAUUUUGAAGGUCUAGCUACCAUAUUAUUACCCACAAGGGUAAAGGAACAGUACCACUGCUGGAUAAUUGGAAAGUCCCUGUGUGUCAACCUCUGUGCUUCGUGGCAAGGUAGACUAGCAAACAUGCCCAACCUUUACUCACAUUCGAGAAAAACACUCCCAACAAGAUUGCUUGCUCCAAAAUCGAAGAGGCACCGUCCUCCGAAUCUCGAGAGCCAGACUCCCAACAUGACUACUUUCUCAAAAAUCGAAAAGGGUAAAGGAACAGUACCAUUGCUGGAUAAUUGGAAAGUCCCUGUGUGUCAACCUUUGUGCUUCGUGGCAAGGUAGACUAGCAAACAUGCCCAACCUUUACUCACAUUCGAGAAAACACUCCCAACAAGAUUGCUUGCUCCAAAAUCGAAGAGGCACCGCCCUCCGAAUCUCGAGAGCCAGACUCCCAACAUGAUUACUUUCUCAAAAAUCGAAGAGACACCGCUCUCCGAAUCUCGAGAGCCAGACCCCCAGCAUGAUUGCUUUCUAAAAAAUCGAAGAGGCAUCAUUCUCCGAAUCUCGAGAGCCAGAUCAUCAAUAGGAUUGCUUGUUCGAAAACCGAAGAGGCACCACUUUCCCAACUUCAAGAGCCGGAUCUCCUUGGAUAAAGCUUGUCUAUAAUCUUCACACGGAACAUCAGCUUUCCAGAUACCACAGACCACUUUUUCAAAGUGCUCUGACAGAGUUAAAACAUGUGAAGCUGGCAGGUCCCACUACCGUGCUAUGACUAAGCAGGGUAAAGGAAUAGCAUUACUACUUGUUGUUAGGGAGACUCCUAUAUAUGUCGACCUCCAUCCCCAACGACAGGCAGACCUGCAAAAAUGCUCAACCCUUCCUCAUAUCUGAGAGGCCACUCCCAACGAAGCCUUUCAAAAUAUUCAGCUUUCUUCCCCCUCCCCGAUAAUACCUCUGCAAACAAGCUAUACUAGAGCAAGAAUAUCUCAUAUCAUCAGGGUUAAAAGCAAGAGUAUCCCAUAUCAUGCUUUUUCCCUGUCUUUUCCUUUGGCCUUGUUUUUACCUGCAAGACAAGGAGAAAGAGAGCAAUCAGUCAGCACUUGGAAUCAAGCUUCCAGCCAGGAACUGACUGCCUGGAACCCCUUACCUGAUUACUUACCUGGCAUUGCUCUCGAGUACUCAUCUUCAACAUCUUAUGUUUCCAGGGAAGAUUACCGCAUCUGCCUUGAGGAACAGAUAGGGCAAGUGCGAAGGAUACAAGGAAGCAUGUGGAGACAAGCGUAACAGCACACGUGCCGAUACAUCCAUUACUCUGUCAAAAGCAAAAGUAUCCCAUAUCAGCAGGGUCGAACGUACUCUAGAUUUGAUGGACUUGUUUUGACCCUCAAAUUCUUCAGUCGGCCUUAUACUCUGGAGGAAACCAGAAAACCCUCCAGCUCAGUUCAAGAAUAAGCCUGUGGAAAGUUACUUCUUCAAAAGCAAAAGUAUCUCAUAUCAUCUCUUCUCAUUUUUCUUCUCUUUAUCCUUCAUGCUGCCUGCAAGAUGGGGAGAAGGUGAACAAUCAGCCGGAGCUCUGAUUGCUUACCUUGUCUGUCACCUCUUUCAGCAGAUCCCCUAGCUCGGCGACUUGGGGGACUCCUACUACAUGGUUUGUAUCGCGCUUGACCAAGCCUGAAACUACAAGUAAGCUUCAAGUGAAAUUGAUACAUUACCUUGUGCAUCUCCACCAGUUAAAGAUACCACCCCUGGAUGGAGGAAGAGUACUUCCAGAGAAGAUGCCACAUCUACCUAUGAGACAGAUAAGGCAAGUCAAGACGAUACCACACUCCGAUACUUAGAAGUUUCGUGAUUACGAGAUCAUUCUCCCACAAUAUUUCCUAAUGUCAUUUGUACUAAAUCAUUCACUUGUACUCACUAAAGGAGAGCUUGAACCUAUGUACUUGUGUAAACCCUUCACAAUUAAUGAGAACUCCUCUAUUCCGUGGACGUAGCCAAUCUGGGUGAACCACGUACAUCUUGUGUUUGCUUUCCUAUCUCUAUCCAUUUAUAUACUUAUCCACACUAAUGACCGGAGCAAUCUAGCGAAGAUCACAAAAAGCAACCGUUUUCGCUACCUAGGAUCUAUCUUGCAAGAGAACGGAGAAUUAGAUGGAGAUCUCAACCAUAGAAUACAAGCUGGAUGGAUGAAGUGUAAGAGUGCAUCCGGCGUGUUGUGCGACCGUCGUAGGCCACUGAAGCUCAAGGCAAAAUUUUAUAGGACGGCAAUAAGGCCAGCGAUGUUGUAUGGCACAGAAUGUUGGGCGGUGAAGCAUCAACACGUACACAAAAUAGGUGUAGCGGAGAUGAGGAUGCUUCGUGGGAUGUGUGGGCACACGAGAAAGGAUAAGAUUGGGAAUGAGGAUAUCCGAGGUAAAGUAGGAGUAGCCGAAAUUGAAGUAAAGAUGAGAGAAAAUCGGUUCCGGUGAUUUGGACAUGUGCAAAGAAGGCCUACUGACGCUCCGGUUCGAAGAUGUGACUACGGAACAGAGGUUCAGGGCCGAAGGGGUAGAGGAAGACCUAGGAAAACUUUGGAAGAGACUCUAAGAAAAUACUUAGAGUACUUGGAUCUAACGGAGAACAUAACACAAAACCGAGCGCAAUGGCGUUCUAGGAUUCAUAUAGCCGACCCCACUUAGUUGGAAAAUGCUUUGUUGUUGUUGUUGUUGUUGUAUAGAUAGUUGGCGCUUUGUAGUGGGCGGUAAGUUCUAGUUUUACCAUUAAAAAAUAUACACUGUCAAACUAGUGUGGGUUCUAUCAAUUUUUUUAGUAUUUUAUUUAUUUUUUCACUCUGUCUCCGUGCCAUGGUCUUGAUAUUAUCACUCCUUUAAUAUUUUAUUCAUAUUUUAUUCUACUUGAUUUAUGAUGGUGUGUUUUUUUGACCAAGGUUUAUAAUGGUGUUUGUUCUAUAAGUCGGCAUAUUUGCCAACCGCAAUCGAUACUGUCGUUCUCAAACACAAAGCAAUAGUUUGCUACCGAAAACAACCAAAGUGUGACAAAGGGAACCGUCUUACACCUAACCUGUUUUUCCCUCAUCAAAUGAGCGCGUUGAUCUGCAGGUAUUUUCUGCCAUCUCAAAACCUGUUACAAAGAAAUAUAACGUUGAUGUCGAGCUGGAUAGCAUAUUAUACCAAUUAUGUGUACAAACCUAUUGAAAUAAAGUAGCUGUAGUUGCAUAUUACGACAGAUAUUAACGAAAACAAAAGAAGGCUCGCCUAUUCAAGAUCCUAAAUCCCGUGAUUCUUUUGUUUUUAGUUUCAGAAAUUUUCAGAGCACAAACUGGAAAGUACCAAGAUACUUACAUAUUGGGCAUAAUGAAAUGCAUCUUCAUCUUUCAAGCAAGAUUUGAGUGAGCGCAAACCGUCCUGAGAGUUACAUAAGUCAAUCAGUAAUAUAAAAACGUAUACGCAUCACAUCCAAACACAAGUAUUCAAACACCAACAACUUCUUCAUGCGGUGAGGCAUGUUAAAAAAUAGGGAAGAACAGUUAUUGAAUAGGAAGUUAAAGGACUAAAUUUAUGACCUUGUGUUUGUAGUUCUUGGCUCGUAUGCGUUCAUCUAUUACAAAACCAAUCUGUAACAGGUACAACAGAAAAUAUAAGCAGUAGUCAGAACAUUAAUCUUCGGCAUUCACAUUGCCACCAAUCCAAAGUUAAAAGUCUGAAGGCAAAACAGUAUGAUUCUUAUCUCUCAAACAAAAAUGAAACUAUACCCCGGUCUCAGACAUAAAUGAAAUAAGUUCUACUGCCUCAACUGAGUACUGUGAUUAUAUAUAAAUCCAAUUCACCUUGUCAAGUAAUCUCUUAGGAUCUUGAAAUGCUUCCUUCUUAGCCCAGUCAUUAAAUACAUGCGAGAAAAUUGAUCUCUCAUCCACACUGAAUCUAUUGCACAGUGACAGAAGAAUAAAGUUAAACAUGAACAUAACCAACCAAAAAUGCUAGUUAUAAUAGUACACCCAUAAUUGCAAGCAAAACCUUUUUAAGAAGCCAUUUCCAUGGUUUUCCUCCCCAAAUUCCAUCAAUUCUGCAGAGGCAACGUCAAAUUUACUAUGAUGGAGAUCAUUUUGCACUGUAAUAACUUCAGAAGGUAGGAGAUUUGGUUUCAGAUCAUCUGUUGACGGAGUAGUUUCUUUUGAAGUGUCAUGAUGCUUUGAUUGCAAGCCUUCUGUACUUACGUCAGCCUACAAAACAAAAAUUGCAUUCAUCCACACUAGACUUAAUAAGAUUAGAAACACUUCAGAUUCUUCAUUAUUUGUAUUUUUGACUAAACAGCAGAACAACUGAGGAUAAUGAACAGUAAUACACACCUGGACUUCUCGUAGAUGAUUUGGAAUUUCUUUCAGAAAUCGCGAAGGUUGAAGCAUCUGAAGGAGUCACCUUCUCAGUCAGAGCAACAACAACAAAUAAGGAGGACAGGAAUUCAAGCUAAAACGAACCUGCCAACUGGAAUCCAUCGUAACAUAAAGAAUGAAAAGCUUUUUUCGAGCACGAGUCAUUGCAACAUAUAAUAGGCGUCUCUCCUCCUAUGAUUAGAGUGGGAUUAUUGAGUUAUUGAUCAAAAGAAAAAAGAGUGGGAUUAUUGUGAAAAACAUGUCAAAGCUCUGCAUAUAACUGAAAAAUGUUGAACAAUUUACCACACACCUCAAUGGAGGUCCCAUUUUCUUUUGCAACCCCAUUGAAUUCAUGCAACAACGGGAUCUCAGAUUCAUUUACCUGUGUUAUUGGCAUGAGCAUUAAAGCAAGCUAAGAUGAUUUGAAGAGGUUGAUAUCGUCAUGAAUAUAGUAGAACAGAGAAUACCAAUUUCAAGCCAUCAAUUAGGUAUAGCAUUGGCAUGUUUAAUCCGUAAAAUCUAAUGACAGAACACCUCAACUCUACACAUAAAUAAAUAAACAACCUGAAAAAUAUUACAGCCACAUGUUAAGGCAAAUACCUUAAUUAUGAAAACUAUAUCCCACUCUAAACCUUUUGACUGCAAGAGAAUGAAAAAGAAAGACAGUAAGCCAAGAAUGUUUUGUAGAACUCCAAAGGAAGUCCAAUAGGGAAAUCAUCGCAAGUAUAAGAGUUAGCGAGGUUCGCAUAAGAGGAUAUCAAAAAGAUCUAGAACCUGAUGAAUAGUAGUCAAAGUGACAGAACUUUGGUUGUCAUGUCUUCGGGAGUGAAAAUUUUCACUCUCCUGCUCAGAUAUGUAGUCGAUGAAAGCUUUGAGUAAAUUAACGCAGCCUUUUUCUUCUGCUACGACUUCUCUCUCUCCCCUUUUCCCGCAACAAAAUGAGUUGAUAAGAAAUCAGAUACGUCGUCUAGUAGGUACUGAAGAACCUGCAAUGAGAAUAAUCGCAUCACAGCAACAGGGUUGGACCAAGAUUUAAGUGACAACAAUGAUUAACUAACUAAAAUAGAGAAAUUAUUCAUUUAAGACCUUGUUGACGGAAAAAAGGGUUUUCCAAGCAGCGGGUCAUUUAAGCUUAUUGUAUAAAUGACAAUCAUCACAAACGGCAAACUUACAGAUCUCACGUCAUUGUCUUCAUUCAGCAGUUUUCCUCCAUCUACAUCAACGACUGCACGUUGCUCAAGACGGUACUUCUAAAAAUUGAAAGUCAACAACAACAACAACAACAACAAAGCCUUUUCCCACUAAGUGGGGUCGGCUAUAUGAAUCCUAGAACGCCAUUGCGCUCGGUUUUGUGUCAUGUCCUCCGUUAGAUCCAAGUACUCUAAGUCUUUUCUUAGAGUCUCUUCCAAAGUUGUCCUAGGUCUUCCUCUACCCCUUCGGCCCUGAACCUCUGUCCCGUAGUCACAUCUUCGAACCGGAGCGUUAGUCGGCCUUCUUUGCACAUGUUCAAAAUCACCGGAGCCGAUUUUCUCUCAUAUUUCCUACAAUUUCGGCUACUCCUACUUUACCUCGGAUAUCCUCAUUCCCAAUCUUAUCCUUUCUCGUGUGCCCACACAUCCCACGAAGCAUCCUCAUCUCCGCUACACCCAUUUUGUGUACGUGUUGAUGCUUCACCACCCAACAUUCUGUGCCAUACAACAUCGCUAGCCUUAUUGCCGUCCUAUAAAAUUUUCCCUUGAGCUUCAGUGGCCUACGACGGUCACACAACACGCCGGAUGCACUCUUUCCAUCCAGCUCGUAUUCUAUGGUUGAGAUCUCCAUCUAAUUCUCCGUUCUCUUGCAAGAUAGAUCCUAGGUAGCGAAAACGAUCGCUUUUUGUGAUCUUCGCUAGAUUGCUCCGGUCAUUAGUGUGGAUAAGUAUAUAAAUGGAUAGAGAUAGGAAAGCAAACACAAGAUGUACGUGGUUCACCCAGAUUGGCUACGUCCACGGAAUAGAAGAGUUCUCAUUAAUUGUGAAGGGUUUACACAAGUACAUAGGUUCAAGCUUUCAUUUAGUGAGUACAAGUGAAUGAUUUAGUACAAAUGACAUUAGGAAAUAUUGUGGGAGAAUGAUCUCGUAAUCACGAAACUUCUAAGUAUCGGAGUGUGGUGUCGUCUUGACUUGCCUUAUCUGUCUCAUAGGUAGAUGUGGCAUCUUCUCUGGAAGUACUCUUCCUCAAACGAUAAAUUAUUACGAAGCAUUGAAUAUAAGCAUGAAACGAAGAAAAUGUUAUGGAAUGGUGAUCCUCAUCCUCAAAGAUGAUUAAAAGCAAUUUGAUUCAAAAAUGACAUAUCAACUCUGGAGAAAUGGAAGACAAACCUGUGGUACCAUAUUCGCAACUGAGGUUAUGACAGCUGAAAUCGAUUGUUCCUGUGUGCAUUGAUAAGUGAGACUACCAUAGAGAUUCACAACUAAAUAAAGACAGGUAUUCCACAGAACAACCUUUACCUCUUUGGAAACACAGAUCUAACAAAAACUAUAACAUUUUGGAUUAAUAUUGACGAAUCAAGAAUAAUGCAAGGGAGCAAGAGAUACUCUUCCUUCUAAUAACAAGGAGGCGUGAAAAGUAUACAGAGUUCCAACAAUUAGAGAACUAAAAUCAAACUAAAAAAAUCACCAAAGUAGACAGAAUCUCACUUCGCCAAAAAUUUGAAAAUAUAUCCUUUUUAUCCAUUGAGAUUCAUGAACUACUACUACUACUACAUCAUGCCAAUAAGCAAUGCGUAAGAGGUGCUACAAUUUACCGAAUAUAUUUACCCUGAGAACAAGUUUUGAAAUCAUCUCUAGUGUUAACAGCACCUUGCGUCCUUGGGUAAGCUGAGUCCUAUUAUCAAGUAAAGAGACCAAUCAGUACAUAUCCAAAAGAUCUUAAAUGCUUGUAAUACCAAAUAAGAAAGAAACAUGAGUAUAUCUUGAAUUAACCAUGUAAAAAUGUAAUGUUAAAGCAUCUUGUCAUACAGACCUCUUCAAGGUACCAGAAAUUUUUGCACUAAAGAUGUCACAAGCAGCUGAUAUGAAGCUGCAUUUUCUGUGAGUUGAAAUUUUGUCAAUAUAAUCGAUCACCUGAAGAGAGAGAGAGAGAAAAAGACAGUGAUAUCCAGAGAUGUGAGCCUAAAUGCUGAGUGUGUAAAAAAAGAAGAUUAAAUGGAUAGCAAGAAUAUACAACUUUAAUGCUGAAAAGAACAUUGAAUAUGAUGCUCAUUCAUCAUUCCCAUUGAACGUGUACCUUCUUCUUUUCCUCUUUCUCAAAAGCAAGUAGAGCCUUGAAGACUUGCCUAUAUGAUCCAUCAUCACAACCAGGCAAAGUUGUUUUAAUCAUAGCAACAAUGGCUCUAACUACCUGCCAUAAGAAACAUGCUACAUCAACAAGAUCACAGAGUGUACCAGAAACCGUAAUGUAGCAAAAUCUUGGAUAAAAUAGCUGACCAAAAGGGAAUGGAAAAGCAAGCACGAAAAACAAUGAAAAGGACCAGUGAUGCCAAAAUUCUGGUGGAAAAGGUGAAAAGCUUCUGCCUAUUACAAUUUUUGUAUGCAUUCUUUAUAACUUAAGUUCUACUAGCAAAAACCACCUUAUGCAAAAUAAUAUUGGAAAAAUUAGAUACAUACAACUGAGAAGAUAGGUUUUCAUAAUCUGGACAAGUGCUAACUACCUUCUUCCUAUAAACUGCCACUCCAUGAACAUUAAAUGGUAUUUUCCUUUCACGCAAGGCUGUCUGGAAGACUUUUCCUGAUACCUGUAGCAUAAAAUACAAAAGAAAAUGUGACCAAAAUGUCUUAUAUGAUUCACCUCAUUCACAUUAGCACUAAGGCAAGUAAGCUUGACCUGCCUCCGGUAAAGGAUUGCUAUAUUUCCAUAGGAGCACCCUGCUUCUGACCGUUUCGAUGCAGUCUCCAGGAUCUUGUCGACAACAAAGGCGCAUUGUGCAUCCUCAUUGUGACUUUCCUUGAUAAUUACCUACAUUUUGCCAGUAAAACCAGUGUCACUAACUAAAAGGACUGAAAAAUGACAUCAAAUUGUACUUGUUGGAGCAAGGAAAGAUUAAGUACCUUAGACCCAGAAGAAUUGUCCGUGUCAACAUUCUUUAGUUGGCAUCGCUUCUUAUUGUUUUUUAUAACAGAAGAUGCAGCUUCCACAAUAUAGCGUGUGGACCUAAAGUUUUUAUUAAGCCUAAUCUGAACCAUAAAGUUAUGUCAAAUCCCACAGAAACCCAUAAAAUAAAACUUACUUUCCUGUAAUUGUACAAUAUAUUUGUUCUAUACUAUAUAUAAUGAAAAAAGACACUGUGAAUGACAUAAGAUAACAUAGCAGUCAAGUGCGAAGCGAACCUCUUUGUAAUUUGAAAAAUCUUUACGAAAAGAAUCAAAUCCAGAAAUGUCCGCCCCAUUGAAACUGAAAAUGGACUGCAGCAGGAUAUAUGUUAUUUGAUUUAGAACAGAUAAGGGCUGGAUUAGAAUGAGCUGAGAGAGAGAGAGAGAGAGGGAGAGAGGGAGAGAGGGAGCAAUAACAUUGGAUUUCCAUAAUAAAUCAACAACAUGCCUGAUCAUCAUCACCAACAAUGGUUAUGUGGUUAUGAGAGGCGAGAAUCCGCAAAAGACUAUAUUGCAUAGCACUUGUGUCUUGAAACUCGUCUAUUACAAUAGCUUUCCAUGACUCCUGGCACUCCUUCAACACUAAUUAAGAGAACACCAUGUAUCAACAUUUAGCAUUACUUGUAAAACUAGAUAAAUCAAUGAAAUAUACUUAGAUGAUAGAGACCUUCAGGAAAAUCACUUAGCAGCUUCACAGAGCAGCUAAUUAAGUCGUGGUAGUCCAAAGCGUUGCACGAUUUCAAGAUAUCAUUGUAAUUCCUAAGAAUUUCACCCUGAUUCAGAUUGAGAGCUAAAACUCAUAAGCAAUAGUUUCAAAGAACUGAAAUGAUAUCUGAAAUUCUAGUUCUGAGCGUACUCCUGUCACAUCACCCAUUCUUCGGCAUUCAGCGGGAGUCUUUCCAGAAGCUUUUGCCUGAAACAUAAAUAAAUUUACUGCCUAAUGCCACAUAUUGUAAGACACACCAUUGUAUUGGUCAUUCUAGCUUGAUUGUAGCUAAUAUUUUUUAAAUCGAAUGAUUAGAGUUCUUAAUCCACAAUAAUCUGAACAUUAAAUUUGGUAUUCAAGACUAACCUGUGUCACAAACUUCAGCCAUUUCUUUGAUGCAUCCUUAAAAUGAUGUGGAGAUGUUACGCCGUCAGACUCUUCCCCAUCUAUAGCAACAUUAAGAUUCGUUUUACUCUUUUCAUCUUCUGAUAACCGCACAGCUUCAAUGAUUGCUCUUCUCUGUUGCCCAUGUCCAUAUAUCAAAAAUUCUGGUCUGCGCUUGAGUCUAAAACACAAGCCAACAUAACAGACUCAGCUAUACCACCAAAUGUAUGGUGUUCAAAAUCAAGGGAGGUGAAUCAAUAGCUUACUUCUCAGCAUGUGAUCGGCAAAGUUGCAAUGAAAAUGAAUGAAAUGUACUGAUUGUUAGUAGUUUUGCCGUUGCUUUCCCAGUCACAGAUCCAAUUCGAUCUCUCAUCUCGGAAGCUGCUGCUGUAGUGAAAGUCAUUGCUAGAAUGUUCGACGUGCUAAUGCCCUAAGAACACAAAAAAAAAAAAAAAACGAAUAAGAUUUCGAUCAUAAACAAGAAAUGUAGAGAAACACACAAUUACGAAAGAAAAAGUUAGAGGGAAAGUAGCAACACCUCAUUGAGCAGCAUUAGAACGCGCCCAACUAUCGUUGAAGUCUUUCCACUUCCAGGGCCGGCAACAAUCAUCAAAGGUACUGAAAUAUAGCUGCAAGCUGCCUCACGCUGCCUUUCGUUGAGAGAAAGCAAAUACUUCAAAUACUCAUCCGGCAUGUUAGGCAAUCCAUGGUUAACAGAAUCUGUUUGGUUUUCACUACUCAAAGGCGGCGCUGAUGGCACUAACGUGUUAUGACCCAAAUUAUUACUGAGGUUUUAUGCUUUAUUACUGUGAGGAAUUGUUAAUAUACCAGCUGGCAUUUAAAAGUGUAGAGGUUUUAUAAAAGGAGCCCCAGCUCCCCCAAAUGUAUCAGAUCAGAAUUUUACAAAAGAAAUCAAUAUUGGAGCUCUGCUCCUUCUUCUCUCCUUCCCUCUUCUUCCAUAGCUUUCUUGUGCCACUUACAGGUUGAUUAAGGGAAUUGAGAAUUAGAUCUUAUCAAUGGUAUCAUCCUUCUCGAAUCCUGGUUUCCCUCCUGUGCACACCCACCCACCUACGUUUUCUGCCAUGGUUGCUGCGCCCAAGGAUUCGCUUCGCGAGACCCUGGAUGCUCUAUUCGCACCCUACCUGGCUAAGAUCCGCCGUGCCCGUGAGUUGGCUCUCAGCGCUGAGGGAGACUCCACUCCAACCCUUAUGUUCGCUAUCAGUGAUGGGGGAGUUCCUGAUCCAGCCCCGAUGAUUGCCGAUGACGCUGCAGGAAUCGAUCUCGGUCAGAAAAUAAUUCCACGAGUCGCUGCAUCAACUAAUCAGAUUCUGCCGUUGCUCUCGUCAUCGCCGUUAUUGCGAGCACUAGCAAAUCCUCCUGUCAGGCCACCGUCGAACUCAAACGCUUCAUUGGCAAAUUCGCCCAGCCAGCCGCUACACUCAAAUGAUAUUGUAGCAGCCACAAUUCCAUUGCGGAAUGUUGAGAAAACCAGGCCCGUUGCGAUUGUGACCACAAUGCCGCUAUUUCCGAUUUCAGCAACCUUUAGCACUGAAUCAGCCCACGCUCACAAUCACAACCUCGUUUUGAGCACCAAGGAAGCUACAACAAUGGCGCAUGUUCUGGGUUUUCCUCUCAAGAAAGCAGGAGCUACUAAAUCUGUAGGUAUAUCUCAUACAAACACCACGAAGCGUCGACACGAGGUAUUGACAUCCUUGCUUUCCAAUUCUACAAAUCGGAAGGACAAAUGGUAUUGGGUUUUGCAGGUUAUUUUGGCAUAUUAUACUGGUGUUAUUGUGAUAAUGUAUGACGACUUCUUAACUGAUAAAUGUGGAUGGGGUAAUUGGUACCUUGUGGGACAAUUUGUGUUACACGCGCCCCUAAUUUAAAUCGUAUUUUUACUAAAUUUGAGUUUAUCUUGCUUUUAAAAUUAUUUUUGGGUUUUAAAUGGUGUGCCCAAGGCCCACCCCCUGUUUUGUCCCCCGUUCCCUUUCCCUUUCUUUUAUUUAUUUUCUUCUUUCUUCUUCUUCUUCUUCUUCUUUUCUGUUUCUUUUUCUUUCUUUUCCGUCUGUCCCUCUCGGCUCUCUCUGCGCCCUCUCUUCUCUGCACCGCAACAAGCACACGCACGCACCCAUUGCACCUGCGCGAGGAAGACCAUCAUCAUCUCGUCCUGCUCUCUCUCCCUCUCGUGUUUGCGAACCCAGAAAAUCGGAAAGGAUCUUCCGCGAGAUUUUUAUAUUUUCCGGUUAGGUAAGCCUCAAAUCCCUCUCUUUCGUCCUAGAAUCUUUUGAGAAUGGGUUCUAAUUGGUUUUAUUUCGUGAUUUUUGGAGGUUUUAGGAUGAAAACAAACUCGGGUGCAGGAACACCCAUUUCCGGCGAGGAACCCGCCACUUUCGAGUUAAUCUCCGGCCAAACCACGGCGAGUUGGCCGGCGUGCAAGGUAUCAAUCUCUUCGUCUCGUCGAUUACUACAACUUUCCUUUUUGUUUCACCCAAUUUCGUUGAGUAUUGAAGAAGUUAUACUCAUUUGAAUCUUACCCAGUUUCCGGCGAGUCCGACGGCUUUCGAGGCGUUUUCCGGUCAAACCACGGCGAAUUAGACGUCGUGUGAGGUACCAUUCUCUUCGUCUCUUCGAGGGCUACAACUUUCGUUUUUGUCUCGCUUGAUUUCGUUGAGUUUUAACAAAGUUAUAGCCAUUUAAAAUUGGGUGGUUUUCCGGCCGAAAUUCCAGCCUUCUUCUUCCUCGGGUCCGGCGACCCAUCAAACUUGGGCCCUUUGGGCCGUUUCUGUUAAGGGCUUUAAGCCCAAACCCUAAACCUUUGGGCUUUAGGACCAAACCCAAGAACCCAAACCCUAUGACCCAAACCCGGAUCCAAGCCCAGACCCGUUUGACCUGGUCCGACCCGGAUCCUGACCCGUUGACUUUGACCGGUCAACGUUGACUUUUCUAGUUGACUUUUCGGGUUUUCGUCCAAGACCUUCCUAGGCUAAUUUCGACGUCCUGGAUCCGUUUUUGAAGUUCGUUUUCCCAAAUUCAAUCGUUUGAGUAGAGUUUGACUAAAUGGAUCAUUUAUGUGCUUAGGUGAAUUUAAUGACGGCGGUUCCGUUAUUCCUAUUUGGUAUGGCGUUGCACCAACGGUGUACGGUGAGUGGACCCCUUCUAAAAUGCAUGUUUUAUAGUAGAAAUGCAUACAUAAAAAGUAUGAUUUGAUGAUUACCUUUUAUGAAACGUUUUGUGAGAUAACAUGCUUAUUGAGGCUACUUUAAAUUAUUACUAUUUUUCCUAUAACCCGUGUUCUUAUAGAAUAUCUGAUGGAUGACGAUAUGAUAUUAGAACAUGUUUAGAACACCUCUUUAUAGUAUAGAUGAUGGAUGACUUUAUACUAUGAAGUUGUUUUUCAAUAUAUAUGUUCAAUGGUUUUGUACUUACCUAGUGGUCAUUUCCGCUACGGGACGUAGGGAUAGAUUCCGGUCAUUCCCGGGCGACGGUUUGGUGUUGGCAUAGGGCCUGGAGUGUGUUUCCUCUGGCUAUUUAGCACAGGGACGGGGAGCCGGCAUGGGGCCUGAAGUGUAUUUUCCUCUGACUGUCUGCUCAGAGACGGGGAGCCGGCAUGGGGCCUGGGGGUUAUCGGACAAUUCACUAGUGAUUAUUAUAUAUAUAAAAGUUAUGAUUUGAGACACUGCACAUCAUGCUAGGUUUCGGAAAACCUAUGUUUAUCAUUAUAUAUGUGUUUUCAUAAAACUUGGGGGUUAGUACGUUGAUAACUGUUUUGUUAUAUUUAUAUCAAAUUGGUCCACUCAUGUUUGUUUUGCGCCCCCUUCAGGAUUUAGGAUCGAGGCGUACAAUCCCGGCAAUCCAGGCACUUCCGCAUCGGUAUCUUCAAGUCCUCUCGGUGUAGAACCCACUUCUGUGUUCAUUCAAUUUUUAUAUUAAUUCUUUUAAUGUUCUAGAUUAGAUGUGUGCUCUGAACACGUUCCUUAAAUGCAUAUUCUUUAUUUAUAUUUAUAAGUUUUAUCUAUCCUUUAUUUUCAGCAAUUGCACUCAAUAAAUGGCUUUCGUCGCCCUCGGGUGUCGGCCAGCACGUGACCAUCCUGAUAUCCUGAGGAUAUCGGGAUCGGGGCGUGUCAGAUUGGUAUCAGAGCGUGGUUUGUUCAGAGCAUACUUAGGAUCCUCUUCUAUUAUCGUAGAGUGUUGGUUUUGACAUCAUUUGGAUGUCCAGACUUCUAGAUUUGGUGCCAUUCGGCGCAGUCGUGCGAAUCUUCCUCUAUUUGAAUUGUCACAUUCGGGUUGAUAUACAAGAAUUUGUGUCGGGAUUGUGCCUCAUCGGUGACGUGUUUGAAUUGUUGGACGACUUUCAGCUUCAGAUUGAUACUCUACGACGUGCAUUCCCUGGGAAUGACGGGCAUAGUCGGUGUUACUUGGAAGCGACGGAUUUUAGAAAUCUCAGCUUAAGGAAGUCUGGUCAAGACCAGCUGUAAAUUCGAAAUGGCGAUGCCACUCUACAACAUGCGUUCCCUAGGAAUUGCGGGCGGAGUCGGCUUUGCAUCGAAAUCUUGGGAAGCGGAAAAAAAAUCUUGGCAGUACGAAUUGACUAAGACCAACUGGAGUUCUGAAGCGGUGUUGUACUCUGCAACAUGCGUUCCUUAGGAAUGGCGGGCAGAGUCGUAUCUCUUUAGAAAUUACUCGAAACUUUCGAAAUGCAGAUUGAAGAAGCGAGUAAGUGCUAGUGGUGACGACGGUUAGUAGGUGGUAGUUGGUGGGAGCAAAAUCAAUGUUCUCGAACUCAUUACCACUGAAGAAAUUUGGGUGAAUCUUUAUAACAGUUCUCUGUGAUUGUUUUAUCGAUUACCUUCUCGUUUAUUCCAACGACGAAGUCAAGUUCACUGACCUUUGAUCGUCAGCUUCACAUCAAAUCCCUCGAGAGUUGACUUCGUCUAGAGAUUAUACUUUUCUUGGGAAACUCCUCGGUAGCAGACGUUAUUCUCAUCAAUUUCGAAAUGGAGUUGCGAUUCUUGUUGUUGUUGUAGUUGAACUUGGAUAAUGAAGAUUCAGCCUUGUUUGGAUAAACAAAUUCCUUGAACUUCACCUGGGUUUGGUACUUGGUAGUAAACCCUAGUUCCUCAUCCGUGUACUUUUCAGUGAAGGUGAACUUAGUCCCUUGCUUGCAACCUAACUGUUCAGCCUUGUAAUUUUCAGCGUAAUGGCUUGAGACUCUAUCAUAUUCAUCAUUGUACGAAGAUCGAGCUUUACUCUGAACUUCUCUGGGCUCGUUAAGCUUUGAUUUGCUCAGAGGCAUCACUUUAAGGUAGCCAAUCGUGUCACUGCAUGCAUACACAAGCUGCUUUGUAUCUUUCUUCUUCGUUAUUCUGCUGAUUCAGAGGUUUUAUGUUUAAUUUCUGAAUUUUUAAAUGACUAUCGCGAAGUACCGUGAAUCUCGAAAUGUCUUUGGCCUCGUCAAAUCUUAUUAAUAGUUCUUGACUAUUCUUGAGAUUAGACUUGUUCCUUUUGGCUAAGAAACCAGUCGACCUUAUUGUGAUGAGUAGCCAAAUAAUCAUAAACAGUAACUUCUAUUUCUGCAUCUUCAUUUUCCUUCGUUUGUUUGUUUGUUUCUCAAUGUGAACUGGAUCAUGCCGGGACAUUACACGAAGGGUGUAAAAAAAAAAAAAAAAAAAAACGUUUGUUCUCGGCGUGGUUUCUAGUUCAAAUCCGGAUAUCUUGUACUCUAUAUUUAAUGGACUUGUUUUGAACCUUAAAUUCCUGAGUGUUCUUUUAGCCUUAUCGACAUGGUUUCUCUCUCAAUUAGUGAGAAAUUCAUGAUCGAUGGUUUCGGCGGAAGUGUGCGCCCAAUUCUUAUCGAUUUGGACAGGAAUGUUGGGAGCAUAAUCUUUUCACAAGCUUACUAGACUUACCAGAAAGAGUUCCACGUGGGUGUGAAGUUUGAGUUGUCUUUUGGUAAGAGACUGGUGAAGAUUGUGGUGCAGAUGAUUAGCAGAUUGUAUCACUAUCUUCACGCUGAAUUGAAUGGUCACCAUUCAUUAUCCUGCUGCAAUUCAUAAUCAUCAUAUCUUACUCUGGUAGACAUUUUUGAUGAUGUGUUCGCCUCAACGCAGCUUUCCACUACCUCUCACCAGGAUCCUUCGGUUCGAGAGCACGUGGGCGUGAGGUUGAGCGGUCUUUUAGUAAGAGUUGGUUGAAGGUUUUAGUUCAGAAGGUCAGCAUAUUGUAUCACCAUCUUACUAGAAUUCAUAGGCAUCACAUCGGUUAUUUUCCAACGAUAUGUGUUCGUGUCAAUGCAUACUUCGACUGCUUCACUUCUGAACCUUAUUCUUGUGAGUAUGUGGAUGUUGAAUCACUUAUAGCAGAUUUGUUUGGUGCACUCUGGAAUGGCACCACAACGUAGUUGAGAUAAGAAUCGGAAGAUCUUUGCACUUUUUGCGAAUGGUGUGUGCUCUCAUGGGGUGUUUAGGUUGAUUGCAUGAGAGUCAUUCUUUCCUCCAACAUUGAUCUUGUUUGACUAGAAAUCUGCAACUAAGCAAAAAUGGAGAGGUGGAUUGAGCACUACAACAGUUCCCAAGAGAUACUGCGUGUUGAGGAAGAUGACUUCUCGUUUUCUGCUUACCUAGUUCGAGCUUUUGGGUCUACUACUAACAUGGUGGCCACUUCUCUUGAAUCCCAAAGUACAGUUUCAAAUGGGUUCUUUGUUGGCAUAACUCUGGAGUAGUUGGUCACAUUUGGAAUAACUGAGGAAGAGGUUGUGCUUGGUACUAAAGGGAGUUAGUAUGACGAUAGUUAUUGGUUUUGUUCGAUUUGGGUAUGGCACUAUUUGCGACAUGGUACGAGAGUUGCUACACGCAACAUUGGUUGAUAGAGGAGACGUGCAAGCUUGUACUUGGAGGAUCGAAUUUUCGACGUGUGAAAUUGUGCACCCUCAGGAAAUUACUGCUUGUUUACUGAGACAACAAAUGUGUGGUCGAUAUCGCGGGCGGCCGACUGUGGUAUCGAUAAUUUAUUUGUUGGGUUCGUUAAGCAAGUGGGGCAGGAAUAUCCUUUUACGGCAGCCGUUAAAGAUUCACUAUUGUUAGAACUGGACCCAAAGACACAUCUAUUUUCGGAGUACGCGACGUUUCGAAUUCUUGGGCAAGACCCACUCUCAUUCUUCAGUUUUGGUUUUCAGUAUAAGUAUUUUAACCUCAUUUACUCUAGUUAAUUGUUUUGCCAUUACAAAUGUUUUUGGAAAAGUAUUUCCGUUUUCAGUUUUUAAGUGUAGCUCGAAUUUUCAACCUAUAUGUUGGUACAUAUCCAUUUUGACGUUAUCGUAUGUUAUGUUCUUACUUUUGACCUUAAUCUAUUUUAUGUUUUCGACUUUAUAUCUUUAUAAAGUAUGUUUUCUACUUUUACACUGAUGGGGAAGAAAGUAAGCUUGGAGGCAUGAUAGAGGAUUUUGCAACCCGCUCGCGACGGUGUGGUAUAUUCUCUUUGAUGCACCCACUCUGACUUGAUUUCUCUUUAUACAUAUAUUCUUCUUACUAUUUUCGUGUAUUUCAGUUUAGUAGGUGAUUUUAAAUUUCGGGGACGAAAUUCUUUUUAAGGGGGGUAGAUUGUUACACCCGCCCCUAAUUUAAAUCGUAUUUUCACUAAGUUUGAGUUUAUCUUGCUUUUAAAAUUGUUUUUGGGUCUUAAAUGGUGUGCCCAAGGGGCCCCACCCCCUGUUUUGUCCCCCGUUCCCUUUCCCUUUCUUUUAUUUAUUUUCUUCUUUCUUCUUCUUCUUCUUCUUCUUUUCUGUUUCUUUUUCUUUCUUUUCCGUCUGUCCCUCUCGGCUCUCUCUGCGCCCUCUCUUCUUUGCACCGCAACAAGCACACGCACGCACCCAUUGCACCUGCGCGAGGAAGACCAUCAUCAUCUCGUCCUGCUCUCUCUCCCUCUCGUGUUUGCGAACCCAGAAAAUCGGAAAGGAUCUCCCGCGAGAUUUUUAUAUUUUCCGGUUAGGUAAGCCUUAAAUCCCUCUCUUUCGUCCUAGAAUCUUUGAGAAUGGGUUCUAAUUGGUUUUAUUUCGUGAUUUUUGGAGGUUUUAGGAUGAAAACAAACUCGGGUGCAUGAACACCCAUUUCCGGCGAGGAACCCGCCACUUUCGAGUUAAUCUCCGGCCAAACCACGGCGAGUUGGCCGGCGUGCAAGGUAUCAAUCUCUUCGUCUCGUCGAUUACUACAACUUUCCUUUUUGUUUCACCCAAUUUCGUUGAGUAUUGAAGAAGUUAUACUCAUUUGAAUCUUACCCAGUUUCCGGCGAGUCCGACGGCUUUCGAGGCUUUUUCCGGUCAAACCACGGCGAAUUAGACGUCGUGUGAGGUACCAUUCUCUUCGUCUCUUCGAGGGCUACAACUUUCGUUUUUGUCUCGCUUGAUUUCGUUGAGUUUUGACAAAGUUAUAGCCAUUUAAAAUUGGGUGGUUUUCCGGCCGAAAUUCCGGCCUUCUUCUUCCUCGGGUCCGGCAACCCAUCAAACUUGGGCCCUUUGGGCCGUUUCUGUUAAGGGCUUUAAGCCCAAACCCUAAACCUUUGGGCUUUAGGACCAAACCCAAGAACCCAAACCCUAUGACCCAAACCCGGAUCCAAGCCCAGACCUGUUUGACCUGGUUCGACCCGGAUCCUGACCCGUUGACUUUGACCGGUCAACGUUGACUUUUCUAGUUGACUUUUCGGGUUUUCGUCCAAGACCUUCCUAGGCUAAUUUCGACGUCCUGGAUCCGUUUUUGAAGUUCGUUUUCCCAAAUUCAAUCGUUUGAGUAGAGUUUGACUAAAUGGAUCAUUUAUGUGCUUAGGUGAAUUUAAUGACGGCGGUUCCGUUAUUCCUAUUUGGUAUGGCGUUGCACCAACGGUGUACGGUGAGUGGACCCCUUCUAAAAUGCAUGUUUUAUAGUAGAAAUGCAUACAUAAAAAGUAUGAUUUGAUGAUUACCUUUUAUGAAACGUUUUGUGAGAUAACAUGCUUAUUGAGGCUACUUUAAAUUAUUACUAUUUUUCCUAUAACCCGUGUUCUUAUAGAAUAUCUGAUGGAUGACGAUAUGAUAUUAGAACAUGUUUAGAAUGUCACAGCCCGUCCCGGGAUUUCUAUAUCGGGGGCGUGAAUUGACGUAACUACCCUUGACGGACAUUCGGGUACGUGUGUGUGCGACAUUAUUGAAUUAAUUUUGUAAGUUUUGGGAUUUUAAUUUUGGAAUUUGGAAAUUUUUGUGGUUAGGGAAUUGGAUGGAUGGUGAGGAUUGUGUUGGACCACACAAUCACACACACACGCACUCCCUGUCUUCUCUCCCUCCCGUAGCUCUCUCUGUCCCUCUCCCUCACGAUCUCUCUCUUUCCCCUCACCCUAUACGUACGGCCUUCACCCAAAACCCUUCAAAACUCGACGGAUCGAGGCAAAUAAGGUAUGCAUCUUCAUCCUUUCGUCGUCCUGAGUUCAUUGGUGCUAGUUUUAGGAAGUGAAACCUUCGAUUUCACAUAGAUCCCGAACCUCCAUUUUUGAGGUACUGUUCAUGCGAACGUAAAAUGUUGUGUUUCAGGAGAUUUCAAGCUUGUGGUGAGCUUUAGGAGGUUCCUAAGGAAGCUCGGGGACGUUCGUUGGAGAGUUUUGGACGUCGGGAUCGUAGGUUUCAAGUUUGGCCGAAUCUUUGGUUUUUCCAAGGUGAGAUUUCGUAGUUUUUAGGCCCUAAAACAAGUCCAACGUGAUUGUACACUCUUAGGGCUUCAAUUUGGUAUAAAAUACGAAGAAAAUGGGUGAAAAACGAAGGAGAAUAGUGAGUUUGAAAAUCGGCCGGAGUUCGGCCGGAGUCCGGCCACCAGAGAACCAGUCCGGCGAGACCUGCGAAGAAGACGACACGUGCGCUGCACGUGCUGCGCGUGGCCAGCGCGUGGACCCGUGCCACGUGUGGCGCGUGGGGGCGCGUGGGGCUUCCAAAAAUUUUUCUAAAAAUUUCUCGACGCUCGUGACGUCGAGUAGGUCGAUGUGGUAUAUUAUUAUACCAAAAUUGAGCAUCGUAUGAGAAGUUAUUUCAAAUUAUUGGUGAUGUGCUUAAAAUUAAUGUUUUUAUAGUUGUUUCGCAUAUAGGUGAGACGUAUCCCGAGGACGACCGCAUCCAGGGACGCCACGGGGGUUACGACGACCCGUCGACUUAUCAGUGAGUGGGCAGUUUUGUUUUCGUAUUACCUAUAUACUACUGUUUUUCCCAGAAAAAUGUUUAUAUGAAAAUAUGUUUUGAAUAUGCCAUGCAUAGAAUUAUUUGAAAAUCAUGAAUUGGUUUAUGAACUAUAUGAUUGAAAUAUGAUGCAUACAUGUUGCAUGGUGCUGUGGAGGCACAGGUAAGUCAGGUGAGUUCAUUUAUUCAUUGAAUUGUUGUUGUUGAGAUGAGUUGAGCUCAUAAUCUGCACCCUAGGUGUUAGUGCUUAUAUUAUUCACCACACCGCACGCUCGUCUUGGAUCCAAGUAGGUGGAUGUCGUACAGACCAUGUGAGGGUUCCGACAUGCUAGUCGUACAGAUCACUAGGCGUGAUUCCGACUAGUGGGUGACCUUAGUUAUGCGCGCUGAUGAUAUGAUGAGAGAAGCACUAGAGCGUAUUUUUACACCUUUCAUCGUAUAGACUACCUUACGUAGUUCCGAGUGAUGUGCAGAGUAGGGCCGUAUAGGUCACUGUGGUGACUCCGGCUUAGUGGGAUUUUUGAGCUAUUGAAUUAAUCGUAUAGGACCAACUGCAGGGUCUCCGAUUGAUUCCUUAUUUCACCUGAUUUAUAUUUUUUAUUUAUGUCAUGGCAUGUUUUCUUGAAAAUGUUAAAGAUUUGAGAUUUAAAUGUUGAGAUUUUAUAUGGUUAUAUAUAUUUCUGGGAAAGUAUACAGGUUUUUACGGCGAGGGGAUAUAACUGUUUUAAUGAAAUGUUUUGGAAAACUAAUUUGUUUUACUGACCCACUCAUUUUGUUUUGCGCCCCUCCAGGUUCUAGUUUAGCGGUGGUUGGCUCACGAGGUCCUUUCCGGCUUUCUGACAGAUUUGGGACAUGUAGGACUCACCUGAGGGUGAUGUAUUCUUAUUUUAGUCCUACUUGACUGCAGUUAACCUAUGCUCUGAACUUAUGUGUUUACUUGUAAACUCGUCCGGUUAUGUCCGUAUGUGGUUAUGUUGAGUUUGGGUUGAAUUUCUGUUGUUAUUACGCUUCCGUGUCGUGCUUAUGGUUACGUCACGCCCACGUGACGGCCAGCACACCUGGAUCCUCCGGAUCAGGGUGUGUCAGUUUGGUAUCAGAGCUUAGGUUGCAGUCCUGUAAAAUUGUUAAUGUCUUAACGAUCUUUUUGAUGUUUUCUGUCAGAAUCAUGCCGCCUCGUAGAGAGCGUAGGGAGUCCCGCCGUACUCCUGAACCUAAUUUCCCAGAUAUUACUCAGUUAGGGGAAGCGAUGGCCCAGGCUUUACAGAAUGUGAUUCGUCCUCCCCCUCCUCCGAGGACACCUCUGGAGACCAUGUACAACUUGAAGUUAGAUCGGUUUAUGGGUAAUGAAAGUCAUGAGGGGGCAGAGAAAUGGCUUGAUCAUAUUGAGAAAACCUUUCAGGUGAUGCAGAGUCAGGGGAAUCUCCCUGCUAAUAGGUGGGUGGAGACCACCACUUGGUUUCUGGGUUGUGAACCAGCAGCAUGGUGGAUAAAUCAGGCUAGGUACAUGUCACCUGAGACGGCAGCCGACUGGAAAGUAUUCAAGGAGCAUUUUAUGAAGAGAUUUCGUUCCUCCUGAGUAUAUUGACCGUAAGAAGCAGGAAUUCACCAGGUUGAAACAGAGAAAUAUGUCGGCACAUGAAUAUUAUAGAAAGUUUACUGAUUUGUCUCGUUAUGACACUGAUAUAGCUGGUAAUCAGGGAGAGAUGCUUCGACGUUUCAAGUUGGGAUCUAAGAAGAAGUGGCGUACCUUUGCCAAUGCACUUCCCUGCGCUGAUUAUCAUGAGUAUUUCGAGAUUUUGGUUAGGAUGGAGGACUCUGAUAAUCUUCCUGACAGUGAGGAUGACGAGGACAAGAAUGAGGGUCAGAAGAAGAAUGAUAAGGGUAAGGGUAUUUCUAUUCCUGGACCUCGACAGACACAGAGUUUUUAAGAAGAGUGGAGCGAGUUCGAGUUCUUCUAGUGGGGGAUAUAGUUUUACUGGCCCGAGGAGAGGUGGUGGAAGAUUUUCUGGUGGACCCAGAUUUCAGGGUCAGAGGGAUGCUGGUGGAUCUGGCGCUCCAUGGUGCCGCCGUUGUAACUCCCGUCACCAUGGUGAGUGUAGGAGAGGUUCUGGUGCCUUGUUUUUACGUGUGGGACAGAUGGGACAUCGGGCUUCUCAGUGCCCCCAGGGUCAGCAGAGACCGCAGCAGACUAAUAUGCCACCUCCAGCACCAGUUCAGCAGAGUUUUGGGACCGGGUGGUUAUGGCCAGCCGAGUCGUGGUGGUGCCUACCACUAUCAGGGGGAUGCUGCUCCGUAUGCUUCCGGACCUUAUCAGUAUUCUCAGGAGCCUUAUCCUCAGGCAGGGUAUUCUCAGGAUUUUGGAGGUUAUUCUUCUUAUUCCUCUAUGCCAGCUGGUGGAUCGCAGUGGCAUCAGGGAGGCCAGCCCCGUCAGGGGGAAGUUGCUACUGGUGGUGCAGGAUCAUCCAGGCAGCCUAGUCAGCCAGGCCAGGGACGAGGUAAUCAGGGCAAUAGAGGCCGAGGUGGACGUCAGCAAGCUCAGGGGCGAGUUAAUCAUAUUGUCCCUGCAGGAGGCUCAGAACCAUCCAGACUUGAUAAUGGGUACGUUAAAUGUUCUUGGUCAUUUUGCUAAGGUUUUGAUUGAUUGUGGCGCUACGCACUCUGUGAUUUCUCAUACGUUUGCUCAAAUAACCCAACCUCACCCUUCACCUCUAGGAUUUGAUUUAGAGUUUGCCAUGCCUAGAGGAGAUAAAUGUAUUGUGGAUAGUGUGUAUCUGGGGUGUCCAGUGAUGGUUGAGGGCGUGAUUAUGUCCGCUGAUCUUAUUCCGUUAGAUAUUGUGGAUUUUGAUGUGAUUUUAGGGGCCGAUUGGUUACACCAUAAUCGUGCCCAUAUUGAUUGUUAUGGUAAAUCAGUUACUUUUUAUCGUCCUGGAUUACCCGAGGUUAUUUUUGUGGGCGAGAGAAGUGGGGUGAGACAUGGAGUUAUUUCUGCCAUAAGGGCGAGGAAAUUAUUAUCGAAGGGUUGUCAGGGAUAUUUGGCACAUGUGGUAUUAAAUGAUGUUGCUCCUACUAGUAUAGAAGAAGUUGGUGUGGUCAGACAUUAUCCGGAUGUUUUCCCUGAUGAUUUGCCGGGAUUGCCGCCAGACAGAGAGGUGGAAUUCUCUAUUGAUUUGCUUCCAGGUACGGACCCUAUAUCUCUGACUCCUUAUAGAAUGGCUCCUGCUGAGUUAAGGGAAUUAAAAAUCCAGUUGCAAGAAUUACUUGAUAAAGGUUUUAUUCAACCUAGUUCUUCACCUUGGGGUGCCCCAGUAUUAUUUGUGAAGAAGAAGGAUGGAACUCUUUCGAUUGUGUAUUGAUUAUAGACAAUUGAACCGGGUAACGAUUAAAAACCGUUAUCCAUUGCCCCGCAUUGAUGAUUUGUUUGAUCAGCUGAAAGGUGCGUGUGUAUUUUCUAAGAUUGAUUUGAGAUCCGGGUAUUAUCAAUUGAAGAUUAAAGAAGACGAUGUACCUAAGACGGCUUUCCGAACUCGGUACGGACAUUAUGAAUUUUCGGUUAUGCCGUUUGGGUUGACUAAUGCACCUGCAGCUUUUAUGAGAUUAAUGAAUGAGGUAUUCCAGAAAUAUCUUGAUAAAUUUGUUAUUGUUUUUAUUGAUGAUAUUCUGGUAUACUCUAAGUCCCAAGCAGAUCAUAUCCGACACCUUAAUUUGGUGUUAAGGAAAUUAAGGGAGCAUCAGUUGUAUGCCAAGUUCAGUAAAUGUCAGUUUUGGUUGACUGAAGUGGCAUUUUUGGGGCAUGUUGUAUCAGCUCAAGGUAUUCAAGUUGAUCCUCAAAAGAUUGCAGCAGUGGAGAAUUGGGAGCAACCUCGAACCGUCACGGAGGUACGAAGUUUUCUUGGCUUAGCAGGUUAUUAUCGACGGUUCGUUCAGGAUUUCUCUAUGAUUGCUUUACCGUUGACAAAGUUGACCAGGAAGGAUGUUAAAUUUGAGUGGGAUGAGAAUUGUGAGCGGAGUUUUCAACAAUUGAAGUAUUGCCUCACUCAUGCACCGGUGUUGGUACUUCCCGACGAUAGCGGUAAUUUUGAGAUAUAUAGUGAUGCUUCAUUAAAUGGUUUGGGAUGUGUUUUGAUGCAGCAUAAUAAGGUGAUUGCCUAUGCUUCUAGGCAGUUGAAAAAAUCAUGAAAGGAACUAUCCUACUCACGAUCUUGAAUUGGCAGCAAUUGUUUUUGCUUUGAAAAUUUGGAGGACAUUACUUUGUAUGGUGAGAAGUGUAAGAUCUUCACUGAUCACAAGAGUCUUCAGUAUUUGUUUACUCAGCAUGAUCUUAAUCUUCGUCAGCGAAGGUGGAUGGAAUUGUUAAGUGAUUAUGAUUGUUCUAUUGAAUACCAUCCAGGUCGUGCUAAUGUAGUAGCGGAUGCACUGAGUAGGAAACCUCAAGGUAGACUUAAUGCCCUUAUAUGCUAGUCGUGUUCCUCUUCUUGCUGAAUCUGAGGACAACUGGGGUAAGGUUGGAAAUUGAAAGACCGAGGAUGGAGCUUUUCUUGCUAGUUUUCAAGUCAGGCCAGUUUUGGUGGAGCGUAUACUUGCAGCUCAGAUGGUGAAUGAGGAAAGUUCAAGGAGUUGGUUCAGUUAAGAAGUGAAGGGAAAAAGAAAGACCUCAGAAUUCGGGAAUCAGACGGUAUGCUCAUGCAAGAAGACAGAAUGUAUGUUCCGAAUAAUGAGGAAUUGAAGAAGGAAAUUCUGGACGAAGCACAUUGUUCAGCUUAUGCGAUGCAUCCGGGAGGAACAAAAAUGUAUAUCAUACCAUUCGACCAUUUUAUUAUUGGCCGGGUAUGAAAAGAGAAAUUGCAGAAUAUGUGAGCAGGUGUAUUAUUUGCCAGCAAGUGAAAGCAGAAAGAAAGAAGCCAUUUGGGCGAAUGCAACCCCUUCCUGUUCCCCAGUGGAAAUGGGAAAAUAUAACCAAUGGAUUUCGUGUAUAAACUUCCUCGUACGCGAAAUGGAUUUGAUGGUAUUUGGGUGAUUGUGGAUCGACUCACCAAGUCGGCGCAUUUCAUUCCUGUGAGGGAGAAAUACCCUCUGAAUAAAUUGGCUAAGUUGUUUAUUUCGAAGAUUGUCAAGUAUCAUGGAGUCCCAGUAAAUAUUAUCUCCGAUCGAGACCCGAGGUUUACUUCUAAAUUUUGGGUGGCUUUUCAGGAAGCUCUGGGUACUCAAUUACUGUAUAGCACAGCUUAUCAUCCUCAAACUGAUGGGCAAUCAGAGAGGACCAUUCAGACGUUGGAAGGAUAUGUUGAGAUCUUCAGUACUGCAAUUUGGUGAUUCUUGGCAUGAUCGUCUGGACUUAAUGGAGUUUGCUUAUAAUAACAGUUUUUCACUCGAGCAUUGGUAUGUCCCCAUUCGAGGCACUUUAUGGUAGGGCGUGUCGAACGCCAUUAUGUUGGUCUGAGGUUGGUGAACGGGUAUUAGAAGGCCCUGAGAUCGUGGAUGAGACGACUCAAAAUGUUCAGAUAAUUAAGUCAAACCUGAAAGCAGCCCAGGAUCGACAGAAGAGUUUAGCGGAUCGGCAUACUACUGAUCGAGUGUAUGAUGUGGGUGAUUGGGUAUUUUUGAAAUUGUCGCCUUGGAGAGGUGUAGUACGAUUUGGGAAAAGAGGAAAGUUAAGCCCGAGAUAUAUUGGACCUUAUGUGAUCACUGAAAGAGUUGGUGAAGUUGCCUAUCGGUUGGAACUGCCUCCGGAGUUAUCUAAGGUCCAUAAUGUGUUCCACGUCUCUAUGCUUCGGCAUUAUAUUUCUGAUCCUUCUCAUGUGAUCCCUCCUCAACCGUUAGAGAUUAAUCCGGAAUUUGACGUAUGAUGAGGAACCGGUCACUAUCUUGGAUUGGAAAGAUAAGGUUCUAAGGAACAAGACGGUGAGUUUGGUAAAGGUGUUGUGGAUGAACCAUUCUGCAGAGGAAGCCACCUGGGAGACGGAAGAUCGGAUGAGAGAGAUGUACCCAAGGUUAUUUUAUGGGUACUAAGUGGUUAAUUUGGAUUGUGGGAAUUUCGGGGACGAAAUUCUAUAAGGAGGGGAGAUUGUCACAGCCCGUCCCCGGGAUUUCUAUAUCGGGAAUGUGAAUUGACAGUAACUACCCUUGAUUGGACAUUCGGGUACGUGUGUGUGCGACAUUAAAUUGAAAUUUUGUAAGUUUUGGGAUUUUAAUUUUGGAAUUUGGAAAUUUUUUGUGGUUAGGGAAUUGGAUGGAUGGUGAGGAUUGUGUUGGACCACACAAUCACACACACACGCACUCCCUGUCUUCUCUCCCUCCCGUAGCUCUCUCUGUCCCUCUCCCUCACGAUCUCUCUCUUUCACCCUCACCCUAUACGUACGGCCUUCACCCAAAACCCUUCAAAACUCGACGGAUCGAGGGGCAAAUAAGGUAUGCAUCUUCAUCCUUUCGUCGUCCUGAGUUCAUUGGUGCUAGUUUUAGGAAGUGAAACCUUCGAUUUCACAUAGAUCCCGAACCUCCAUUUUUGAGGUACUGUUCAUGCGAACGUAAAAUGUUGUGUUUCAGGAGAUUUCAAGCUUGUGGUGAGCUUUAGGAGGUUCUAAGGAAGCUCGGGGACGUUCGUUGGAGAGUUUUGGACGUCGGGAUCGUAGGUUUCAAGUUUGGCCGAAUCUUUGGUUUUUCCAAGGUGAGAUUUCGUAGUUUUUAGGCCCUAAAACAAGUCCAACGUGAUUGUACACUCUUAGGGCUUCAAUUUGGUAUAAAAUACGAAGAAAAUGGGUGAAAAAACGAAGGAGAAUAGUGAGUUUGAAAAUCGGCCGGAGUUCGGCCGGAGUCCGGCCACCGGAGAACCAGUCCGGCGAGGACCUGCGAAGAAGACGACACGUGCGCUGCACGUGCUGCGCGUGGCCAGCGCGUGGACCCGUGCCACGUGUGGCGCGUGGGGGCGCGUGGGGCUUCCAAAAAAUUUUUCUAAAAAUUUCUCGACGCUCGUGACGUCGAGUAGGUCGAUGUGGUAUAUUAUUAUACCAAAAAUUGAGCAUCGUAUGAGAAGUUAUUUCAAAUUAUUGGUGAUGUGCUUUAAAAUUAAUGUUUUUAUAGUUGUUUCGCAUAUAGGUGAGACGUAUCCCGAGGACGACCGCAUCCAGGGACGCCACGGGGGUUACGACCCGUCGACUUAUCAGUGAAUGGGCAGUUUUGUUUUCGUAUUACCUAUAUACUACUGUUUUUCCCAGAAAAAUGCAUUUAUAUGAAAAUAUGUUUUUGAAUAUGCCAUGCAUAGAAUUAUUUGAAAAUCAUGAAUUGGUUUCACAUGAACUAUAUGAUUGAAAUAUGAUGCAUACAUGUUGCAUGGUGCUGUGGAGGCACAGGUAAGUCAGGUGAGUUCAUUUAUUCAUUGAAUUGUUGUUGUUGAGAUGAGUUGAGCUCAUAAUCUGCACCCUAGGUGUUAGUGCUUAUAUUAUUCACCACACCGCACGCUCGUCUUGGAUCCAAGUAGGUGGAUGUCGUACAGACCAUGUGAGGGUUCCGACAUGCUAGUCGUACAGAUCACUAGGCGUGAUUCCGACUAGUGGGUGACCUUAGUUAUGCGCGCUGAUGAUAUGAUGAGAGAAGCACUAGAGCGUAUUUUUACACCUUUCAUCGUAUAGACUACCUUACGUAGUUCCGAGUGAUGUGCAGAGUAGGGCCGUAUAGGUCACUGUGGUGACUCCGGCUUAGUGGGAUUUGAGCUAUUGAAUUAAUCGUAUAGGACCAACUGCAGGGUCUCCGAUUGAUUCCUUAUUCACCUGAUUUAUAUUUUUUAUUUAUGUCAUGGCAUGUUUUCUUGAAAAUGUUAAAGAUUUGAGAUUUAAAUGUUGAGAUUUUAUAUGGUUAUAUAUAUUUCUGGGAAAGUAUACAGGUUUUUACGGCGAGGGGAUAUAACUGUUUUAAUGAAAUGUUUUGGAAAACUAAUUUGUUUUACUGACCCACUCAUUUUGUUUUGCGCCCCUCCAGGUUCUAGUUUAGCGGUGGUUGGCUCACGAGGUCCUUUCCGGCUUUCUGACAGAUUUGGGACAUGUAGGACUCACCUGAGGGUGAUGUAUUCUUAUUUUAGUCCUACUUGACUGCAGUUAACCUAUGCUCUGAACUUAUGUGUUUACUUGUAACUCGUCCGGUUAUGUCCGUAUGUGGUUAUGUUGAGUUUGGGUUGAAUUUCUGUUGUUAUUACGCUUCCGUGUCGUGCUUAUGGUUACGUCACGCCCACGUGACGGCCAGCACACCUGGAUCCUCCGGAUCAGGGUGUGUCAUAGAACACCUCUUUAUAGUAUAGAUGAUGGAUGACUUUAUACUAUGAAGUUGUUUUUCAAUAUAUAUGUUCAAUGGUUUUGUACUUACCUAGUGGUCCUUUCCGCUACGGGACGUAGGGAUAGAUUCCGGUCAUUCCCGGGCGACGGUUUGGUGUUGGCAUAGGGCCUGGAGUGUGUUUCCUCUGGCUAUUUAGCACAGGGACGGGGAGCCGGCAUGGGGCCUGAAGUGUAUUUUCCUCUGACUGUCUGCUCAGAGACGGGGAGCCGGCAUGGGGCCUGGGGGUUAUCGGACAAUUCACUAGUGAUUAUUAUAUAUAUAAAAGUUAUGAUUUGAGACACUGCACAUCAUGCUAGGUUUCGGAAAACCUAUGUUUAUCAUUAUAUAUGUGUUUUCAUAAAACUUGGGGGUUAGUACGUUGAUAACUGUUUUGUUAUAUUUAUAUCAAAUUGGUCCACUCAUGUUUGUUUUGCGCCCCCUUCAGGAUUUAGGAUCGAGGCGUACAAUCCCGGCAAUCCAGGCACUUCCGCAUCGGUAUCUUCAAGUCCUCUCGGUGUAGAACCCACUUCUGUGUUCAUUCAAUUUUUAUAUUAAUCCUUUUAAUGUUCUAGAUUAGAUGUGUGCUCUGAACACGUUCCUUAAAUGCAUAUUCUUUAUUCUCUUAUAUUUAUAAGUUUUAUCUAUCCUUUAUUUUCAGCAAUUGCACUCAAUAAAUGGCUUUCGUCGCCCUCGGGUGUCGGCCAGCACGUGACCAUCCUGAUAUCCUGAGGAUAUCGGGAUCGGGGCGUGUCAAUUUGUGAAGAAGAAUUUUUAUGCACUGCAACUGUUUGAUCGUCUGUCUAAGAGAGGGAGUGCAAAUGUACAUGUGCUUUAUGUGGCCUCUUUAGAUAUGCAUGAUUUAGAAGCUAGCCCUAAACUGGAUGGUAGUAGCAGCAAGCCAAGGGUUAAAGAAGUGUCUUCUGAAGAAAAAGAUAAUGUGUCUCACAUUGAGAUUAAGAUUACUGAAUACCAUAGCUCCGAUGAAAAGUGUGUUCUGAGGUAUCUUAAUCUUUCAGACAACGCCAUGGGCAACUAUGGUGUCAAUGCAUUUGAGUCACUUCUUAGUUCACAAAACAAUUUGAGAGAACUUUAUUUGAUGAAUAUGGCAAGGCUCAAUAUGUGUCAUAACAUGAGGGAGUGGCACUGCGAUGCUAUUAGGAAGAUCAAAUGGCUGAAUGAGAAUGAGAUUUCUGUUAUGAUCAAUACCGAAGGACAAGCAAACUAUGAAGGUUUUUUUUAUUGUAUCAAAUAUGGUGAGGAGCUCACUUUUAAGCUGUUGCUCUAUUUCCAAGCUGUCAAGGCAAAAAGUCUUGGGUUUACUAAACUUGGGUCACCAAAAGAGGCUAAGAAGGUUGUUGGGAACAUGAAUGAUGUUACUGCUAGUGCCAAACAGCUAAAGGAGAUGGAACAAGGCUUGACCAGUUUGAUAGUUUUGGGGAAUGGGCGAUUGUCUGAUCUUAUUGCACAGCUGCAGGAUAUAUUAGAGGGUGUAAAUGAAGCUGAUAUCUUGCCGGAGAAGUUUGAUAAUGCAGUUAUUAAAGCUCAGAUUCCACAAUUGGCUCGAGAAAUCAGGGAGUUAACCUCAUCUCGACCUGUAACCAUCUACAAUGAGAAUUCUUCCUCUAGUGGGAAUUAUGCUUCAUAUUUAGUUCCACUUGCUGCACUUGCUGCAAUGGGCUAUUGUUACAUGUGGUGGAGAGAUUGGUCAUUUUCAGAUGUGAUGUAUGUGACAAGGCAUAAUAUGGCAAAUGUUGUUGAAGCUCUAAUUAGAGAGGUAGCUAGCAAGAGCAAUGACUUUGCUGGGAACGGAACAACAAAUACAUUGAAGAUGAGUGAAUGCGCUAUGGGCACCUAUUUAGAUUUAGUAUGCUCUCUUAGUCACCUGGAAAGCAAUUUUGGUGGUGCCUUAGUUAUUGAUUUACAUGUUGAGUUCUCUUUGUUUUUCACUUGUAACCCUGACUGUCGGCUUUUAUGGGAUCCAGGAGAUGCAAUGGCUAAAACUGUUAAGAUGAUACUCUAUUUUAAAAAUGUCAAGGCAGAGUGGCUUAACAGGGUUACAAAAAUAACCAAGUUUGGUAGUUUUAUGGUACAAUUGGAUAGAAGUGUUGAAGCUUUGAAUAAGGGCAAAAAGCAAAAAACUAGAGAUGGUGGAUAUGGUGAUGAGAUAAAGAGAUUGCAUGAUUUAAGCGUGAACAAGGUUGUGGAUAUGGCGACUAGGUUCGAAAGUGCAUUGGUAGGACAUGUUAACAAUAUAAUUUGUAGUACUACUGUAAGAUUGGAGAGACUUCACUCCGAUGAUUGGUGGUGUUCUGCUAUAUCUCAACUGCUGAUGAUUGGUAAAUCCAUCGUAUCUAGUUCAAACAAAACUCAGGAAGCAAAUGUGGAUGCUGUUUUGGGAACCGGUGAUCCGAGUCUACUAGUUGAGAACACUUCAGUUGAGCAGCUUGGUUUCGUCAGAAAGGUGACAAUCUUUAAGGACUCCACUUCCAUUAUUGGUGAUGCAGCAUCAAAAGAUGGGUUGCAAGUCCAUGGUGUGUCUCCAUUUGACAUUAUGGGCAGAAAUCUUUUCUGGGAAAAGCAACUGCAAAGGCUGCAAAUGGGAGCUGUCACAAGAAAGUUCUUGGUGGUUAAUUUCAGUUCUGGUUUUGAUGAAUCUUCAUAUCUCUCUCGGGUUGAAAAUUUUGAGGAGAUGUCACAAGAAAAUUAUGGAGAGGCUACAGGAAACAAGAACUCACUCACUCAGUUCAAGCGAGCUGCCAUACCUGGAAGGAUUAUAAUGAUUUCAAAGUCAAGUUCUACAAUUCCAUUUUUAAGCCUUGAGGACAAGGCUAAUUUUCAAGGGGGAAGUAUUGUUAUGACCCAAAUUAUUACUGAGGUUUUAUGCUUUAUUACUGUGAGGAAUUGUUAAUAUGCCAGCUGGCAUUUAAAAGUGUAGAGGUUUUAUAAAAGGAGCCCCAGCUCCCCCAAAUGUAUCAGAUCAGAAUUUUACAAAAGAAAUCAAUAUUGGAGCUCUGCUCCUUCUUCUCUCAUUCCCUCUUCUUCCAUAGCUUUCUUGUGCCACUUGCAGGUUGAUUAAGGGAAUUGAGAAUUAGAUCUUAUCAUAACGUCACUACCACAACUCCCAAUAUCAUCACGCUGAAUGUCCACACUCGGUUUCUGCUCAAUUAAAGCGUCAAUUUCCUGCAAAAUACUCUCAUCGAAAUCAUCAUCGUUAAGAAUUCCAGAUGCAGAGAAAGAAUCAAAUGAAGUCAGAAACUGCGGUUGUCUGAUUGGAGUUGUGAAAGAAUCCGAUUUUGACACGCUUGAUUCGGUCCGGCUAACGCUUAAGCUCCCGGAACACGAAGCACUGCCAUAUUCACCACGCGCUGAAUUGUACCGGCUUGCGGAAAUCGGAAGCGGUGUUCUUUGAACUCUAUUGAGCUGAGUUGGCGUUUGGAUUCCAUUUCCGCCAAAAAACACAAUUGAAUUGAUUUAAAUUGAAGCAAGAAAACAGCCAAGUAGCCAAAAAAUAGUAAGAAGAUGAAACCUUUGAUUCCUGAACGACUUACUUGGUAUGAGGGAGGUGAUGAUCAGGUGAAACGGCGUCGUUGCAGGGGCGUUUGCGAUCAAUGAGGGCCUUGGCGGCUCUGAAAUUCCGAGAGAUGCGGUUUCUUUGUUCCGCCGUGAGCCCUCCGCCGUACGCCUGAACGUUUUCCUUGGACAUUGCUUCCAAGAUUCCAACGGAGGAUUUGGCCUGACGGCCUGACCAGGCUGAUAACAGUGUAAAACCUUAGGAGCUAAGGAAAAACUAAGAGAGAGAUUGUAGAGAGGGAAAGUUUUUUCUUUUUGGAAACCAGUAGAGAGGGAAAGUUUGUUAAACCUGAAUAAUAUUCUUUUCAUUCAACUUGUCUACAAUAAUUACCACUCGUGGUAUUUAUACAUUUGUAACACACCUCACUAACUAACUAAGACCACCACCAAUCAUACAUAAACACUUGUCAUAAUCCUAUGCACUCAUAGUAUCAUCACUUUAACAUUCCCCUCAAGCUCAUGUGGCAGAUUGCCAAGCAUGAGAUUGGAACAAUUACGAGCGAACUGGGGUGAACACAAGCCUUUGGUGAACAUGUCGGCAUAUUGAUCUGCAGAGGUAACAAACUACAAAAUAAUUGUCCUUUGAUGAACUCUUUCACGAACAAAGUGGCAAUCAAUCUCUAUAUGUUUGGCUUUAUAGUGCAAUACAGGAUUAGUGGCAAGAGCCAUUGUUGAAAUGUUAUCACAAUGCAAAACUAGAACAGAAGGAGAACCAACAUGCAAAUCUCGAAGAAGCUGUUGUAUCCAGAUAACCUUAGCAGUGGUUGUAGCCAUUGCUCUAUAUUUAGCUUCAGUGGAAGACCUACUCACUGUAUGCUGCUUUUUAGAACUCCAAGAGAUAGGAGUAUCUCCCAAAAAAAUGACAAAACCCGUGGUUGAACGACAAUCAUUGGGAUCCCCUACCCAAUCAGCAUCUGUAUAAGCUUUCAACUGAGAUGAACCUGAUUUAAAACAUAAUCCCAAAGAUAUAGUGCCUCUGCGAUAUCGUAGAAUACGUUUCACAGCAGCAAAUGAGUGGCUAAGGGUGAAUGCAUAAACUGACGUACUUGAUUGACAGAAAAAUAAAUAUAUGGUCUUGUAAAUGUUACGUAUUGCAGUGCCCCAACAAUACUUUUGUAAGUGGUAGGAUCAAAAACAGGUUCACUACCAUGAUUCAGAAGCUUCUGAUUAGGAUGACAAGGUGUGGAAAAAAGGUUUACAGUCUAGCAUAUGCAUCUUUUAAAGGAGUUCUUUGACAUACUUGGUCUGAUGAACAAAGAGUCCCUGACCCUGAUACUCAAUCUGUAAACCAAGAAAAUAAUGCAACACACCUAGAUCUUUCAUGCCAAACUCACUAGUUAACUAACUAAUAACCUUCUGAACCUUCACAGCAUCAUUACCAGUGAGAAUGAUAUCAUCAACAUAUAAUAAGAGAACAAUAAUUGAUGAACCAUCACACUUGACAAAUAAAGAAGGAUCUGCAUAUGAUGACUUGAACCCAAGCUUAGGCAAAUAACCUGAAAACCUGUCAUGCUAGGCUCUGGGAGCUUGCUUGAGACCAUAUAAAAACCUCUCUAGUUUGCACACAUAAUCUGGAUAGGUAGAAUCCACAAACCUUUGGGACUGAGACAUAUAAACUUCUUCAUCAAGAAAGCCAUGCAAAAAAGCAUUAUUGACAUCUAACUGUUUGAGUUUCCAAUUAUGAGAUGCAGCCAAGGAUAAAACCAAUCGAACUAUGGUUGGUUUGACCACAGGGCUAAAGGUUUCAUAAUAGCUAAUACCAACUUCUUGAGAAUACCCAUUAGCUACAAUUCUAGCCUUGUACCUAGCCACUGAACCAUCUGGAUUUCUCUUAAUCUUGUAAAUCCAUUUACAACCAACAAGAUUUUUGUCAGGUGCUAAGGGCACAAGCUUCCAAGUAUGAAGCAUCCAUCUCUUCUUUCAUGGCAUUUUGCCAUUGAACACACUUGACUGCACUAGAAAAAGACCGAGGUCCAAUAAAUGGAAAUGUGGAAGAAACACUAGGUGGAUGAAUGAAUGUGUUUGAAUGCACAACAGACACUGGUGAGGAAGAAUGACCAGAAGUAACUUGAGGAUUGAAACCCAAAGCAUUAGAGUCUAUAGGAAACUUGGAUUCAUAAAAAAUAACAUGUCUAGAUACUAAUAGUUUAUGAUCUUUGAGAGAGAAGCAAAUAUACCCUUUGUAUUGUGUAGCAUACCCCAGAAAAAUACACUUAGUAGUUUUAGGUUCAAGUUUAUUGCUUCUAUAGGGUUUCAAUGAAGGAUAGCAUAAACACCCAAAAAAUCUCAAAUGAUCAAGCUUAGGUGGAGAUUUAUAUAGCAUUUCAAAAGGAGACUGCAUAUGUAGGGUAGGUGUGGGCAUUUUGUUUAUAAGAAAAGUAGCAGUGGCACAGGCAUGGAACUAGAAUUUUGAAGGUAAUGAAACUUGUUGUAAAAAGGUAAUAGUUGUUUCGACAAUAUGUUGAUUUUUUCUCUCAGCCAACCCAUUAUGUUAUGGGGUAUAAGGACAAGAUUUUUUAUGAACAAUGCCUUUGGUAAGAAGAAAUUGCUUAAACUGAGUACUAACAUAUUCCCUACCCCCAUCACUCUGCAAAAUUUUUACAUGAGCAUCAAAAUAAUUCGAGACAGAAGCAAGAAAGUUGACAAAAACAGUGAACACUGCAACUUUAUUAUUUAAUGGAAAAAUCUAGGUAUAUCUUGUACAUUCAUCAAUAAAGGAAACAUAAUACUUGUAACCUUCUAUAGACAAACUAGGUGAGGGACCCCAAACAUCUAUGUGAAUUACUUCAAAUGGAGUAAGUGACUUCGAAGCAAUUACAGGAAAAAGGAGCUUGGUAAACUUGCCUUGCAAACAAGCAUUACAAGUAUGAGAUUGAGAGUUACAAGGAAAAGAUAUACAAGACUUAUUAAGUGCUGCAGUGACAGUGGAAUGUGUAGGAUGGCCUAAUUGACAAUGCCACAAUGUAGAAGAAAUCUUUUGACCCACAAAUGCAACUGGAUUAAAAACAGGAGAAAUAGACCUCUGUGGUUUGAUUAUGGGAAGUGGAUAGACAACAUUAUUACUCAGCCCUUGGAAUAGCACUCUCCCGGUGACCUUGUCCUGUAGACAGAGAGAAACAUCAUCCAUGAUACAACGACACUGAUUAUCUUUGCACAACUGAUUCAUAGAUAAUAAGUGUUGUGACAGUUUUGGAACAUGUAACACAGAGUUUAACUUGAAAUUAUGUGACUAAGUGAGAAGAGAAGAGGAACCAAUAUGUUUGACAGCUAAACCUUCACCACUAGCACUGGUCACAAUAUCAUUUGAUGGAUAAAUUUAUUGUCAUGUGCAAGUUUGACAAAUCUGAGGUCAUAUGGUUAGUUGCUCCCAAGUCAAGAAACCAGAAAUCUUGUUGAAGAGUUGAGGAUGAUGCACCAGCUCGUGCUUGCAUAGCAAGAGGAGGAUUUUGUGAGGAUAUAGUUAAUAGAUACAUAUGUGGUAUGACAAGAUACUGAAACUGUGAGCUAUUAGACUGUGGAAUCAUGCCUUGUGAAGGACCACAUGGAUUCUAGCUAGGUGCUUCACCAUAUGACCCAGUAGGCAUUGGAGUUGGCAUAGAUGAGGAUAAACCCUAAGAGAAAUGCUCUGAUGUGCCUGUGAAAUUUUUAUUCUGAUCAAAGCAAGUAGCAGCAACAUGACAACCUCUGUGACAAAUUUGACAUCCAUGUUGAAAACAAUUCAAUGCAGAAUGACCUUUGCGAUCACAUAUUUGCAGAAUGGCCUUUGCAACCCUAGAAAGAAGGAGCGAAGAAGACCAAAUGUGUACGUUUCUCUUUGGUUUUUUUUCCCUCCUAAUCGCGCUGUUCGAAAUCACGGACCUCGGGCCUGGGCCUAGUGGGCCCAAUUAUGAGGCCCAUUAUCUCCGGUCUUCUCGUUCUACUUCUAGUUACCCAAAUUAAGAACGUACGCUUUUAGCGCGAGAGAGAAAUGGAGGCCCUGAUUGCCUCGUACGGAGACUCGUCGUCGGGCUCAGACUCCGAGUCGCCGGCUCCACCUCCACCACCACCUCCGGAGCUCAACAACCCUCAAGAACCGACCCCUGCGCUGCCUCCACCUCCUCUGUCACUUCUCGACAGCCCCAAUUCCUUCGGUAACCUCUGAUUCCCAUCAAUUUUCAUCUUUUAGCUUUCUGUUGUGAUGGCUUUUUCCGAGUUGCCCACCAAGUGUUUGAUGUUUUGCCUCCGAAGAAUUUCUGGACUUAUCGGCAAGCGCCCAGCCGAGCAGAGUUCGGAACUUUCCUCACGUCGAAGGGAACUACGCAGUACAUGUAUACAUCCCAGGUUAUCAAAAUUCUCGAAAUUUUCAGCUCCAUUAGCAAAUGCGAUCGCUUUGCACUUAGUUUUUGCUUGUUUAAUUGUGUGGUUCCAGUUUAUAUACCACCAGCACCAAGGAAAGAGAUGGCCUUGUUUUUGAACAAGCUAGCUUCUCUGCUGCCUGGUCUCCAUGCGGUUGACGUUGACUUCCCGCUUGACAUUCUGCGUAAGGACGAGCACAAGCUUGAACAAGUUGCUUUAGGCAGAGAGUUCCAUAUAAGUCUCGGAAGAACUGUUCCGAUGCGGGUGCACCAGAUUGAUUCCUUGGUGACAAUGCUGCGGCAGAAGCUUCAGAUUCAGAGGCGGUAUGGUUACAUUUACAUUCUCUUGUCUGCAUUGCGUGAAUUUAGUUCUGUUAUUUAACAUAAUUCUGUAAGCCUGUUUUCGUAUAAAUGCACGGUUGAAUCAGCUUUCAUUGUCUACAAGUCUGAAAUAUUUUAACUUCCAUUGAUUUCAGAUAACAAAGCAGAUUCAAGCUGUGAAUGAGGUGUAUAAGCUUCACAAUCUUCCUGAAUUUUACAAGGUUAGCUUUUUCGUGCUUUUCAAACUCGAAUCGGUUCCUGAAUGUAUGACAAUAUAUUGGAUCAAACGAUUUCUCAAAACACUAAUUCACUUGAUGGGGUCUUGGUGAUCACAGGAUCCACGCCCUCACAUCUCGGUAGCUUGAGCAUUGGGUGACAUCAGCAAUUCCCUGAACAAAGUGGUUGAAGAAGAAAGACGAAGAUCUACCAUCGGAGGAUCGUUACAGAAAUGUAUUUUUACCAGUAAAUUCAAUGGUAUCGAUAUCGAAUGUAGGAUUGGUAAUAAAACACACAAAAUAUGUAAAUUUUCUGAAGAAUAAUGUAGCCAUUUAACUGUAUUGUGAAAUUCCGAGAAUAUAUGGCUGAGCAUUGGAUGAGAAGACAUUUCUUCGUUGGUGUCGAACUUCUUGUCGAAGGUAUUGGCACCAGUGUAAACGUCAUCAUCCAUGUUGAUGGUAAUUACUUACCAGCUACUAAGGGUGUCGGAACAACCUUGCACGCACCCUCCUGUGCAUUACUUGGUAUUGUCUCGGAUUCUCCAAACUUGAAUGCUAAUGUAAACCCACUCUUGACCUUUCCGUCAUCUGCAAUUACCGGAAAGCCGGCUUGGAUGUUGCCGUUGACCUACCAAACUUAAAAUACCGACGAAAUGUUGGAGUACUUCAGUGUACUACUCGUUUUUGUAUGCGAGAGCUCCACCUCUAUCGUUGUAACAGCAUCUGAUGCGGACUAGUCCUUCAUUCCCGUUACUCUUUGCCAUCUCCACUUCAAACUUGGUGUGAUGGCUCCCGGCCUCCUCUCCGGUGAAAUUGAGUAACCCCGGAGCUGGCGUGCCAUCAAGAUUUCCGUUGUGUCUCUAUUUGCUGUUGUGGUUCGGUUCCACUAUAAACUUGGCAGAGUUAGCAUUUUCAUUCUGUUGUCUGUAUAUCUUGAUAUUACAAGUAUUUGUUGUGCAAAAUGCAUGCUAAGUUCAAGUUAUGUUUAUAUGUGUGUGUGUGUUGCCACUUUUCCAACGUUUUCUCCAAAAUUGUGACGAGCAACAAAGCAGUUUUGAUUCCGUGCACAACAACGAUACCUCGAAAGAAAUUGAUUCUUCCCCAGAAAGAUGUUUUAAAACAAAGUUGAACAAGGGAAGAAAACUUUUGAAUCGCAAUCAGAUGUCUGGUCAAAUUCUUUAACAGUUGAUGUAUACAGAAGUUCCUUGCUUAUGACACGACUUAUGAGAGGAUGUAUGUAUUGCAUUUGCAUCAAAAGAAAGAAAGAAGGUUGUAAGUGGUAAGGGAACGACUACCGAUGCCGCUCCACUUCUAAUCAAAGGGAUCGAUCCGAGGGUCGUGUUCACUUGCCAUCGCCAUUCCAGUGCAAAGGCAUGUCGGGCACAUUACCUGCCACAUUUACAGACGCAAUGUUAGAUAUAGCUGCCAUUUGGAAGUCAUCUCUCAAAAUUUUGCUACUAAAUUAAUCUUAAACUUCAUUUCCAGUGCAAUUUUUUUCUUCUGAAUUGUCUUUCACAUGCCCGACAAAUAGAAGUAUCACCAAACAUGUGAUAUAGAGCAUCUAAGCGGCAGGCACUAAAAGGAAUUUAGUAUGCAAUAAACAUUCAACGGACAUAAUUAUAUGUCUAACCUUUCCCGCUCCUGAGCAAUUUGAACAUCGUUCAGUUUUUGGCAGAGAUAGGGGUUGGUUUCCGCCAUCAGCUGUCGAUACUGGUUCAGUAAGAACAAGGGUUCCAGUGCUGGAGCAACGAGCACAAGCAAGAGAUCCUGCGUAAGUAUCAAAUACACAGGUAAGUUGACAUACGAAACCAAUCCGAACAUCUCCAUCGUAUAUAUUUAAAGCUACAGUACAUAAAACUAAAAGUCAGAAAUAUAGGACAUUAUCACACCAGUUCCAAGACAAUAUUUGCAUCGUUUAUGCUCCUGCUGUUUCACAUUGUUUAUUUCAACUACCAUCAAUGCUGAGAUCACUCCGACUGCUCCUCCAGAGAAUGACGCCACUAUGGGAUCAACUUGACUGCAGUUUGAAAGUAAAGGAGAUCAAUAAACGAAACUGGUAACAACAUAGUAUCAACAUUAUUUAGCUUCGUUUCAAGAAAGAUGACAUCCUAGGUUUUUCUAAUGUGUAAAAAUUGAGGAUCCUCGUAAAAUUUGACUAUAUCGGUUCCCAAAGCAUUUGAUUCCUACGUUACAGACGGAAAACAGCAACAAUCGAAUUUAAAGAUUCAUAACACGAUAGAUGGUACAAAAUUUCAAAACGAUAAUUACUAGAGAACAGGAGGGUUAAUAGCCUGAGAUAUGAGCAAUACCUCAACUGCAACGGCAGAUGCAUAUUUACUAUAAAGUCUUUAUAUGAUGUGCCUCCUAUUCCCAGCUUCAACUCCAACUGAAAGAUGUAAAGGUAAUUGUAGGCAAAGAGUUACAAACAUAACCGAAUCCAUGUUUUAUAAGCAACAACUACACUUAUUUUGAUAUGUUUCCUCAUUUUUUACUUGCAAAUUCCAAACCAUAUUGUCGGACCAGUAAAAGAAAAUAAUGUUUAUGAUAACUGUUAAAACUAAUUACAACAAGUUAAUGCAUAAAGAACUUACGGAGGGUGCUAUGAGGCCACCGAAAAGGAUAAACCCCGCAAUAAUUGAAUAACAAACAGCAUAAUACUGCUUAAGGUUGUCUGAACUCUGCAAGCAAUGAAUUCACCUUGUGAUUAAUACUUUGCACAAACACUAGUUUUCGCAAUUUUUUAUGAAUCGACAAAAGGCUACAACAAAAUAUGGCUAAAACAUGUCGGGGAUAUGAAAAUACAUGUCUUCACAGGGGCACCAGCUUACCAGGGGAGGCAAAAAUGGAAUGAACGAUGGAAAACUAGGAAGUUCGUUUUCUUGAUCUUCAUUUACCGCUCCAAGCUCUGCACGUUUAAUCCGCUGUUGUAUCCUCAGCCUGCGAACCUACGCAUAUCGAAGCUCAUUCUUAAAGAACACAUUUCUAAUGGCAAUUGGAGAGUAAUUUAAAACAUGCUACACUGAGAAAGUGGUAGCAACUAGCAAUUGCUCUCACCUCCUCCAUAUGCAAGAAAAUUUUGUUGCGACGACUCCGAAUAUUAUCUUGAAUUUCCUGCAGCUCCAUUGUGGCAAAAUCCUGCACUGUUUCAGGCCCCUCUAUGAUACAAAAUCUGCACCAUUAAGCAUGUAAAAAUUAAAAAUUACAAGCUACAAAGCAAUUUCCGUAUAGUUGUUGGGUUAAAUAACAUCAACAGCAAAUAAAUCACAUAGGUUUUUCACAUAAAGUUACAAACUUUCAAGGACUAAUAAGCUGUCUGCAAUCUCAUAAAUUUCACAGUGCAAAGUAACAAUCCAAAGCUUGGAACUUUAAAUUUCCACCUUCUGUUAAUUUUUUAGUGCACCUGGUGUCGUUAGAUUCGAGUAGUAUGUCACAUUAAAUUUUUUUUUUCUGUGCAUGCAUUUUUUUUUAAAAGAAAAUUUAUAUUGUUAAAGAGCGAGUUCGAAACUAUUACAUUAUGGAAGGACAUAGUACCGAAACUCCGACGAUCAAAAACAAAAUCAUGUACAACCACUCCAAGCAGUCAACAUGGCCAUCACAUAUUGAAUCCAAAAUGUUGACGCCCCAUUCGCUGCAUAUAAUGUACAGACGAGCGGCAGCUUCAACCAGUUCUGCCAUAUCCGGCUGGAUGAGAGCAGCUAAAGACAUGAUUGUUCCCUAAUAACAUGAAUAAAUUGAGUAAACACCAAAAGUAGCAGCAAGGGAAGGAGAUGUGAAGUAUAUGAAGAGGUGUAAGACCUGUGAAUGUCCAGCAACAAAGAUUUUGGAGCUUGUUGUCGAAUAAUGCAACGCGUCAUUUCUGGUAGAUCAAAUAGAGCCAAUUCCCGCCAACUCCAAUUCCAAAAUUUCUACAGUAAAGCAUAAAUCUUAUUCUCUCUUCUGAUAAAGAUGAGUGUCCCAGACUCCAACGUGUUCCACACACAUUCCCUACCCAUACAUCGAAACCUUCAUCUGCAAGGACGAAUCCCAGCGAUUCUUCUGGAGAAUUUAAGAAUCAUGCAUCACCUGGUUAAGAUCAAGAAAAGCCAGUAACCAAGUUCAAUUGAGUUAAAAUGUAUCCCAUGGAUGUUCAUCACUUUGCCCAAUUGUUCUUUUCAAGAAAGGAAAUUUCAACAGAACCUGAAAACUUCAGAUCAGGGGGCACCAAAUAGUGAGCUAUACAUUCAAAAUUUGAAAUAAUCAACUUAGUAGGACCAGUAUGUUGAAAAAAUAGGAAGGAGCUAUGAAAGUAAGACUUUUCACUAAUCAGGCGUCCAGAGAAUCCAUAUUUUACCCGCGUAUCAGUUACGGGGAACACUCCCCACCAGAGCAAUCUCAUUAGUCCUUCACAUCUCAACCGUACAGAAGUUGCACUAACAAACAUGACUCCUAUUAGUCCUUCACAUCUCAAAUCCAGGAAGUACCCAUCUUUCGUCUGAAUCUGGAAAAUAAGCAGCAGUCAAUUUAACAAUCUCGGUAUCUCAAAGUUACUCACUUUAAUCACAAAUUUAGCAAUUAAACAUAUAAAUGGGCAUUUUUUUAGGGAAAUAUUAGUAUAGUACUCACUGUGUGCUCGGAGCAAGAGUACCCAGAAAGCUCAAUGAGCUGCGCACAGAGGACUGCAGUGGUGAACGACAGCGACCGCACAGAGGACUGCAGUGGUGAACGACAGUGACCAAUUCUGUAAAAUUUAGUCGAGUUUUGGGAAAUUUCUGCAGCGAUUUCGGAGGUCAAGAGGCUGAUAAGGAAAGCCGCGACCAAAGGGCACUGGUCUGGAAGAAAGGCUUUGGUCGCCGCUAUCGCAAUUCACGAAGGAAGAAGUGCCCCAAAACAAUUUCGGCCCUGGACAGGUGCACUGUUUGCACUGAGCCAGGGCCGGCCCUGAAUCGCGAUAACGUCCUUCUCCAAACAGUAUAUAUACAGAUGCUAGAAAAAUCUACCGGAACUAUUCAAUUCUAGCGUCUACAGCUUUAGCAUUAGUUGGUACAAGGGGCAUUCUUCCAAAGAGGGAGAUGAAAUCGUUGAGGCACCAAAUAGUGAGCUAUACAUUCAAAAUUUGAAAUAACCUCUUGGUAGGACCAAUAUGUUGAAAAAAUUGGAAGGAGCUAUGAAAGUAUGGCUUUUCACUAAUCAGGCGUCCACAGAAUCAAUAUUUUACUCACAGAUCAUUUACGGGGAACACUCCCCACCAUAACAAUCUUUUUAGUCCUUCACAUCUCAAACCAAGUAGAAAUUGCAGUAACAAACACGACUUCUAUUAGUCCUUCACAUCUCAAACCCAGUAAGUACCCAUCUUUCGUCUGAAUCUGGAAAACAAGCAGCAGUGGAUUCAACAAUCUGGGUAUCUCAAAGUCACUCACUUUAAUCACAAAAUUAACAAUUAAACAUAUAAAUGGGCAUUUAUUUAGUGAAAUAUUAGUAUAGUACUCACUGUGUGCUCGGAGCAAGAGUACCCAGAAAGCUCAAUGAGCUGCGCACAGAGGGACUGCAGCGGUGACGACGGCAACCGAUUCUGUAAAAUUCAGUCGAGUUUUGGGCGAUUUCUGCAGCGAUUUCGGAGGUCAAGAGGCUGAUAAGGAAAGCUGGGACGGAAGGGCACUGGUCUGGAAGAAAGGCUCAGGACACCGCUGUCCCGAUUCGUGAAGGAAGAAGUGCCCCCAAAACAAUUUCGGCUCUGGACAGGUGUACUGUUUGCACUGGACCAGGGUCGGCCCUGGCGAUAACGUCCCCCAAACAGCACAUAUACAGAUGCUAGAAAUAUAUAAAUGUAACCUGAAACUACUAGAACCAUUCAAUUCUAGCGUCUACAGCUUUAGCAUUAGUUGGUACAAGGGACAUUCUUCCAAAGAGGGAGAUGAACUCAUUGAGGCUCUUAUUUAUUCCUCCUCUUGAUGUGCCCUUUUAGGCUGCUAAUUCCACACGAUCCAAUCUCAUACAUCUUCCCUGCAAAAGCAUGUGUGCCUGACUUCAAGAUCAAAUUUUUCCAACAAAAGAAACUUAAAGAUCAAACUCGCUAGAGGAAUAAGUGGUGCACAAGGGUGUUAAAAUCUUGACAUAUGUAUAUUUUUGGCAGAUUUUAUGUGAGCAUGCAACUAAAACUGGCAUCACUAUCAAUGGUGCACAAAGAUUGGUGGAAAACUUUAACAGUUUGAGUUGUAACUUCUCCAUUGUAUUUGUUAAGGCAAGACGGAUGUCAUCUAUUCAUUUUUCUGUAAAACUUAAAAGGCUGCAUAGCAGCUCUUGUUCGUUGUAUUGAAUACCGUGGUUUUACUGAUGAAUGCAGAGUUUGCUGAUGAUUCAUACGACAAGCAAUUGAAAAUCCCAUCAUUAUGCCCCCCAUAUACCAGAAGAAAAAAAAGUCAUUUACACAAAUUCAGAGCGUUCAUCCACUGUAAUUUGCAGAUAUAGAAACGUUAAGAUAAAAGGAAAUGCAAAGUACCUUUCACCAAAUUGGAGGAGCACCGGUGGCAUUAGCAAGUUAGCAACGGGAAUUGACAUACCAAUAUCUUCACAGUUUCUGCACAAGCACAAAUCAAAAGAAUCCGGAGGUGGAGUUAUGUACCUCUCCUUGGAAAAUGCCACCUCUUGGGAUUUCAAAAUAUGCGGCCGUGGCUAGCCGUCUGACCACGCCAAUUCCACCAAAGCCGCCGCAACGCGGUGUAGUGUCCGAUUGAUUGCUUCAAAUCAGAGCUUCGUAUCCAUGUGUUUAUCAGCAGAGAGUACCCAAAACCCCUGAAAAUUAUUUCUUUAUUCAGAUAAUAAAAUAUCCCAAAUUUCGAAUUUUAAUUCCGAAUCAAAAAUAGGGUUUGAAUUUUGAUUACCUAUAAAUUGGGGGGUUGCGGUGGAAAGGGAGUCAGCCAAGACGGCGAUAUGCGUCCUCGAGAGGGCUAUGAAAAUACAAAUUACAGAGCGUGUUGGGACGAUGUACAAGGCUUUUGCAGUCUCUCAAAUAUAAAUACCGAAGCUCCGUAAGGCGUUCAAUCCAGGGGGAAAGCUCUUUAAUAGAUGUUCCAUCCAGGAAAAGACUUCUUAAUCCUUCCAUAUUUUCUUCAAUGCUUGGAAACAACUCAAAUUUUGUACAACCGGAAAGAGAGAGAGAGAAAAGGGACUUGAGCUGACAAAUGCUGCUUGGAAGACUCUUAAGUUCUUUGCAAUCUUUUAGAUUCAAAUGAUUCAAUCCCGUAAGAUUAUUAAUUGACGAGGGCAGUUCUUUAAUUUUUGACCCGGAUAAAUUAAGCUCUUCUAACUCCUCCAUACCUUCUGAAAUCUUUGGAAACAUCUCAAGACUAGAGCAGCCAGAAAGAUUAAAGGUUUUGAGAGAUUUCAUACGAAUGCUGCUUGGAAGACUCUUAAGUUCCGUGCAAUUAUGUAGAUUCAAAUGACACAACCUCGUAAGAUUAUUAAUUGACGAGGACAGUUCUUUAAUUUUUGAGCAGGGUAAAUCAAGCUUUUCUAACCCCUCAAUACCUUCUGAAAUCGAUGGAAACAUCUCAAGACUGAAGCAGCCAUAAAGAUUAAAGGUUUUCAGACAUUUCAUAUGAAUGCAGCUUGGAAGACUCUUAAGUUCCUUGCAAUCUUUUAGGUUGAAAUGACUCAACCCCGUGAGAUUAUUAAUUGACAGGGACAGUUCUUUAAUUUUUGACCCGGAUAAAUUAAGCUCUUCUAACUCCUCCAUACCUUCUGAAAUCUCUGGAAACAUCUCAAGACUGGUGCAGUCAGAAAGAUUAAAGGUUUUGAGAGAUCUCAUACGAAUUUUGCUAGGUAGAAUCUUAAGUUCCUUGCAAUCUUUUAGGUUGAAAUGACUCAACCCCGAGAGAUUAUUAAUUGACAGGGGCAGUUCUUUAAUUUUUGACCCAGAUAAAUUAAGCUCUUCUAACCCCUCCAUACCUUCUGAAAUCUCUGGAAACAUCUCAAGACUGGAGCAGUCACAAAGAUUAAAGGUUUUGAGAGAUCUCAUACAAAUUUUGCUAGGUAGAAUCUUAAGUUCCUUGCAAUCUUUUAGGUUGAAAUGACUCAACCCCGAGAGAUUAUUAAUUGACAGGGGCAAUUCUUUAAUUUUUGACCCGGAUAAAUUAAGCUCUUCUAACUCCUCCAUACCUUCUGAAAUCUCUGGAAACAUCUCAAGACUGGAGCAGUCAGAAAGAUUCAAGGUUUUGAGAGAUCUCAUACAAAUUUUGCUAGGUAGAAUCUUAAGUUCAUUGCACCCAUGCAGAUCCAAUAAAACAAGGUUUGUAAGAGUCGAAAUAGACGGGUGAACCUCAACUAAGCUUAUACAACUUCGAACAAUUAGCCUCUCAAGAUUUGGCACAUUUGUGAAGUCAGGGGUUUCCUUAAGGGAUUGACAAUAACUUAAAUUGAUGAAUUUCAACUUUUC